This 105031-nucleotide long non-coding RNA is filed under the name Citrus x clementina. RNAcentral describes it as "Citrus clementina (C. clementina) long non-coding RNA (CCLE_LNC001918)". The record is from RNAcentral. Lineage: Eukaryota; Viridiplantae; Streptophyta; Magnoliopsida; Sapindales; Rutaceae.
AACUUUUUUCCUUCUUUUUUUUGUUUUGGUGGUCAUCUCUUAUUUUUUCUUAAUGUGCCUUUUUGCUAAUGACGACUUUGUUGUUUAUUUUCAUGAUUUGUCUCUUUGUCUCACCUCUUUUUUUUUUUUUUUUUACUUGAUGUUGGAUAAGUAUGGACCUUUUUGCCGAAGAUUUUGACGCCUUCUUCAGUCGCAUGAGCGGCAGCUCCUCCAAUACCCUGGGUACCUCAGUAAAAGGUGACCGACCUCCCGUCGUUCCAGGCGGCAAGGGCAAAUUGUCCGUCUCAUCUUUUGGGAGUUCUCGGGGUACCCCGGCUACUCACAAGAGGAAGCUUAGCUCUUUGUUCACGGUUCCUAGAGAUCUUGUGGAGGGUGAGCUGGACCUGGUGGCAAAUAAGCGGAUAUCUCAUCUUCCUGAUUACUUCCUUCAUUCCUCCGAGUGCAUUUCCACUGACAUGGCCAUGGAGGCAGAUAGAUUGGACUUAAAUGAGCGUUAUAGCCGAGCGCUCAAAGCUUGUCAUGACGUGAGUGCCUCUCACUCUCUUUCUCUCUUUUUUUAUAUCGUUCUGACUCCAUUUUCUUCUUUUUAUUAUUAUUUGUGUAGGCGGCUUUCUACCUUAGCCAUGGUCUCCGAGACCUUAGUGGCAUCUCGACUGCACAGACCGAGGUAAAGAGGCUGCGACGUGAGGUUAGGCUCGGCCAGUCUCGGGAAGAGAAGCUGGGAGAGGAGGUCAGGGCUUUGCAAAGGCGCUUGGACGACCACGCCCGAGAGAACAGUUGAAUGUCCAAGAAGUUAGAAGAGGUAAAGUCUAAGCACGGUGGGCUACUAUCUCGCUAACCGGAGAUGAUGGACAAGUCGACUAUCCUGAAAGUGAUAGAGCACAAGACGGUAACCCAGGCUCCACCAUCUUACAGCCCACAACAAUCUUCGGGGGUACCCCAAGUACUCUAGGCGGAUCUCCCUUCGGUUAGUGCUGUUCGUGUGGGUAGCAGCUCUUUGACCGCGAGUGUUCCUGUUGAUGCCCCCGUUGAGAGGAACGGUGUAGAGGAUGUCCCCUCUUCUGCUUGAUCUUGCUAUUUAGAGUUUUAUCUCGAGAUGCCUUAGCAGCUUUCUUUCUUUGCUUAUGUACCUUUGUAGUAUAGUUUCAUCCUUUUGGUGUGUUGGGAUACUUAUCUUUUGGAAGGUUGCCUCGGCAAUCUUGCUACUUAUUCGCAUUAAACUUCUAUAAAUGCCAUUGAAUUUCUUGCUUAUGAUUGAUUUGUGUUGACUCGUGGGGUUUUCUCGGGUACCCCAGGCACCCCGCUGAUGUAUUUUUGGCGCUUGCGUGGUGAUUUCCGUAGACAUGCUCGCUGCUCGUCUUAAUAAAGAUUAUGGUGUAUCUCAAAAAUUUAAUAAUAUGUGCAUCAUCAUAAUAUAAAAUGAAAUUCAUAAUUGGCGAAACCAAAAUGUAAAUAAAGGUUAUGGCGUAUCUCGAAUAGACUUGUGGAGUUUCCUUGGGUACCCCAUGUACCUUUUUUUUUUUUUUUGUUCGAGGACUUUCUUGGCCUCUUUUCUUGCAAAAAUGGUUAAAAAUAUGCUAGUUUUGCCAUCUGCUUCUAGUUAAUAUUUAAUAAAAUAAUGCGAAUUGAAGGACAUGCUUGCCUACCUCGUUUCAUUUAUCUAUUCUUUACUUGGCUCAAGUAAAAGAAUGGAGGUGUGGGCGUGUGCAUACCUUAACGGAGCCUCAUGGCACUAAGGUAUGCUGGUUUACCUCGCCCUCGAGCCUUCUUUGACCAUCCAUCUUUAAAUUUGUUGUAUUCUUUCUUAUUGACGUUGACCUCGAACAGAUCUUCACGAUCGAAUCGAGGCAGAUACCUCAGGUUCCCAUGAUUAUCUUGAAAUGGAGCAAUUAUAGCUGAAUAAGACAUGGCGUAAUAAGAUAGAGUCACAUUAAUGGCGAAAAUUUAACUGCAAUCACAUUCGGUAAUAAAAAAGGAAAACACACAUCAUCUCAUAAAGUAAAAAACAUACUUAUAAACGAUAGAACCAAGAUCAUUACAUGAUAAUGUUCUAUUAUCUUAAAGAAAUGGGGGAUCCUAAGAUCACCCAUGUCAUUAGAGACUUGGAGAAUUGAAAAGUGCAACUAAUCAGUUUAGGGUACUCUGGGUACCCCGCAUGAUAAAGUACACCACACAAUAAAUCAAAUAUUAUAAACGCAUAAGCAUUGAAGAAAAAUAAAUAAAGUAAAUAGAAAGAGGUAAAGUGCUUCCCUUUAUUAGUAGUACUUCCUUGGUAUGGCAGCAUUUCAUAAGUGUUUUAUAAUUGUUCUUUUCAUUUAGAGUAGCGUGUGUGCUCAUUCAUUUUCUUCCUUCGGCACCUGGGGAUCCAGGGGUACCUCUAACUCUUCGAUUAACGCUGAAUUAGGACUUUGGGGUACCGCGGGUACAUCAUUCAUAACCGCAUCUACCUCAAUUGGCCCUACUCUUUUUUGUUUUAGAGGACUAGUUGUCUAUAACACUUUCCACCGUCCAGCUCUUCAUUUUCUUGCAAGCGCUUAAUUAGUAAGGCGAAUAAAUGUCAUUGGACUGCUGGGGUACUCGAGGUACACCAGGAAUAUUCAGCCUUCUCCCACGUGGGGUUGGACGAGGUAAGCUGUGUACCCGGGGUGCUCGAGAGGGUACCUGAGGUACCUCGGCUCUCUUAGGUUUCUUCUUAUUUCUCACAACUUCUACUCUGUCUUCCUCCCGCUUUAGGUUACACUUCUCAUCUAUUUCUAUUUGUUGUAGGGCUCGAGAACGAGCUUCCCCAUAUGAAAGAGGGCUGUGUUUUUGAAAUGACCGCUAUAACUUCCUCAAACACAAAUUCUUUUCAAAAUGAGUGUGAGUAUGUUGGUGACCAAACAUACCGGUAUACAACACCCCUUGGUGGAAGCAGGUUACGUAUUCGGCUAAAGGCUCCAAAUCCCCUUGCUUGAUGAAAGCAAGCUUGGAGGAUGUUAUAUCUUGGGUGGAUGCAUAACCAAACUCAUGAACAAAAUCUUUUAGGAGCUGGUCUAAGGAGGAUACACUACCUGCCUUCAACGAUCGAAACCAUGAUUUGGCUGGUCCGGUGAGGGUAUGCGGGAACAUCCGGCACAUAGCAUUUUUGCCCACUCCUUUAAUCAUCAUCUGGUCAUGAUACAACUCAGCAUGUUCCACGGGAUCCGAGGUACCCGAGUAUUGUUGUAUUUGAGGCAUGAUGAACGCUUCCGAGAGAACCGUUGUUCGAAUCUCCAUGGUGAAUGGCGAGUUAUACGCUGCUGGCGCUAGAGCAUUGGUGGGGUUUUAUUUUUCAGAAAGGGGCUUCUCUUGAGCUUCGAGGUACUACAUUUUUUCCAGGAAAUCGCGGGAUACCCCAGGUGCACCUGAGGAUGCCGCAGUUGUUUGGGAAGCUCUUUUGGUGUUCAACUUGUGCCGUAGAUCUUCAUGGACUUUUUGUUUACAUCUGGUACCCUGGCUGCUACGGGAAUAGCAAGAAGCAGUGGAGCGUUCUUCCCGAGAGUCAUCGGUUUGAAACUUUGAACGGGUGCUCGACAGCCCAUGCUUUUGUCUACUUCCUUCCAGUAUUUCAGAUCUUGGUAUGAUCUGCUUCUCACCGCAUGGGGGCAGGACAUCUUGAGUUACCGAGGAAGUGGCUGCUUUGGGUACACGAGAUCCUAUUGCUCUGAGAAUUGCAUGAGCCAAAUCCUCAAAGUGUUUAUGAGUAACGGGCUCCUCGUCGGGUUGAAUACCAGCUGAUUGCUUAACAAAUUUGCCUUUCUCUAGGCGGGAUGCCCUUCUAGUCGAGUCACCCCUCUCAUCACUAUCGUGAUCCUCCGCUCCAUCAUGACCUAGCAUUUGGUUAUCAGCGGGUACGUCGAGUGCCAUGGUUGUGCAAGCACACGUACCGACAAGCUUAGCACCGUAUGGAGGCUUUUUGCGCACUCCCCACAGACGACACCAAUUGUUUGCGGCUGAUUUUGGGUCAAUGAAUAAAAAACCACAAAACCAACCCAAGAGCAAUAAAUUUAUAUUUUUGUCGGGGAGCGGGGUACCUCGCUUGUUCGGCACAUGCGGGCUGUUUAGGCUUUUUGCAGAGUGAAGGAGGAUUGAGAUGACGGUGGAUAUGGAAGGGGUCUGACUUCAGGUACGGAGGGCUGGUGAAACUCGCCUUAAACCUGCGAAACAACCAAAAAAGAGGUUAGAGGUGGAGUCGGGGGUGGCCGGCGACCACACUCCGACGCUCAAGUUAGAGUCGGGUUAUCUUAGGUUAGAGAGCUUGCAAGCUCUCGGUAAUGGAGGUUUUAAGGUUGAAGAAACCCUAGUUUUUUAUGGUGAGUGUGUUAACUUACUUAAUAAAAAUCAAACCUGAGUAUUUAUAUGGUGUACCCCGAUCGUCGUGCCACCUGGCGCUAUUUUAGUGGCGUUCCCUGCUGUCAUAUCAGGAAUAUUCUUAUUUUCAUGUGUAUGACGGCUUAGAUGUUUCAAAAAUAUGAGUGGAGAGUAAGUUUGUGGCGUAUUCACGUGCUAGGCGUAGUGUGGUGGUCUCGCGUACCUCUACAAUUCCGUUGUAAUUUUACAAGCGUAGCAGGAAAAGCUGGUGGUCCCAACUGUCACAAUAUCACACUUUUGGCGGAUUCGCUGGCAUGACAGGCGGCUGUCUCCUCUUUUGCGGCAUGAGAUUUUCUUAUUUUUUUUACAUGUAUCAAACCGAUCUUUUUGAGAUUCGGGGCCCACAUAUCCUUUCACAUAUUUACGAAGACUUUUAUAUCCUUUCAUGGUGUACCCGAGAUACCCCAGAGUGCUUAGGGUAGCCGAGGUACCUAGGGUAUCCGAGGUACCCAAGGGACCCGAGAUAAAUUAAUCUCUUAAAUAUCGACACGUGGCGCUUCAUCAUUGGCCUCAUAUUUCCUUCCUAAAACGAUAGUAAAUGAAUAGAGAGUAAUAUUCCAAAAACAUCGAAGAUUUUUUUUUUUUUAAUACUGAUUACAUAUCAGAUUAUUAUAUUAUAUAGAUAUUUACAAAUGCCAUUAGAGCAGACACAAAUAUAUAACUUGAGACUUAUAUUAUUAUAUUAAUUUUAUGAAGUACAUACUCAGACAUAUAACCCUCACAGACGAGAGAGGUUAAAACUAAAAAUUAAAACCACUACACUCAUAAUCCUCAACUUUAAAAAUAAUGAUUCACCACUCGGCUAAAACCCAAGUGGCUAGAACACCGAACACUUUAUCGUGGAUAACAAUACUCAAUAACACAAAUAAAAUAUCCAGAUUACGUUAACACGUGUCUUUAAUAUUAUUAGAAUCAUUGUAUCAGAGGUAAUUAAGGCCCUUCACCUGCUCACUUCCUGUCUCUGUCAAUUAAUUUUUGACCAUUCUAGACCUUUGUUUCGUGCGGAUUGGAUUCAUGUUUCACAUGAGGAGGCUUGUUUGUUAAGACUAGUUUUUUUUUUUAAAAAAAAAAACACAACAAAAAAAUUAUGCAAACAUUUUUCUCUAUAUAAUUAAAACCAUCUCGUCCUCACAUGAGAAAUUUAAUUUAUUAUCUCAAUUAAAUACCAUUAUCUUUAUUAUCCAAACAUUUUUGGCAGCAAUUUUAGUUUGAAGUGUAAAAUUAAUUCCUAGUACGAAGAAAAGAAAUCAUCCCAAGAAAUUGUUGUUCCAUUUUGACUGUCACUUAACGUUGAACAUUCUCUUAAUGAUCCAGCUCCCGCGUUUGAAAGCAAGAUCAAGGCUUCAAUAAAUUAUGCUUUUUCGUUCAAAGAACCGACGAAGCUUCCAUCAAGCGACAGUUAGCUCGCCAACGGGGACUCGUCUCUUUACAACUCCUUCACCAGACACUUCACUGCUUACGCUUUCGCGUGCGGUAAAAUAUCCAUUCGAUCCCUAUAGUUUCAUUUAAUUUUUCAGUUAUAAAAUAAUUAAUAAUACCAACGUGGAGAAACUUCUUUUCAGUCAAAAGAAUACUUGUGCCGUCGUCAAAUAAGCAUGUAGUCUAACUUUCUUUAUUCCAACAGAUACCCCUUCCAACACAACAAAAAAAUAAGUUUAGAAAGCACACGAGGGUCAAAGUUUCUAGGCCUAUAAAUAUGAGAACUUUGAGAUUUAUUGUCUCCAUCAAAACGUUACCUACACAAAACCCUAAAUAAAGAGACAUUUUACGUGUGAAAAUUAUUAUUUUUCUCUCAUGGCCGUGAAGGGAGGUUUAGCAAAUGGAGAAAUAGCGGAGAGAUUAGCACUGGCUAACUGUUUGAUGUUGCUUACACGUAGCAAUAGAGCAAAGCUGCCAAUUAAGAAGCGUUUGGCGAGCGACGUAUUUGAGUGCAAGACUUGUAAUCGCCAGUUCCCAUCAUUUCAAGCCCUAGGAGGCCACAGAGCCAGCCACAAGAAGCCAAGACUAAUCAAUGGCGAGACCAAAACGUUGAGCUCGACGACGGCGACGAAGCCGAAGCUGCAUGAAUGCUCAAUAUGUGGGCAGGAAUUUGCUAUGGGGCAGGCCUUGGGCGGUCACAUGAGAAGGCACAGGAUCGCCAUGAAUGAAAGCUUGAAUUCUGCCGUGAUCGUUUCGCAGUCGCCGCCGGUGUUAAGGAGAUCGAAUAGCAGCAGAAGGGUUUUUGGAUUGGAUUUGAACUUGACUCCAUUAGAGAAUGAUUUGGAGGCUUUGUUUGGGAAGAUGGUUCCUAAGGUUGAUCUAUUAAUGACUUGAUUAUCUUUAAUUUUGGAGCCAUAACUUGUAUUAUUAAUUUUUUUUUUUGGUUUUUGGUGGCGUCGGGGGAGGGGGGGUGUUUCAUAGUUAACUUAUCACAUUUUUUCAUUUAUUUUAUGUACACUUAUAUGAUGAUAUGAAAUUUUUAUGUUUCUUUAAGAGAUGACGAGGAUUGAAUUAAUUUGUUCUUGAAAGAGCGAUUGUGCCCAUUAUGUUACACAUAAAAAUUGGAUGAUGUAAUCAUCGUUAACUCUCAAAAUUAGAGUAAGAAUUCAAAAUCAAGAAUUUAAUAAUUAAGAUUAAAUUAACUUUUUUUUUUGCAAGUGUAAACAAUUAUAAUAAUAUUCAUACACACGUUAACAAUUCUAUAUGUGUGUGUGCGUGCGCACACGUGGGGUUGCGUUCAUUUUUUUUAUUAGUGCAGACAAAUUGUUAAGUUAUAUGGCUUAAUAGAGCUAUUUUUUAAUGCACUAUAAAUAUAUGUGAUUAAAUAACGUUAAAAUUUUGACUCUAUUAAAUCACACGGUUUAAAAGUGUGUCCGUAUAAAAAAAAAUUUUGAGGGUGUUCGCUAGAUAUAUAUAUAUCCAGGAAUGCCUCAUGACGAGGAACUAUGUAGACAGGAAAUUCAAUCACUCUUAGACAUUAUAUCUUAUCAUAAAGGAUCAUAAAUGAAUCUCCUUUAUAACUCAUCACAUUUUAUAUUACACCACAUUAUACAUCCUUAUCUCUAAGAAUCUACUUUAUAACCCAUCACAAAUUAUAUUAAAUUACAAAAUUUUGACAAAGGCAUAAAAAAAAUUAUGCACAACUUACUUUUUAUCAAGAUAUUUUAUUCUUUUCAUAUUUCUUGUCAAAAUUUUGUACCCCAAUUUUUGGUCAAAGUCGCUUUUUCCAUGUUAAUUAACUUAAAUUUUGUUACAUACAAGUAACAUGGAGGUAAGAGCAUUAACUUGAAGAUUAAUUUAUUCAAUUAAAAUUAAUGCCGGUGAAGCUGCGGAGGUCGCUGGUAUUGGCUUUGGAUCCCAGCUGCCUCAAGCUUAAUUGGCUGAUUUUGACUCGUAUUCUUCCUGAAUACUCAAUAAUCUUCGAAUUAAUGUUGUUAGCUUGUUGCCUUGCUGGCAAAUGGGACUUUAUUGAAACCUCACCGUCCAAGUUUCUUCUGAUUGAAUCUCAAUGAUUUUCUUAAAUCAACUGAGCCUCCUUUAAUGGCUAUGGCCAUAUGCAGCACACAAUAUGAGAAUUACAGUUAGCUCUUCAUGGGUAGCUGCAAGUGCACUCUAACGUAAGAAAUCAAUAAUAACUUGAUUAAAUUAAAGCUAAAAGUAAAAUAAAAGUUAAUGCACAAUUCUUUUGUUAUAUUUUAUUUUAAAGAAAAUUAAGAUAAAUGAAUAUUGUUUUUUUUAUAAGAUCCCUAAAAUUGUUGUAAGAGUAAAGAAAAGGUAAUUAAGGACAUAAAUAAAAUAUAAUCAACAAGAGGGAUUCUUAAAAUAUUUUUUUUAAAAUGAAAGGACCAAAGGCAUACUUAAUUGAUAAUAUAGGAACUAAAUAAAUAUUUAUUCAAAUUGUUAUCUUCAAUUUUAUUAACGACCAAUUAAUCAAUAUGUUUUUAAUUAACUCACAAUUCACUUCAGAUCAGGAAUAAUAUGUAUCCGCUAACUCUUGUUGAUUCAAAGAUCACAAAUACGGGAAUGUUAUUAUAAUUUGUCCAAUUCUUUUUUUUAAAUGAAGCCUUAAUUAUCUGCUAGAGUGCUCAAAUGUAUCAAAAAGAUCAUUACGGUCGCUCCCAGAUGAUGUAGAAAUAAUAGUCAAUAAAAACAACUCUUCUCUUCACUACAAUUAUAAGUGGAUGAUACAGAAAAAUGUGAAGAAUACUUCAAUAAAUAAUUACAAUAAAUGAUUUGCAAUCAUCUCGAAGACACGAUAAAAUCAUGAGUUAUCCUUAUCAAGAAAAAAAAAAUUAUAUAUAUCAGCAGUUAUCACUCUUUAAGCUUCUAUAGAAUGUCUCUGGUUAGGCCUUGUUUGGUAUCAAAGAGUUAUAACCUUUAAACUACAAUUGUAUAACAAGAAAAACCAUAAGUAUAAGAUAAAAAUUAAUAGUAUCCAGUAAAUAUAAUUUUUAAAUAAUAAUUUUAAUAAAAUUAAUAAAUAUAUAAAAUUUUUUCAUUAUAUACAUAUAAAAUUAAAUUAACUUAAUUUUUAAAUUAUAAUAAUUAACGUUUAUCAAAUAUUUUCAUGUUACAACUUUUAAGCAUACUUAUCCAACAUCAAUUCCUCACUCCGUAAGCCUUUAAGUUUUUAGUAAUGAAUCAAAGAAUUAUUACGUGCUGAUUGCUUUUGUCUUCAUGACUCUUAACUUGACCACCGAGCCCAAUGGUUGUCCGAUGUAGAUUAUUAGGCCACUACGACUAUGCUGAAUUCUGUGCAUAAGGCUUUUUAUUUUCCCUUUGUUCCCCCUGUAAUGGGCUAAAAUUGGUCCAGAAUAAAAUUUGAUGGGUUUGGGCGUUUAUAGGUAGAUGGAAUUGACAAAAAAUAAAUAAAUGAAUUCAACUGCUGGCACUCCUUCGUGAAACUCAUAAAACCCCACUUCUAUUACAGUUAUAUUUAUGUACAUAAUAUGCAUGCUUACAUAUUUAAUUUUUUUUUUAUUUUGUGGGUAAUUUAGAAAAUAUUUAUCAAUUAAUUAGAAAUAAAAUUAUAUCCAUGAACUUUCAUAUUACCAAUAACUUGAAUAUUACGUAUCAGUAAUUAAGUAAUUAUUAGUUAUGGGGAUGGAUCCGGGGCUGGAUCCCAUAGCUUUACAAAAAAAAAAAAAAAAAUUUAACACAAUUUUUCAAGCUUGAAUUUUUUAUCUAUCAAUGAUUCAAUGACAAGGAUUAAAGAUAGAUGAUGACAUAGCUUUUCAUUGAUAAUUUUUUCAUGCCCAUAUCUCUCCCUCUCUUUUUCUUUAAAUAAAAUACCUCCAAUUUUUUUUCUCAUCUUUUCCAAUUUUCUCUCAUAUCACUUAAGCUACUACUCUAACUCAAGCUACUUAAAACCCUUAAAUUUCUUAUUUACAAGAGUUUUAAAUUAUGGAUAAGGAUUAUCCCACAGUAAUUGUUUUUCUUCUAGUGAAAUAAAAAUAUUUAAGAUUAAAUUUUAAAUUUUUAUGUUGACAAUUACGCCAGCUCUUUUUCACUUUUUUACAAUUAAGUUAAUUUUUUCGUUAAAUUUAAAAGGUUAGGAGAAAUUAGAAGAGAAAAGACUGUAAUAGAAUUCUAAUCCGUAAAUUAUACGUACAUGCAAGGGUUUUGAGAGUUCCUCGUAAGCCAACAGAGCAAGUAAAUUACAUUAUUUUGAUUAUCUAUUCUAAUUUAGGAUGUGUAAAAGUCAACUAGCGAGCUUCUAGUUAGUAAGAAGUUUCUUGGAUAAUGCCUCGGAAUUUUGUCACGUGUUCAAUAAUCAAAUCAAGCGACUACGUGAAUCAGGUAAUUUCCAGCCGGCGCCAUGCAAGGAAUAUAAACAAGCUAUAAAUGAUAAGCGCUGUUUAACGGCAUUGCUUAGCCAAUUGAUAAUUAAGCAAUUAAUGCUAGCUGGAAUGAUCAAGACGAAAAGGGAAAUUAAUUUUAAUGGGGAAUUCUUCCUCCAAAACUCAGUUAAGAUUAGAUAAAAUAAAGAAAGCACAGUGUUUGUUGGAUUGGAAAUUUGGACCACCAGGCCGUGAAUUAAUCUCCAUUAAUGUAUUUGUUCUGCGUUGUUCUUGUUAUUGCAGUACUCGUCAAAAGAAUUUAUUUUAAGUUACUUUUUAAACAAUGUGUAGAUAUGUUUAUACUUCAGGCUCUUCAUCACUUCUUUUUUUUUUUCAAUAAAUUUGUGUUACUUUAGAUUUAACAUGAGGCAGACAAGACACUAGGAAAUUAUUAAUAAAUAUGUUAAAUAAAGUUUCCACUGCUAAAUUAAGCUUAGCCAGGUACAAUUAAUACUAUCCGUUAUACCUAAUCAGAAUCUCUCAAAAUCCAAUAGUAAACCAAAAAUCUUAUAAUGAAAUUUGCAUCCUCCUUAGGUUUUAAGAAUUCGUUCACUUAAUUAAAUAUCGUAGUAAAUGCUUUUAUCAAGAUCAAUGCUUUUCAAUGAAAAUAAACUAGUUGCUUUUCAGAAUUAUGCCACCAAAAUUAAAUAUUUGCCCGUGUGUAGAAGAAUAUAAUAAAAGUUCACUUUAAUCAUGUCAUGUCACUGAAUUGAAAGUGUAAUAUCCCUUAAAUUAAGAAAAAAUGAUAACUAAACUCUCAAGAUUUAGAUAAUCGAUCAGAAAAAUUAUUAAGUUUUUAAGAAACACAUCAAUAUUUUUUUUUAUUAUAAUAUUCUUUAACUCUAUUAAUAAAACAAAUUACUCUAAUGUUUUAUAAUAAAAAAUAUAAUAAUAUAUACAUUUUAAAAUAAUUUUAAAAAUUUCAAAAAAUAUUUUAAUAUUUUACAAUCUAUUAUACAUUUUUUAUUAUAUUUAAAGUAAAUUUUACUUUAAAUAGAAAAUAUUAUGAAAAUAAAUAUAUAGGAAUUUAAAUUAUUUUGAAUUUUAUGCUAAAUAAUUUUAAUAUUAUUAAUAAAUGAGAUAUAUAUUUUAAUUGUAAAAUCUAUUUAACCCACAAAUUUAUUUAAAAUAUUUGUAAUAAAUAUAAAUAUAUUAUUAAGAAAUAUAAUAAUUUAUAUUUUUAAAUUAUUUUAAAUACUAAAAUAUUAGUCUACUAGACAUAUUAAAUUAUUUAUAUUAUAGUUAUAUUUUUAAAAUAUUUUUUACACUCUAUUUAUUUUUAGUUAUUUUAUUUAAAAGUUAUUAUAGCUAAAAUGAGGUAUUAGUGUCCUUCAUCGAAAACUUAGAAAUAUGCAUGAUCAUGCCUCUAAAUCUUGGAAGUGGUCUUGCUAAUUUUCCCUUAAAUUAUAUAUAUAUAUAUAGACAUCGUUUUCUUUUUUCUUCUUGGGGAAAGAAACUUGUCAAUUUUAAUGUCGUUUUUGUAAUGCCGGUCCGAUUACAGUGCUAACACUGCCAUUAAUUAAAAUAUGGAAACUGACUAAUUAAUUAUCAUAUUACUUCACCGAGUAAAAUAUUUAAGAGUUAAUAUAUUAUUUAUAUCAAAACGGAGAUAGCGAUAAGAGCAUUUAAAAUUUUUAUUAAAUUAUUAGAAUAAGAAUGAAGUUGAAGAGAUCGUUGAUAUUGGCCUCAGCCUCGGAGAUGCAUGUAUUAUUUGCAAACCUAAGGAUAAUAACGAACAAGGGAUCACGAUCGAUAACAAUUAACUUAAUCAAAUGUUUAAAACAAAAUGAAGGUCGGCUCUGAGGUAAUGCAUGCAAGUCAUUAUCAAUAAGUUAUCUUUAGUGACAUUAACUAUAAAUGUUAAACAAGAUUACCCCAUUCUAAAAUUAAGCAUUAUCAUUGGCUAAUAAAUUUGUACGAUGGGCCCUCAAAACAUGACAUUAAAGAAUAGAAUUGGACUGGUUUUUUUUUUCUAAUAUUAAUUACACAUCGUAUUAUUGUAUUGCACAAAUAUUUACAACUGUUAUUAUAGCAGAUAUUACAUUGAUAUUUAUAAUCAGAUAUAUAUAACUGGGACUUACAUUAUUACAUUAAAUUCUAUGGAGUACAUACCCAGAUAAAUAACCCUCACAGACGAGUGAUGUCUAUGCUCCACUCGCAUUUUGCAAGGGAGAAUAACUUAUGAAUAUUUUAGCUCUCACAAUGCUUUUGUGGGGGAUUGAACCGCUGCCCUUCCGCUUGUGAGGGCAGCAGAUCAACGACUCGGCCAAAGGCCGAGUGGUGCCAUUGCACUGGUUAAUGAAGCUUAAUUUCAAUAAUUUGAUAGGUUGGUUAAUAAUAUCAUGUUAUUAAUGAGGGUAGCUACUUUGAUGUGUGUGAGUAUUAAUUACAAUAAUUUGAUAAGUGGGGUAAUAUUAUCAUGUUAUUAAUGUGACAAAAUACUUUGAUGUGUAUGCGCGUGUGCAUGCACGUGUAUUUGUGUAUUAAUUUCAAUAAUUUGAUAGGUGAGAUAAUAUUAUAAUGUACUUCACGAGGGUAAAUACUUUGAUGUGUGCGUUCGUGUGUAUGUGUGUGGUUGUGUGUGCUUGGGGGUGGGUGGGUGGGUGCGCUUAUUUUCCCCCUUCUCCACUUCCUCCUUUAUUUCAUCCCCCUACAUAUUUUCUAUACCCUUUUCCACUUUNNNNNNNNNNNNNNNNNNNNNNNNNNNNNNNNNNNNNNNNNNNNNNNNNNNNNNNNNNNNNNNNNNNNNNNNNNNNNNNNNNNNNNNNNNNNNNNNNNNNNNNNNNNNNNNNNNNNNNNNNNNNNNNNNNNNNNNNNNNNNNNNNNNNNNNNNNNNNNNNNNNNNNNNNNNNNNNNNNNNNNNNNNNNNNNNNNNNNNNNNNNNNNNNNNNNNNNNNNNNNNNNNNNNNNNNNNNNNNNNNNNNNNNNNNNNNNNNNNNNNNNNNNNNNNNNNNNNNNNNNNNNNNNNNNNNNNNNNNNNNNNNNNNNNNNNNNNNNNNNNNNNNNNNNNNNNNNNNNNNNNNNNNNNNNNNNNNNNNNNNNNNNNNNNNNNNNNNNNNNNNNNNNNNNNNNNNNNNNNNNNNNNNNNNNNNNNNNNNNNNNNNNNNNNNNNNNNNNNNNNNNNNNNNNNNNNNNNNNNNNNNNNNNNNNNNNNNNNNNNNNNNNNNNNNNNNNNNNNNNNNNNNNNNNNNNNNNNNNNNNNNNNNNNNNNNNNNNNNNNNNNNNNNNNNNNNNNNNNNNNNUUAGAUGAACAAUGAGGAAAUCAAUAUUUUGAAAUAUUGUGAUCUUCUUCUUCUUCUUCUUUUAUUAUUAUUAUUGGCUCAUUGUUAAAUGUUUUGGGCGCAAAAUACAAUAUUGAAGAUAAAUAAAUUGUGUUAAAUAAUUUGUUUACAAUUUGGGUUAAUUAUAAUAUUGCAGUAUGUUAAAUCUCUUAGAAUAGAGUGUAUUGAGUAGUUUUAUUGGUGUUUUAAAUAAACAAAAUUAAUUAAUUUAAAAAGUCUAAGUAAGGAUUUUUUUUUUGGGAAUUUUAAAGAGUAUACAAAGAAAAACUUAUUUUUUCAAAAUUAGUAUAUGAGUGUAUGAAAUAAGAAAGUAUUCAAAGUAACUUUUAAAGUACAAAUAGCCCCACCUACGAAUGAAUUAUAUUAUUUUAAUUUUCUAAUCUAGGGUUUGUAAAGUCAACUAAUUAAUGAGCUAAUUAAGCUCAGAAUUUUGACAUAAUUUUAAUCAAAAUCAACAAGAGAAUCAUGUUUCCGGCUAGUGCGAUGCAAGAGAACAAGCGAGUUAAGCACAGUUUUAAACUUCAACGUCAUUGCUUAGCUAAUUGAUGAAGAAUUUAAAGAUAAUUAAGCAUUAAUGCUGGAAUGGACAGCCAGACAAAAAAUGGAAAUUUAAUGGGCCUUCUUGCUUUCACAUAGUCUUUAAUUUAUCAUCUGCGAAACUCAGAAAAUUAGAUAAAUUAAUAAAGCCCAGUAUUCGUUGUACAUAUUGGAGCAGCAGACCAUGAACUUUUUUUUAAUACAGCCAUGAAAUAAUCUUCAUUAAUUAAUGUAUUAAUCUCCAUUAAUUUCUUCAAUGUUCUUGUUAUUGCACGUACUCAUCAAAAGAGAUGGCGAGGGAAACUAUUUUAAGUUACCUUUCUAACUAUGCAGACAAUUUUGUGAGUUUAUAUAUCCCCUUCUUUGGAAUCUUUAUCAUCAUAAUUGAAUUAUAUACAUAUUUAACUCCUUAAUGAAUAUCAUAUUAACGAACUUUUGGAGCCUUGCAUUUGUAAAUUUAUUGAGUAGCUAAUUUAUUAAAUAAACCCACAUUAGGAGUAUGUUUUUAAAAAUAUAGAUUUUUUUCUUUAUUAUUUAUUAACUAAACCCACAUUGGAGUAUAUUCUUAAAAUUAUAGAUGUUUUCUUUGUCAUUCAGAAAUGUUAUCAAUAUGAAACUGCAAUGAUUCAAAAACUUAAUUUAAUGACAACUAAUAAAGCCAAAAAUUCUCAUAUUUUCUAUAUUUUCAACUAAGAAUUAAAUUUCAUGGCAGAUUUACUAUAUUGUAAAUCAACUUUUACAAUAUUGUAAACUGACUUACAACGCCAUAAAUUUAUCCUAGAUUUCAAUCCUAAGUCAAAUAAGCAUUAUAUAUGUGUGUAUGUUUAGCUUCACAUGCACAAAUUCAUGGAUUAAUUUUGAGAGAUUUGUAGAAUCCUUUAGCAACUCAAUGAUUGAGGUAUCAUGACAACCACUUCUCAACAACUUAAUAAAAGCACUUUAAACCUUAAUUUAAUUAAAAUUAAGCUCAAAAUAAGUGCUUGUUAACUUCCGCUUAAUUGGUGUAUCUUUGAGGAUCAUGAUAAAAGCCUGUCCGCUUAAUCAUACUAACAAGAACCUCAUUAUUAGUUGUAUAAUGUGUAUUAAAACAAUGCAUAUACUUUUUUCAUUAACUAAUCCACUUUCAUCACUAAUAAUAUAUAUCUUGUCCACAAAUACAUACAUAUAUAUAUAUAUAUAUAUAUAUAUAUAUAUAUAUAUAUAUAUAUAUAUAGGGUAAAAGCUCGUUUAGUCCCUAUAUUUUGAAGUUAGUGCCCGUUUAGUCCCUAUAUUUUUAAAAAUACCUCAAACCAUCCCUACCAUUAAAUUAUUGACACUUUUGCCAUUAUCUUUUGUUCUUUUUAACUUAUUUUUAUAAUAUUGCCCUAUUAUAAUAAUUUUUUAGACAUUAUUAAAAAGAAAAAAAUAACCCUAUUAUAAUAAUUUUUUUAGACAUUAUUAAAAAGAAAAAAAUAAAUUACCAGUUUAACACUAAAAAAUAAAAUAAAAUAAAAAAUAUAUAUUAAUUUUUGUGAAACACACUCUUGAGUUAAAAUAUUAAUUUUUCUAAAAAAAUUGAUAAUGUAAUUUUUUACGAUAUUAAUUUUUUAGACAUACGUAAGCUUCCACAAAAAUUAAUAUAUACCUUUUUUGUUUUUAUUUUAUUUUUGAGUUUAAUUUGAUAAUUUAAUUUUUUAUUAAUAUCCAAAAAAGAAACAUUAUUGUAAAAAUGUAAUAUUGUAAAAACAAGUUAAAAAUAAUAAAAAAUAAUGGCAUAAGUGUCAAUAUUUAGUAGCUGGGACAUUUUGAGGUGUUUUUAAAAAUACAGGGACUAAAUGGACACUAACCUCAUAAUAUAGGGACUNNNNNNNNNNNNNNNNNNNNNNNNNNNNNNNNNNNNNNNNNNNNNNNNNNNNNNNNNNNNNNNNNNNNNNNNNNNNNNNNNNNNNNNNNNNNNNNNNNNNNNNNNNNNNNNNNNNNNNNNNNNNNNNNNNNNNNNNNNNNNNNNNNNNNNNNNNNNNNNNNNNNNNNNNNNNNNNNNNNNNNNNNNNNNNNNNNNNNNNNNNNNNNNNNNNNNNNNNNNNNNNNNNNNNNNNNNNNNNNNNNNNNNNNNNNNNNNNNNNNNNNNNNNNNNNNNNNNNNNNNNNNNNNNNNNNNNNNNNNNNNNNNNNNNNNNNNNNNNNNNNNNNNNNNNNNNNNNNNNNNNNNNNNNNNNNNNNNNNNNNNNNNNNNNNNNNNNNNNNNNNNNNNNNNNNNNNNNNNNNNNNNNNNNNNNNNNNNNNNNNNNNNNNNNNNNNNNNNNNNNNNNNNNNNNNNNNNNNNNNNNNNNNNNNNNNNNNNNNNNNNNNNNNNNNNNNNNNNNNNNNNNNNNNNNNNNNNNNNNNNNNNNNNNNNNNNNNNNNNNNNNNNNNNNNNNNNNNNNNNNNNNNNNNNNNNNNNNNNNNNNNNNNNNNNNNNNNNNNNNNNNNNNNNNNNNNNNNNNNNNNNNNNNNNNNNNNNNGAAGAUUUUUUCUCUUUAAUGAUAAUUAAGUGAACGAGUCUUAGUUAAGUCUCUAUUUUAUUUUUCUUUAAUGAAUUUAUGUCUCUAUAAGAAAAGUAUUAUUACGCAUGCAUGCCAAGCAACAAUAAUCUUGAAACUGGGGAUGAUUUCUAAAGGAAGAAAUUUUGGACCACAUGAUCGGCAGUGAUUCAAUUGUCCUAAACUCUGAAGGGCUUUAAGUAAUUUUUAUAUCUUCAUGAACCACGAUUUAACUAAUCAUUUGCUUAAUCUAAUCAGUAAUUUCGAUAAAUAAUGUCAUUGCGUUAAGCAGGCUACACAAAUUAAUCUUUUUAAUUAGGUUAUGCACAAGCAUAUAUGUGUGCUUCAUCUUUUAAUAACAUUCGUAGAAGUAAACUAUAUAUAUAUCUAUGAAUCAAUUAAUUAAUAAUUAACCAAAAGUGAGCACGCUUUAUCUUCAUUCUCACUAGGGUUACUCACCAAAACCCUAUGUGGGCUAUCUAAUAUUCUUCAUAAUUUUUAAGCUUGUUGGUACAGGUGCUGCAAUCUCCUUAAUCCCACCAGCUUGUUUAAAGAAGCAGAAAUUAAUCGAUCAUUAAUUCACAAACAGCCACCGACCAUUCAACAAGGAACCAAACAAAUUAAGAAAAUUUAAUUUUGAUUUUAAUGAUCUCCACACGUCCUAAAAUAUUACACUAGACUUGUUUAAUGAAGUUUCAAUUAUAUAAAAUGCCAAUACAGUGUACAUGAACCAUUUAUCACGCGUUCUGGCUACAAAAUUAUAAGGCUUAGCAAAAUGAAGUAUAAAAUUUCUUUUCUGCAAAAGGAAAGCCUUCAAACUAUUGGAAAACAAUGCAAAAAAAGAAAUUAUAUAUUUUCGUUGUGGAAACUAUAAUGACCUCCACACGUCAUAUAGAGAGCAAAUAAUAAAGCCUAAUGCUGGAGCACUAAUUAGGACUUGUAAAUUGUAAUAGGUGAUAAUAAUAUUCUCUAAAUGCUAAUGCAUGAAUCAUGAUUAGUUCUAAAACACAAGGAGACAAGUUUGGUUAUUGAGUGUAAUUAAUUUUAAUCAAAAUUUUAAGCAUCGUUCAAUGUGGGAGCAAGUUAUAUAAGUAAAGACAAUCAAGCAAAUAAUUUAAGCAUAUGCAAUUAAUUAAGCCGUCGAAUAGAUUACGACAAAUGAUUUCUCCUUCCUUAAAAAUGAUAUUCAGUGCUUUAAACACAUAUAUUAAGCCGUCGAAUAGAUUAUGACAAAUGUACCAAUUAAAGAAUAGCACAGAAAAUGAGCAGCUUCUAAUUCGAUCCCACAUGAGUAUUAUGACAAAUCAGCUUCAAAUGGAAACUUAACCAAAGUUAUCUUCNNNNNNNNNNNNNNNNNNNNNNNNNNNNNNNNNNNNNNNNNNNNNNNNNNNNNNNNNNNNNNNNNNNNNNNNNNNNNNNNNNNNNNNNNNNNNNNNNNNNNNNNNNNNNNNNNNNNNNNNNNNNNNNNNNNNNNNNNNNNNNNNNNNNNNNNNNNNNNNNNNNNNNNNNNNNNNNNNNNNNNNNNNNNNNNNNNNNNNNNNNNNNNNNNNNNNNNNNNNNNNNNNNNNNNNNNNNNNNNNNNNNNNNNNNNNNNNNNNNNNNNNNNNNNNNNNNNNNNNNNNNNNNNNNNNNNNNNNNNNNNNNNNNNNNNNNNNNNNNNNNNNNNNNNNNNNNNNNNNNNNNNNNNNNNNNNNNNNNNNNNNNNNNNNNNNNNNNNNNNNNNNNNNNNNNNNNNNNNNNNNNNNNNNNNNNNNNNNNNNNNNNNNNNNNNNNNNNNNNNNNNNNNNNNNNNNNNNNNNNNNNNNNNNNNNNNNNNNNNNNNNNNNNNNNNNNNNNNNNNNNNNNNNNNNNNNNNNNNNNNNNNNNNNNNNNNNNNNNNNNNNNNNNNNNNNNNNNNNNNNNNNNNNNNNNNNNNNNNNNNNNNNNNNNNNNNNNNNNNNNNNNNNNNNNNNNNNNNNNNNNNNNNNNNNNNNNNNNNNNNNNNNNNNNNNNNNNNNNNNNNNNNNNNNNNNNNNNNNNNNNNNNNNNNNNNNNNNNNNNNNNNNNNNNNNNNNNNNNNNNNNNNNNNNNNNNNNNNNNNNNNNNNNNNNNNNNNNNNNNNNNNNNNNNNNNNNNNNNNNNNNNNNNNNNNNNNNNNNNNNNNNNNNNNNNNNNNNNNNNNNNNNNNNNNNNNNNNNNNNNNNNNNNNNNNNNNNNNNNNNNNNNNNNNNNNNNNNNNNNNNNNNNNNNNNNNNNNNNNNNNNNNNNNNNNNNNNNNNNNNNNNNNNNNNNNNNNNNNNNNNNNNNNNNNNNNNNNNNNNNNNNNNNNNNNNNNNNNNNNNNNNNNNNNNNNNNNNNNNNNNNNNNNNNNNNNNNNNNNNNNNNNNNNNNNNNNNNNNNNNNNNNNNNNNNNNNNNNNNNNNNNNNNNNNNNNNNNNNNNNNNNNNNNNNNNNNNNNNNNNNNNNNNNNNNNNNNNNNNNNNNNNNNNNNNNNNNNNNNNNNNNNNACUAACAAAGCUUUCAUGUGAUGCAUGUUCCUUCCCACCAUCGUGCCUCCGGAAGGUAUCUUUCACAUCAGGAUAUUGAGUUACGUCAUUUAACUUGAUUAAGUAAAGGUAGUUUGUUAAGGUUUAACUAGCUAGUUUGGUAAGGUUUAACUAGGUUAGAUUUAGGCUUGGUUUUUAGAAUUUUCACAGGUAAUCAAGAUGGUUCUCAAAGUCCAUUCUAUAUAAGUAAUAGUGGCGAGAUGCAUUAAGAAUUUAGUCGAGUGAUUUUUGAACAAUUUUUUUAAAAGAUAUACCAUCAUAUAUCACUUCAUGCACUAAAUUAGUCACAAUUUAAUAUAAUACUAAUUCGGUAAUUGCAUAAUUCAGGCAUCUCCAAACUCCAAGGAUCACCUUUAAAAUUUUUUUAAAAAAAGUACGACAAUAUAUAUAUAGGAGUCUCAAAACAAAAUCUAAGGAAAUAUCCUAACAAUUGGUGGUGAUCACAUAUCUUAUCAAUGUUUGAGUUUUGUUUCAAAUAUGUUGACAUUUGGCAUUUACUAAAACACACGGUCAAGAUUUGCUCUUUCGUUAAUUAUUUUUCACUAUCUUCUCAAACUCUUAAACGAUAACGUUUUUACUCCAAAAAAAAAUUCCAUUUCGCUGAUCUUUAUGAUUUUCACAAUUUCCGCCUCAAUCAGAUUACUAUUUCUCCAUCAGCUACUGUUUCUUCUUUUCAACAACUGUCCAUUAUAAUACGAAUUUUGAGAAAGCCAUUGAUCAUCGGUUUCCCUGCAUCUUUCUUCGUUCUCCUCCUCUACCCCUUAAACUAGCUCAUGCCGCAAAGUCAGCUCGCGUUACAUCUAGUCCACAAGGAUUGAAUCACUGUGAUUAAGGUCUUGUGACUUGAUUUUUUAGCAAUGAGUCCCAGAAAAUUAAUAGAAAGUUUGAUUAAUCAGAAACACACAAGGAAGAUCAAAUUCUUUUCCUUUUUCUUUUUCUUUUUUUAAACAAAUUUUAGAACCUGGCCCAUAAAGAAAUCAUCACCAUUUAUAAACCUAGCUUGAAACCUAUUAUUUCAUUACUAAGAAACAACCAAAAUUUUUAUCCUUGUAAAAAUGGAAACACAAAGAAAUCAACAGUUACUGGCCGUCGAGAUUGAUUAGUAUGAUUUUUCUUCGAACUUUAAUUUCAUCAUUCUCAGCAAAAAAUUAGCGUGAUAGAAAAAUUUCAAUAGAAUUAAAAAAUAAUAAUUUAAGAGGCUGAGAAGGGGAUGAAAAGAUUAUUAAUUUAAGAAUAAAUCUUGACCACACAUUUUAAUAAGUGCCACAUUUUAAUAGAUCCGAAAAAGCUCGAUGCUGAUGAGAGUUGAUCCCUACAAUUAUUGUUGCUCUUGUCAAGUUCAACGCCUUUAAAAUCACAACAUAUACUUGAUUAUCAAACUCAUACAGCCUGAAAUUAAAAAUUCGGUCGCAUAUAGAACCCUUUCAUAAAAGACAGAUUUACCAGAUUAUGUCACCCAGACUGAACUAUCCCUUAAAUUAUAAUGAAUGUAUAUAUCUCAAAUUAGAAUAAUUAACAACUUGCAAUCUGACGAAACAUUAUAUAUAAUGCCAUUUAAAAACUCUAACAUCGUUUUCUAAAUUUCCUUUUAUGGAAAGAAAUUCAACUAUUUUGAUGCCGUUUGAUGUGAAUGCCGGUCCAAUUAUAAUGUUCAAAACAUUGCUACAAGUCAGAUAUGAGUGUAAUAAGAAUUAAUAAAUAAUUAAAUUUUUAUUAUUACAUGGUGAUAAGAUCAUUUCAGAAAUUAUUCAAUGAUUAGAAUGUUGGAGGAAUCGAAGAGAUCGUUGUUGUUAUUGGCCUUAGCCUUUUCUAAUAAAUGUAUGGAGGGCAUGCAUUUAUCAAUUUGCUAGCCUGACGUUGACAAUAGAGACCAGGACUAAUAAUGAAUUCUUUUUAAUUAGAAUUAAAAAUGUACAAUUAAGGAAAGUCUUGUUGUCGGAUGAUCACAGCCACACGAGUUGCUGACUUUGACUUCAUACUCUUUUUGAAUAGUCAACUAUCGCCCGAGUAGGUUAGCUUAUUCACUAAUGGAAUCUAAUCUACGCUUCAAAUCAAGUGGGCACCAAUAUUAGUAGCUGCCCAUAUAAGCCACAUUAUUCAUGUCUACUGCUCUCAUCAACUCAAAGAUCAAAUAAUCAAAUAAAGGUAUGUGUUUUAUUCGUUUAAAGGCUUCUUUGUUAGAGUGAUGAGUUAUAUAUAUCAAAUAAAUUAAAUAAUACUCGGCUUUCAUAUAAAAGUUAUCAUUGGAUAUUGGUUAAGUGAAACGGAAAUGCUUAUUAAUGUAAUUAAGUAGCUUUCCUUUUUAUUUUUUUUCUUUUUGUAAGGUAGCAAUGAAUAAAACUCAAAUUAAUUUUUUAAUUCUUAAUUUUCUCAUAAUUCAAAUUUGGUUGACCAGUUAAAUACAGUUAUUUGUGGCCAAACCCUUGCAGAUAAUUUUAUUAUAUAGCUUAAACAAAAUUACCUACUGCAAGGCUCAAUUUAAGCAAAUAUCAUUGGCUAACAAAUUUGGUAAUUUGACGGACCGAAAGAACAUGACCUCAAUGAUUGGAACUUGAAGAUGGUUGAUCCAAUAGGACCACUAUUCCAGUUAUUAUUUAAGUAACUUAAGUAAGAUUUAGGCUUCUAUCCAGAAGAUUAUCGGAACCGUAAUUUAGAAAUCAUAAACAAGAUUUAGGUUUCUAUCGAGAAAUACGCAAGGGUUUGGCAGUUGCUCAUUGGUCAAUUAUACAAGUAAAUAAUAUCAUUUAAUUGUCUAAACUAGGGUUUGUAAUUUGUUAACGUCAGCUGAUGAGAGCUAAACUUAUUUAGCACUCUAUUGUGUAAAUAAUGCCUAGGAAAUGUCGUAAGUUUAAUCAAAUUAAGAAAGUAAGCGAAUCAUGUUCCCGGCUGGUGCCAUGCAAGAAGACAAGCUAAUUAAUUAUAACGUCAUUGCUUAGCUGAUUCAUGGAGGAUUUAAAGAUAAUUAAUCAUUAAUGCCGGAAUGAUUAAGACCCAAAACAGGAAGUUAAAUUGGGAAUCUUUCUUGAAAACUCAUCAGAAGAUUAGACAAAAUAAAGAAAGCUCAGUGUUUGUUGGAUUGGACCACAAGGCCAUGGAUUAAUACAUCUUCAGUUAAUGCGAUUGUUAUUGCAGUACUCGUCAAAACCGAUCUGUCGAGAAAACUCAUUUGAGUGGCUUUUCAACGACUAUGUAUUAUUGAUAUACAUAAUUUAUGUUAUUUGAGUUACUUUUCUUAGUUUCUUUGGGAAUCUGCAUCAUAACUUCAUUAUACUUUAAUGCCUUGAUUAGUAUAAUCAUGUCUUAAGGACCGAAGAGAAGUUCUUGGAGCCAUUUGUUUCUUGCCUUUAAAGGAAAGCUAUGUUGGAGUAAUUGUUAAUGCAUCCACUAAUCAUCCACGUAUAUUAUUUUCCACAGGAAUUAUAUUAACAAUUUUUUAGGCUAUAAAUGCUAGCUGUUACUCAAUCUCUAUCCGUUUCGCUGGGAAAACUUUAACUAGAUCGGGGUAAAACAAUUAGCCAGUGAUAGUAUGACUCGCUACAUUUAAUUUACAAAAACAAAAAAACAGAAAUCUGUGAUGUAAAUAUGUUUUCGUUAAAAUCUACUUUAUUAUUUGGGUAAAAGCUCAUUUAGUUCCUGUAUUUUAAGAUUAGUGACUAUUUAGUCCCUAUAUUUUUUAAAAUGCCUCGAAACAUCCCUGUCGUUAAAGUAUUGAUACCCCUACCGUUACUUUUUAUUUAUUUUGGCUUACUUUUACAAUAUUAUCCUUUUAUAAUAAUUUUUUUUGUUUGGACAUUAAUAAAAAGAAAAUAAUUAAAUUACCAAUUUAACCCUAAAAAAUAAAAAUGAAAAAUUUAUAUUAAUUUUAAAUUGUCAAAAAUUGUAUGCAAACCUAUCAAGAGAGCAAAUGGAGACUUGCAAAAAAAUAAAUAAAAUUUUCUUAAGGAUAAAAAUAGAAAUUAAUUAUCUUUCAUAUUAAUUAAUUGNNNNNNNNNNNNNNNNNNNNNNNNNNNNNNNNNNNNNNNNNNNNNNNNNNNNNNNNNNNNNNNNNNNNNNNNNNNNNNNNNNNNNNNNNNNNNNNNNNNNNNNNNNNNNNNNNNNNNNNNNNNNNNNNNNNNNNNNNNNNNNNNNNNNNNNNNNNNNNNNNNNNNNNNNNNNNNNNNNNNNNNNNNNNNNNNNNNNNNNNNNNNNNNNNNNNNNNNNNNNNNNNNNNNNNNNNNNNNNNNNNNNNNNNNNNNNNNNNNNNNNNNNNNNNNNNNNNNNNNNNNNNNNNNNNNNNNNNNNNNNNNNNNNNNNNAAUGCCUGAAUUGUUCUAAUAGGCAUGUAUGGAUGAGAAGACAUUUGCAGAAUCACCGAGCAACUUGACAAAUAUUAGGCGGGGCAUAGAAGCACUUUUGAAAUCUUAUGGCACCUGGCUCUGAGAUUAGCCCAUGCUCUUUAACCGUUAAUUAAAAGCUCAAAAUCAUUAUUAUAAUGAUAAUAAAAUUUAAAGUGCUUGAAAGUCCCCACUAAUUAGUUAACUUGUGUUAUGGGGGACCAUGAUUAGAGGUCACAGCUAUCUAUUUUAUUAACUAAUCCACUUUCACAACCAAUAUAUAUAGAUCUUGCCCAAAUUAUAAAAUUAGCAUGGCUCAAAAGUGAGGCCAUGCAUGUGCUUAAUUGCAAGCACCUACUCUUUUGUGACCCAAAAAAUGCCGACCCACUUGAUUAUUGGCAAAUCGGUAACCUCGAUCACCUUUUUUCUUCUCCCUUUGGGGAGACUACCAGAAAACUAAUUAUCAAAGGCAAAGAUAAUCCCAUUAUCGUUAAGAUGAACAAAACUUGUGCAAACAAAGCAAGUUUUUCGAUCGUGACAUUUAAGAAGUGUCAUGCACUAUUAGUUGUCAUGCACUAUUAGUUUUUGGACCACACCAACAUAACUAGCCUGGCCACAUAUGGAAGCCAAUUAAAUGGAACACUUUAAUAUUUUCCAUUAAUGGAGUAUUACUCUGAUAGAAAAUUUUGUCAUUGAUUGUAGUGAUUAUAACGAAUAAGCUUACACUGAUGGGGCUAUAAACUGAUUAUUAACCUUCUGAUUUUUAUAAUGCAGAAAUGCAUAAUUAUUUCAUCACAUAAUUCUGACUGUUUAUUUAUGCAUGGUUGAUUAACUAAAGUCAACUUAUUUAUUUUCAUUCUUAUUAUAGGGCUGUCACUAUGGACUUAAUUGAGUAAUCAUCAAGCAAAUUUUUGUAGUUGAUCACUCAAAUUCAAAUUUUGAGAGGAUUCGAGCUCAUAUCAAAGGGUUUUAUUAAAAAAUAUAUAUAUGAAAGAGCAGCAGAAUAAGCUUGUUGGGCAGAUGUUAAUGUUCAUUAUCGUUGGUAUCUAUUUCAAUCCCGCAGAAACUUCCCAUGAGAGGAUUUAAAAUCGUUGGGGUGAAAAAAAAAAGAGUUUGUUUUAUAAAUAAUAAUACAAAAAUUAAGGAAAGUUUCUCAUGCGUUAAAAAAAAAAAAGUUUUCUUGUCGGAUAAUCCCAGCCACACAUUUUCCCCACUUUGACUUCAUAUUCUUUUUCAAUAGUCAACAAACACCCAAUUAGUUAGCCUGUUGACUAAUGGAAUCUAUCUUCAAAUAAUCAAGUGGGAACCUCUGUAAAAGACACACGAUUGGUUCAGAAAUCUUUUUGUUAGAGCGAACACUUCAUCUGGUGUAAGAUAGGGGUGGUAAAACAAAUGAACGAAUUGAAUUUGAAUUGAAUCGUAAAUGAAUUGGGUCAAAAUUCUAGUGAUUCAUAUUCCAUUCAUUUAUUAAACAAAUUCAUAUCUCAGGAUUCGGAUUCGAUUCGUUUAUUAAACAAAUAUCCAGUUCAAUUCGUUUAAUUCGUUUAGUAGAAUUAAUUAACGAAUCGAAUAAAAUCUAGAUUUGUUUAUUAUUCGUUUAUUCUAGUACGAAUCCAUAACAAAUCGAAUCAAAUCAUUAUUCUUUUACAAUUUGUUUAGAAAAAUAUAAUUAAUAAAAAAAAUUAAGCAAAAUAAAAUUUUAAAAAGCCACAAAUUUAAUAUCCUACAACAAAAUACAAAUAACCCAAUCUAUAGUCUAGGAUUAAAUAUAUAGUCAUCAAAAUACCAAAUUACAAAUCCUUAAUAAUACAAAAAACCCUCAAAUUUAAAAAAAAAAUUCAAAUAAAUUUGAGGACAAAAAAGUAAUUUAAUUAAACGAAUAAUAAAUGAAUUUUAAACAAAUCGACAUGUAUUCGAUUCGCUUAUGAUCCCUUUAUUAAACGAAUUCUAAACGAAUCAAUAUCUUCAAACCCGAAUUCGAUUCGUUGAAUUAGCGAAUUGAAUCGAAUUCACUCAUUUAUUAAACGAUUCAAUUUUUUCAAAGCCAAACUCAUUUAAUUCGCAUUGAAUCAAUAAACCCUAUAUUUCCACCUCUAGUGUAAGUAAUAUCAAAGAGUUAUUAAAGAUUAUGAGAGAUUACGAGGCUUUGUAAAGUUAAAUUGAUGUAACUUACAAUUCACUUAUGAGUUUCCUUAAUCGAUUACUCUUAAAAAAAUUGUAAAAAAAAAAUGACUAAUGAGUUUGUGAGUUUUAUAAUGUAACUUACAAAAAUAAAUGAGUUUUAUUGACAUAUUAUUCAUUUAUGUAUGUUUUAAGUGGGUUAUAAAUUACAUUAAUUAUCACUUAGUAAAAGUCCCAAAAAUUAGUUGAAUCGACAAUGGUGAUUAACUAAGUAGCUUAAACAAGAUUACGCACUACUAGAAGGCAAAAUUUAAGCAAUAUCAUUGCUAACAAAUUUGGCGAGCUGGACCCACAGAACAUAUAAAUCUGACCUCAACAAAUGGAAACUAGGAGGUGGUUGAUCCAACACUCUAUUAACUAAGUUAUACUAUAAUUAUCCAGAAGAAUAAUGGAACCCUAACUUCUUAGUAACUUUGAAUUUAUAUACCAUAAACAAGAUUUAGGUUUCUAUCUUGAUAAAUCAUUGAUGAUUUUGAUGUGAAAUUAGUUUUUUCUUUUUUCUUUUCUUUCCAAUUAAGCAAGUAUACAUAGAUUAAAGUCAACUGAGGAGAGCCACACACAUAUAUAUAAAUAUAGAAUUAACACUUUAUGGACUAAUUAGUGCCUCGAAAUUGUCGUAAUUUUAAUUCUAAAUAAGAAAGUAUGUGAAUCAUGUUUCCGGCUUAGUGCCAUACAAUAAGACAAGCUAAUUAAAGACAGUUAACGUCAUUGCUUAGCUAAUUAUCAUGGGUGAUUUAAAGAUAAUUAAGCAUUAUUGCCGGCAUGAUUAAAACAAAAAGUAAUAAUAAUGAUGGGGUUUCUUCCUUCAUCUUCUGUAUCAUCUGCCAGAAACUAAGAAUAUAGAUAAAAUAAAAAGAAAUUAAGCAUAGUGCUUGUUGGAUUUGACCACAAGGCCAUGGAGAUAUAAUGUGUUGUUCUUCAUUGUGCUUGUUAUUGCAUUGCUCAUCAAAAGCUACUUUUCAAAAUUCAAACAAUGUAGACAUUUUUUUUUAUGAGACUCUUUAUCACUUUUCUUAGUCUCUUUUGGAAUAUAUCCACAUUAUAAUCUUAUUACAUUUUAAUUCCUUAAUUUCUAUACAUCAUCAUAUUAAGGACCACAGAGAUCUUGGAGCCUUAUGCUUGUUUUUUUUUUUUUCAAAAUUUUUAACAGUAAUCGAUUAAGGCAACCCAUAUUGGAUUAAUUGUUAAUUAAUAAACUAAUCAAGCUAAGCCACCCAGCUAUUUUCUUUUCCACAUGAAUUAUAUAUGUUAACAAUUUAAAAAUUGUUACGCUAUCAAAGUAUCAAUGCUAGCUGUUAUUCCAACCCUUUCUUUCUAAAAGGAUACCCCAUCCUUUUCGCAGGAGAAAACUUCAUAUAGAUCGGGGGCAACACAAAUAGUCAGUGACAUGACUAGAUUUAUUUAUUGUGACGACCAAUUUCUUAAACAGAUUUUUAACCGUGAAAAUUAAGUGAAUUUAAUGCAACAUCUAUUUAUAAAGAAAUUAGUAAAGGUAUAAUCAUCUGAUGUUUUAGCAAACAAUUACGUGAUAGACCACAUUAGCUUAUAAAUCAUAGCUGAAAGUAUUUAUCAAAGAUUUAUAGUUCUCCUACAAAUAGUACCAAUUGAAGCCAUAAUGUCAUAUAUACAUUAUUUGUCAUUUUUAAUCAAGAUUUUUUUUUUAUAAAUAAGCCCAAAUUAAUUGUGUAUGCGAAUUUGUGUGGUCAAAUAAACAAUGCUUGAAAGCUAGUCAAAUAAACCCUGAGAUAAUCAAGAUAAUUUAUUACGUUAGAUUAACAAUCAUAAUCAUUUCUUAGGUGAAGAGAGGCCCUGAAUCCGUAUUUAUAUCACAUAUGCACUAAAUCAUUGUAUUGCACAGAUGGAUUAGAAGAGAUUUGUCGGAUCAUUGAGCAAACUUUGAUCCCUAGGCGAGGCAGAGAAGCACUUUUGAAAUCAUGUUGCAGUUGGUUCUGAGAUUAGCCAAUUAAAAGAAAGCUCUUUAACCGUUAAUUAAAAGUUCAAAUCGUUUCUCUAAUGAUAAUAAAAAGUGCUUGGAAAUUCCCACUUGAGUAUUUAUGGGGAUCAUGAUUAGAGCACUUAGCUUGGCUAAUCAUACUAAUCUAGAAUCAAACAUUGUAUCUUUUUUAUUUAAGUAAUCCACUUUCACAACUAAUAUUUAUCAUCUUCCCCAAACAUGGCUUAAAAGUGAGGCCACGCUUUUUGUGACUUAAAAAACUAAUGCCAACCCAAAUGUGAUAACUGGCAAGUUCGCAAUCUCAUUUUCGUUUCCUCCUUUGGAGGGAUUGGACAAGAAAAUUAAAUAUAAAAGCUAAGGUGCAAUUAAAACAAUAAGCAAGUUUCGAUCGUGACAAAUAAGAAGAGUCAUGCACUGUUACUUGUUUUCUAAAGGAGGUAAGAUUAAUUGGACCACAACAACUUUAAUCUAGCUUGGCCACAUGAAAGCCAACUAAUUAUUAGGACGCAGGACACUUUCCAUUAAUGGAGUAUUCGGAUCGAAAUUUUGUUAUUGAUCAUACUAACAGAGAAUGAGCUUUCUCUGAUUGGCGUAUAUAUAUUAAUUAUAAAUAAACUAUAAUGCACAAACGCAUCAUCAUUUCACCAAACACACACACACACACAUAUAAUUCUCACUACUUAUGCAUUGUUAAAUUGAUUAAACUCAUUAAACCAAAGUCAGCGUAUUUUAUUUUUGUUCGCACUAUAGAGCUGGGUAUGCAGAAGAAACCCUAGCUCGUAUCAUAGUUUUUUCUUUUGAAAAAUAAAAUUAUAAAAGAGCACUAGAAUAAGCUUGUUAUUUGGACAAAUGUUAAUGUUCAUUAACGUUGGUAUCUAUUCCAUCUCACCUUAAAGAAAAGCAGAAGUUUCGCAUGAAUGCCUUCAAUUAUUGAACCAAAACUAAAAAAUAAAUUAAUAUAAUAGAGAGACCAAAUCAUUAAACAUAUCUAUGUGUGCUGGAAAGGAGAAUGAUCUUCACACGUCUUUGCUAAAAUAUUAUACAUCUCCUUUUGGGAAACACCACUAAAAGCCUUGAUCGCACUAAUAUAUGAUUUGUUUACUAAAUACUGCUUAAUGCAUGAAUGAAUCAUGCUUUGGUUUUUUCACAGAAAUAAACAGGUAACUUGAGGCCAUAUUGCUCUAGCACCUAGCUAGCUAGCUUUAUAUCUCCAAUGAAAUCCUUUUAUUAAAGGAUAUCUCAACGGCUAGAAUACUCUCCAAUUUGUAAUCUAUUUUCCGGAAAGAAAAAAAAAAAUUGUAGGAACCAUCUUAAUUAUACAAAUCAUUAAAACCUGCAUUCUCUUGAGAUAGUUUUUCUCUUUAGAAAUUUGAGAAUUAGGGUUCCAGUAAUUGCUUGACCCACUCAACAGCUAAAUGAACUGAGCACGCGACAAAGCUCUAAAUAAUUAUUAAAGCUCGAAAAUAUCAUAUCUUGAUAGUGAGGAAAAAUUAUGAAAUCCCUCAAUAUUUGAGGUAAUCUUUUUAGAUAUAACACCCUACUUCUUAGAUAUAACAGAAACCUACGGUCGUUACAACGUUAACAGCCAGGUUUUGGAGCAAUUUGGUCCCAAUGCAAUUGACAAAUCUUACACCUAUCACACGUCUACUGAAUGAGAUAACCGAGUCUUAGGUGAUGCCAUAGCACACUAUACUAGACUAUCAUUAAAAUCACGAUCGUUUCAAAUUUAAUAAUAAGUGUACUUGUGGCAUAAUGCAAUUGAGUGGUGACUGCAAUAACGUGGCAGCAGCGAAGAUACCGGUUAGUUCUUUCUUGGUGUGGCGCGGCCAUGCUUGGUGCUGUGCAAAGCCAACCCAGACCGCAUAUGCGGCCAAUUGAUAGCUCUAGAUGUUGCAUCUUGCGAAUGUGGCUUGUCCCACCUACAACCUAUUCAUUGUUGAAGGAUAUUUGUAUUACAUACCGGCAGAACAGGCUUUCAAGACCCUAGCCACCAUCGACGUCGCCGAAUAUUAAUGUCUCUAACCGUUUAUUUUAAAAUUAUAUAAAGAUUAAAUUGGUUUGGGUGAAAAAUUAACAGAAAGAGAAAAUUCAAUUUUUUUUUUUAAUCCAUUGUCUUUCAAGACUUCUUUCGUGUAGAAAUGUCUAUCUACUCAAUUCUGGAGAAUUUAUUCUUUUUCGUAUUCUUUUACAUUAAAUGGAUAAAAUUAAUGGUAGUUGGUAGUUUUGGGUUUGACGUGUAGAAUGUGAUUUUGAUUUGAGAAUUGAAAAAAUGUUUGAAUUCGUUUGAAGGAGAGUACUGCACAAAAUUGACAUGAUUCCCCAAAAUAAUUCUUUUUGCUCUUAUUGGAAAAAAUAAUACAAUUCAAUAUUACCUUUAGUUAAAAGUUUAAGGGCCAAUUUAUGAUUGUGGUCAGUGGCGGACUCAGAAACUAAAAUGAGGGGGGCUUAGUUCAAAAAUUUUAUUUAACUUAGAUUUUUUUUUAAUGUUCACUUGAAUACAUUUUAAGUCUUAUAAACUCAAAUUUUAUUAUUAUUUUUUAAAUUUUAAAUAAUAAUAAUAAUAAUAAAUUAUAUUUUUUUAAAUGCGUGAAAAUAUCAUUUUUCGAAGUAGUAUUUUAAAUACGUGAAAAUAUCAUUUUUCGAAGUAGCUUCCACAAAAUAUUUUAAAAAAUAAAAUAAUAUAACUAAUGGGAUUUGAAUUAAGAUUUGGAAACCAUUAAAUAACACUCUUACCAUUGAACUACAAGUCUUUUAAUAUAUGAAAAAAGUGUCCAAAAUUGUUUAUCUAACUUUUUCAUAAGGGACUUGGGGUACAUUUAAAAGAAAACUUAAUAGCCCGCGCGGGGGGGGGGGGCGAAUGAAGCCCCUCCUAGGCCUUAAUUGGGUCCGCCCAUGAUUGUGGUGGCUUGUAAAAUAAGUUGUUUCUAUUGUGUGAAUGAAAAAAGUUGUCUUUAUUGUGCGAAUGAAAUAAGUAACUCGAUGUUUGGUAAAUUGUGUUAUUGCAAUUAUUAAUAGUUUGAAAAGCAGAGUAUAUGCAUUUAAUAAAUUUUAUUAUCAUAGGAUUAUUUUGUUAUAUAAUGAUCAAAAUAGACAUUCAUUUAAAUUAUCUUUUAUUUAUAUAUUAUAUUUUAUGGAAAAAGUAAGAUAUAAUUGUGGUUUUAUUAAAAUCUUAAAGUUAUAAUAGGAACUAUAGAAAAGGGUAGUGAUUUAUUUAAUGAACUACUUAUAAAAAGUAACCUCUACCUACUUUUAAAAAUUACUAUCAAAAUAGACAAAUUUUUGAAGUAAGCAUCUUUCGAAAAAAUUUACAAAAUACUAUUUUUUGAUAAAACAUAUGAAUAAUCUACUUAUGCCAUUUCAGUGGCAAAUCUCAGAAAUUAGGGCAGUCAAAAAUCACUAUACUAUUAUAUUAAAAUAUUGACCAUAAAAUACUCCCAAAAAAAAAAAUAUUGAGCAUAAAAUAAAAAUAUUUAAGCAACUGACAUGUUUUACUAUUUAGGUGGCGUUUGUUUUUUAACUUAAUGACUGAAAGUAACUUAACUUAAUUAAUUAAGUUAAUUAGAGGUGUUUGUUUUUAUAAUUUAAUGAGACUUUUUAGAUAAUUUUGACUUAAUAAAAUAAGCUAAUUUUUUUGGCUUUUUACUUAAUGGAGAAAUCUGAAUUAAGUCAAUUACUUGCUAAUGUCAAAAAUAUCCAUGUUUUAUAAUUUAUUUUUCAUAUCUAUCCCAAAACUCACCCAUAGAUAUUUACCCCACAUAAAAAUAUCAAUGUUUUUUCUUUUUUAUAUUAUAUACGAUAAAAUUUGAAAUUUAUGGUAUUUUAUUUAUUAAAAUUCCAAAAUAAUUAUGUAUUCACUUGAAUAUAGUUUUACUUAUAAAUAUUAAAAUAUUGUGGUAUUUAAUAUAUUAUUUAUUUGACAUUCAAAUUUAAUAAGGAUACAAAUGUAAAGUACAUAUUUUCAGCUUUUUAAGUUAAAAAAAAUAACUUAAUACUUAUUUUCUGAGAUUCAGAUGAAAAAACAAACAUAUUAUUCAGAUUCAGACAUUCAAACCUAUUCAGAAUUCAGACUAAUUCAGGUCUAUUCAGAUUUCAAACAAAAAAACAAACGCCACCUUAGUCUAGUACUAAGGUCUAGUGUGAAGUAGAAAAAAAAAGUUUUAUUUCAGUAGUUUUUGAAAAGAAAAACAUGAAUAAUUACGUCAAAUCUAAGGGGUUGUUUUAAAAAGUUUUCCCUAAUUAUAACGAUAUUGACAUUUCUAGGAAAUCCCAUAUUAGGGUCGUUUAAGAAGUUUUCCCUAAUUAUAAUAAUAUUGAAAUUUCUUGGAAAUCCAUUUUUGUGUUUAUGGGCCACGUAAUUAAAGCACUACUCAUCUUCAUUCUAGUCACGCUAAUACAUAUUUAUUUUGUUAGCUUUUGAUGCAUCUUUUCUUGAUUAACUAACCUACUUUUCGAAAUGGCGUAUGGGCCAUGGCUGAGAGCGACUACAAUGGUAGAAAAAUUGAGAAUGAACAGAGAGAGAGAAAGGUGGAAGAAUGAGGCCAAUAAACAGAGCAACGAGGGGCAAAUACACACAAGAGGUGAGGUCGGCACAGAUUUGCAGCGGCAUCAAGCAAGAGAUAGUAACAGUGAUCCAGAAAGCGAAGGCGGGUUAACCCGGAGUCAAGAGGAGGAGAAUACGGGUGGGCCAAGGAUGGGAGAGGCAGGAAACCCAAAAAAGUCAAUAAAAUGCGGCCAAAAGCUGAUACAACCAGGUGGGGUUGACAUAGUAUUUUCAAACAAGUGGAGGUGAGGCGGGAAAAACGUGCACAAAUGAGAGGGAAGAGGAAAGAGGAACUGGGCAACGAAAAAAUGAGAAGGAAGAAAACAAAAGUGUGCAUAACCCAAAUGAUAAGGAGGCCCAAUUAGAAAAAAACGCAACACAAACCCAACUUGAAGCAAAAUAUGGGGAAGCUGAUGAGCCGAAUACAACAAGUUCAAAGACAAAGAAACGAAAGUGGAAGCUCCAGGCUCGAACAGUAGAGAGAAAAAUGGAUACAAACAACGGGUCAAAGAGAUUAAAGAGGCCAAAGGAAGACAAUUGUGAAAGAACUUCAGCUGAAAAACGGAGGAGAAUGUGCAGCCAAAAAAAUAUUACACUUUGCUCCUCAACAGAAACAAUAACAAAUGGGAGGGAAAUGAUUCAGUAUGGAGAAGUGGAGAUGACAGCAGCAACAAGGAUGGAAGAAGUAACGGCGGAUGCUGGUUGCCAGCCCCGCCGACAGCAAUGAAAGUCAUCAGCUGGAACGUUCAGGGACUGGGGAAUGACCGAGCGUUCCGUGAAACCCAAAAGAUUCUCCAAAUGCAUAGGCCUGAGAUUUUGUUCUUGUGCGAAACUAAAAUGAGAUCCAGGCAAAUGCAGGAUAAAGGUAAGAAGUUCAACUUUGAUAAUUGUUUUGUUGUGAGUAGUAGAGGUAGGAGUGGUGGGUUAGCUUUGUUAUGGAAAUCGGAGGUAGUGGUGGAUAUAAAAUCUUUUAGCCAACACCAUAUAGAUGCAGUAGUUCACUUUGAAAAUGGUAGCUUGUGGAGGUGUACGAGGAUUUACGGGCAUCCUGAAACAGAUCAGAAACGUCAUACAUGGACUUUACUGCAAAGAUUAGCUGGGUUACUCUCGUUAUCAUGGCUUUGCUUUGGAGAUUUUAACGAGAUUUUAAAGUUGGAUGAGAAGACUGGAAGAAAUGAUAGAUGUGUGGCUAGUAUAAAGGAAUUCCGCGAAGCUGUCUAUAGAUGCGAUCUAAAAGAUUUAGGCUAUAACGGCUAUCUGUUUACAUGGUCUAACAGGAGGUUUGGCCCUAACUUGGUUGAAGAAAGAUUUGAUAGGUUUCUGUGCUGCAAAACUUGGGGAAGCAUGUUUCAUGAAAUAGCUGCAGAGCAUCUUGAGACAUGGACGUCCGAUCACAGUCCAGUUCUGUUGAUUGUGGAAGAAAGAGGCAGAAGGAAGCAGUACAGUAAAAGAACUUUCUCAAGGGUCCAUUACGAAGAUAUGUGGAGCCCUUAUGAGAAAUGUCAAGAGAUUAUUUUUUAUGAGUGGCAAGCAAAGAGAAGCUGGAAUUGCGAAGAUCCGAUUUCACAAUUUAAAAAGACAGCAAAAGAUUCACUGGCCGAGUUAAAAUUGUGAAGCAAGGAGGAAUUUCGGGGCAGAGAGGAAAAAUUGGAAAAGCUGAUACAAGAGCUGAAGAUUUACAGGGAGAGCAGUAAACAAUAUUGCACUGGAGUUGAACUAAAGGCAAUAGAGAAACAAAUAGACGAUUUACUCAUUGAUGAAGAAGUUUACUAGAGACAAAGAUCAAGGGCUGUGUGGUUACGGGAAGGAGACAAAAAUACAAAGUAUUUCCACUCCAAGGCUACUGCAAGAAAUAGGAAAAACAAAUUCAGAGGAAUUGUUGACGAAAGGAACAAAUGGACGAAAGAAGCUGAUGAAAUUGAGAGGAUCCUUUAUGAUUAUUUCGACAGCAUGUUCACCUCUAAUCAUCCAAGGAUGCAUCAACUGGAGUCAGCGCUUAAAGGCAUGCCUUGCAAAAUUUCAAGUGAGAUGAAUGCACACCUCGAUCAGCCCUACAUAGAAGCUGAAAUCACAGAAGCUAUAAGUCAAAUGCACCUAACAAAAGCUCCGGGCAAGGACGGUCUUCCAACAGCCUUCUUUCAAAAGCACUGGAAGUCCGUAAACUAAGGAGUCAUAGUUGUCUGCCUGGGUGUCCUUAAUGAUGGAGGUAAUAUCACCCCCUUGAAUCAUACGUUUAUUGCUUUAAUUCUGAAGAUUGACAAGCCUAGGCAAGUGGGGGAUUAUAGACCUAUCGGCCUCUGUAAUGUUAUUUACAGAAUUAUUGCGAAAACUGUGGCAAAUAGGUUGAAGCUAAUUUUGAAUCAUGUUAUCUCCCCAACUCAAAGUGCCUUUGUUCCUAAUAGGCUCAUAACUGAUAACAUAAUCAUAGGUUAUGAAUGCCUUCACAAAAUAAGACUUAGCAAAGGGAAGAAGCAUGAGAUUGUAGCUUUGAAACUAGAUGUAAGCAAAGCCUAUGAUAGGGUGGAAUGGAAGUUCUUGCAAUGUGCUUUAGAAAAAAUGGGUUUUUCCUCAAAAUUUGUAGGGCUGAUUAUGAGAUGUAUAACUACACCAUCCUUCUCGGUGUUGAUAAAUGGGGUAGCUAAAGGGUUGAUUAAGCUGUAAAGAGGGCUAAGGCAAGGAUGCCCUUUGUCUCUAUAUUUAUUCAUUCUUUGUGCAGAAUUUUUUUCUAAUCUCCUAAGCCAAGUCGAAAUAAACAAGCACAUUCAUGGAAUCAAGUUCGGCAAGGAGCUCUCUAUCACCCAUCUCUUAUUUGCGGACGACAGCUUGAUCUUCGUAAGAGCCACAAAAGAAGAUUGUUGGAGAUUGAAAUGAGUGUUUGACUGUUAUACUAAUACCUCAGGCCAAAUCUUUAAUUUCGAAAAGUCAUCCAUGUUUUUUAGUCAAAACAUAAAGCAUGAGCUGAUCUCGGUAAUAAAUGACACUUUCCAGCUGCCAUUGGUCUCUAGACAUGAGAAAUACCUUGGGUUGCCCUCAAUGAUUGGUAGAAACAAGACCACUUUCUUCAAUGAUAUCAAGCUUAGAAUUCUCAGCAAAAUUUCCAGCUGGCAGGCAAAGCUGUUCUCGUGUGGUGGAAAGGAAAUUUUGAUAAAAGCCGUGGCCCAAGCAGUGCCGGCAUAUGCUAUGAGUGUGUUUAAGCUCCCCUUAGGUCUCUGUGAAGAAAUGCAAAAAGUCAUAGCUCGGUUUUGGUGGGGGAACAGCAAAGACCACAGGCCAAUUCAUUGGAGAAGAUGGGAGCAAAUGUGUCAAGCUAAGAGUAGAGGGGGAAUGGGUUUUCGAGAUUUGUCUAACUUCAACCAAGCUCUUGUUGCAAAACAAGGUUGGAGGAUUAUUCAAGAGCCGAAUUCUUUGGUUGCGAGAAUAAUGAAGGCUAGAUAUUUUAAGCACUCAAGCUUUAUGGAGGCAAAAGCUGGUUAUCAACCAUCAUUCAUAUGGAGGAGCAUUCUUUGGGGGAGAGAAGUGACUGAGAAGGGAUUGAGGUGGAGGAUUGGAAAUGGUGAACAAGUGAAGGUGUAUCAGAGUAAAUGGCUUCCAAGACCUGACACUUUCAAGCUGAUAUCCCCCCCCCCCCAAAUUGCACUUAGAGACAUCUGUUUCGGAGCUCAUUAAUGAAAAGCAUGAAUGGAAUGAAGAGCUGAUUCAACAGAAUUUUUUUAGAGUCGAUGCAGAGCAGAUUACAAGAAUCCCGCUCCCAAGGCAACCAAAUCCAGAUCAAGUAGUAUGGCACUAUGACAAGAAGGGGGAGUACUCGGUGAAGAGUGGCUACCAAUUGGCGUUAAAGAUGAAAACCCCAGACAUGGCUAGUUGUUCAGAGGAGAAGCAGAAUUUUUGAAACGCUAUCUGGUACCUUCAAAUUCCAAAAAAAGUAAAGAUUUUCAUGUGGAGAGCAUCUAAUAACUUGUUGCCAACUAUGGAGAAUUUAUGGAAGAGGAAGGUGGUGCAAUUCCCUCGGUGCCAGAGGUGUUAUAAAAUGGGAGAGUCCAUCUUUCAUGCUCUUUUUGUGUGUAAAGCUUCUAAAAAAAUAUGGCAGUUGACUUGUUUUGAAGAAGAAAUUGGGCUGUGCAAAAACAAUGAUGUAUGCAGUUUUUUUCAAUUUAUGACGGGGAGAAAAAACAAGGCUGAAAUGAAGUUGAUGGUUGCACUGUGCUGGAGUAUAUGGCAUUCAAGGAAUCUCCUCAUUUUCAAAAACAAAAGAGAAGAUUCCCAGUCAUCAGUUGUGGCAGCAGAAGCAGUUGUGCAAGCUUACAGAAGAAUCCAAAUGCCACUGGUGCAAGAAGGCUCAAAGCAUGAAGAUGUUGUCCAAAUGAGGUGGAAACCUCCUCCAGUAGGCUGGUUCAAAGCUAACGUGGAUGCAGCAGUGAAGAUUGAUCAGCAAAGAACUGGAUUGGGAGUAGUCAUAAGGAAUCCAGAGGGCAAGGUUGUAGCAGCAGCUAUGAAGACCACAAUCUUUUUGGAUAAAGUGGAUUAUGCAGAAGCUGAAGCAACUCAGUUUGGGUUGGAGAUAGCAGAGCAAGCAGGUUGCAUUCCAGUGAUUAUGGAAUCUGAUUCGCAAGAGGUUGUGAGCUUAAUGUCUUGUAAAAAAAGCACAAGAACUGAAAUAUUCUGGGUUGUAGCAGAGGUUCAUGAUCGGAUCAAAAGGUUAAAGCAUGUAAAAGUGCAAUAUACUCUAAGAAAUUGUAAUAGUGUAGCUCACUCGCUUGCAAAGCUAGCACUAGAACUUAAUGAUUUUGUCUGUUGGGUGGAUGAUAUUCCAGACCAAUUUUUGUACUUAUUCACAUAGUUGAUGGAAUGAAAGUAUUACUUUCUCUAAAAAAAAAAAAAAAAAAACUAACCCACUUCCCCCCCCCCCCCCCCAAAAAAAAAAAACUAACCCACUUUUCAUCAUUAAUAUUUCAACCAUUCUAAUUAAAGCGAAGCCGUGAAUUGCAUGUGCUCGAUUCAACCACCAGAUCGUGAUUUGUUUUUAUUUCUCCUCUUCUUUUUUUUAAUUAUUAAAAAUAAAUUAUAAGCAUAUUCUAAUAGUGUUUAAUCAAUUUAUUCAUUCUUUCUCCUUUUUGCUAGAAAAUUUAUAAAUAAUAACCCUAGAGUAAACUUGAGCUAGUUGGAUUUAAUGAGGAGAAAAGGCCUACGUGAUGACUCUUAAUUAAGCCUCUAAGCAAAGUAUUAGUGCAUGUCAAGCGACCAAUUAUAAUAAUAAAACUUGUGUCGGUUACUAAAGUGAGGAAAUCAAAUUCUCGCUAUAUGGAGCACGUUCUAAUAAUAAAGUAUUAACCAUCUUAUGAUGCACACAAGCUCCAUACAUACUUAAAAAGCAAUCGUACAACUUAGUUAUAUAUUUAAUCAUCAAUUAGUUAAACAAAAGUAAACUAACUUUCAUUAUCUUCAUUUUUAUUAGUUUAGGGUUAUGGACCAGAAACCCUACAUGGGUACCUAGCUUUUUCCUUAAAAAGCAAAAUUAAAAAAAAAAAUUAAUCUAAGCUUGAUUGACAUAUGUUAAUUAAUACGCAACCACUCAAUCCCCACCGGCUUUUGUUUCAAGAAGCAGAAAUUGAUCCGUUUGCAAACAGCCACCAACCAUUCACAAAGAAGCAAAUUACAAAAUAUGUUUUUUUUUUUUAUUCUACAAAUUAGUUGUUAUGAUCUUCAUAUCUCAUAGAGUAAUAAUUAAAUUAGAAUUGCAUAAUUUAGUUAAUUAAAAUCGAAAUACAUUGUACAAAGAAGUAGAAUUUCUUUAAAUUAAUGGAAAGCCUUUAGAUUUUAUAUAUAUAUAUAUAUAAUGCAAUAAUGCAAAAGAUUAUAUAUAUUUUAGUUAUUGAAACUUUAGUGAUAUCCACACGUCAUAUAUAAUAUAGAUAGAAUAACAAUAAAAAAUCAAAAAGGUAAUAGAAAAAUCUAAUUUGCUCUUGAUGUAUACUCUAUUUCAAUAUUUUGUUGAAUAUUUUCUAUUUGAAAUCUUAUUUGAUUGGGUAUAUACAAUACAUUGAAAGUACCUAAAAUUUUCCUUACAAUAAUAAAGAUAAGUUUGGGACUGAUGUGGUUGAUAAAAUAAAUUGUUUCCACUAUACUAAUAAAAUAAGUUGCUAAACGAAAAAGUAGCUAUAUGUUUGGCAAAUUGCAUUGUUGUGAUUACUAUGAGUUUGAAGAGUAAAGUAAAUGUAUUUGGUAAACUUUAUUACAUAAGUGUUGUUCCAUUAUGCAAUGACCAAAAUAGACAUAAAGUUAAUUUACCUAUUAUUUUUAUAGAGCAAAUUUAAUAAAUUUUCUAAACAUAUCUAUAAACACACAUACUCACUCACUCUCUCACACACACACACACACACAUAGACAAAAUUUAAAGAAAGUGAAAGAAAUUCAAUUAAUUAAAAUUUGAUGAACUUUAUAAUACCGAAAUAUGAUAAAAUUCAAAGUAUAGUACAUAAAUUUAAAUAAAUAAAAUAAAUAAUACGUUGAUAUAGUCAUAUGGUAAGGUUGUGGCUAGCAUACUUUAUGAAAAAAUAUGACAUAUUCGUCUUUUGUUUAAAAAAAAAAAACUAAGGUUGCAAUAAAAACUUUAAAAUUAUGUGAUAAGUUAUGUGUUAAGUUAUUUAGUAAGUUUCUAUUAAAACAACAUCCUAUUUGCUUUAGAAGUUACUAUCAAAAUAAAAAAUAAAAAAUAAAACAUCUAUAAAAAAAAAAAAAAAAGUCACCCAACAUUAACUUUUUACCAAAUUUUUUGAAAUAAACCUCCUUCAACGUUUUAACCAUAAUCUUAAAUGAGACCUGAGCUUGUGUGAGUUAUGAUGAGCUAGCUAACACUAACUUUUUCGUUACAAUAAUUAAUAUUCUUACAAAUUGUAAAAUACAUGAAUCAUGUGCUUGCUUUGCUAUCAAAUACAAAGAGACAAGUCACUCAGAGCCGUAGAAUUCAUAUAUGGUCUAUUAAUUAUUCUGAAAUCACUUUUAAUCAAAAUCUUAAGCAUCGUUCAAUUUGGAAGCUAGAUAAUUAAGAUAAUCGAGUAAUCCGUAGAAUUCAUAUAUGGUCUAUUAAUUAUUCUGAAAUCACUUUUAAUCAAAAUCUUAAGCAUCGUUCAAUUUUGAAGGUAGAUAAUUAAGAUAAUCAAGUAAUUAAUUGGAGUAUGCAAUUAAGCUAUUUCUCCUAUCGUUUCUUUAUAUUGACAAUUGACGAAGACAAAGAAGAUUUUGAAAGGAAAAAAUAAUAUUUAAUAAAGAAUAAUCAAUAAUGGUGGACGAAUCACAAGGCACCACAUAUGAAUUUGCAUGUUUCAAAAAUACUUGUUAAUUAAUUGAUAUUGCUUUCGUCAAAGGGAUCGUUGACGAAACCAUCACUAUCACGUGUCCAAAUAAAAGUGAUGCUUAGUGCUUUAAACACGUACUUGCAUUGCCUAAACUUGUUUACUAAAGCACUAUAAUUAAACCCCGCUAAUUAAUCACAAAUGUGCCAACUAAAGGGUAACAUGGAAUGAGGAGUUUGGAUUCGACUUUGAUUUGUCAUCAUAUUAAACGCCUUAGAUCGUCAAAAAAAAAAGUUCUAUCAAAUGAAAUGGGAAUCAAAUUUUGGAUUAAUACAUAAAUGAGGAUCAUGACUAUUAUAAUUAAUUUCAAAAUUUUAUCUUAUAUAACUACCGUAUUGAUUCCUAGAACUUGGACACAGAAUAUAUUUUAAAAAAUAUAUAUUCAAGGUCAAAACAUACAAUAAUGUUACAAAUGUAAAAGUCUUUAGUUAUUUUUCAAAGUUGAGUCUACAAUUCUUGAAUUUGAAUUACAUUUCUCAAGUUAUUCAUGCAUUUUAAUUGGUACGUAACGGUGUAGUAGGCCAGAUGUUAAGCAAUCGAUGUUUGGCUUUUAAUAUUUCAAUAUAAAAUUUUCUAUUAUAAAAGAUAAUAAUAUUAAUAAUUCAAUGUUUGGCUAUUAUUGUUGUUGUUAGAACAAGAAGAAGAAGAAGAACAUUUCUAAACAACAAAAUUUUUUAGAUCAAUAACUACAAAACGCGUUUAAACUUUGAAAAACAAAUGCUGAAAUGAUAUUAAAUUAUAAAAUCAAAAAUCUUGUCAAUUUAGAUAAUUCAAAUCAUAUUUUUUGAUUGCAAAUAAGCUCAUGAGUUUAGAUGUUGGUCUUUAUAAUUUGCCAUGUUGUAGCACUCUUUUUUUUUUUUUUUUGAAAUACUAUGUUAGAAAAUACAAUACAACUAUUGAUAAAUACAAUCUACUAUGUCUAUUGAAAUAAAUCUCGACUCAUCAAAGUUGAAGUCUAAUAAAUCUACUAGAAUCUAUUUCGACAUAUCAAAGUUGAAGUCUAGUUUAAAAAUCUGAAAUCAAAGAAAAUAAGAAAUUGAAAUAAACUCUCACUCAAACCCUCGACUUCAAAAAUAAAAUUAAAAAAAUGUAUGACCUAAUUCUUUUUUCUUUUUAAAGACGUUCAUUCUUAUUUAGAUGAAUAGAGAUAGUAUUUUUAAAAUAAAACCCAAAAUUUCAAACUGUAGAUUAAUGUAAACAACUUCUAAAAUUUCUUCAAGUCAAUGUAUACAUAUACAUUUGGCAAAAGGAUAAGCUCAAAUCAAUCUUAGGUAAGCUAUCGGCUCUCUUCUUAGCCUAAAGUCUUUUACAAAUGACGCAAUCCGCUGCCUACUGCCUCCCCUAAGGUGUCUGUCCUUCGAUCAAUUUUAGAUUUUUUUAAUUUAAAUCCUUAUCAAAUUUUAAUUAAAUUACCAAGUCAAUAAUUAACCAUUAAUUUUAAGUUAGGUUACAGGCACGAUUCACAGGAUCUCUUUAGGGCCACUACCAACAGGCCACAGCGAUUAGCUUUGAGAUUAUCAUGACACUUUGUUCACAACUAUUGGCCAUUUCCAUUUUUUUUUUAAUAAAAGAAAGUUAAUUAAUUACGAUAAUUACAGAUUUAAUCUUUGUUGAUCUCAGGGGACAGAGGACUAAAGCACUUAGCCUUUGAUCCCACUAAUUAAACAUUAUAUAUAUGUGUUUGGAUUGAAGAGGAUUUUUUUUUUUUGCUUAAUUUUUUACCAUUUUUUAUAGUUUGAUUUUGUGACUGUAUAAACCCAUAUCAUUAAAACUUGGCACGUGUUCAAAGGCAAUCCAGGCUUAUGCUUUUGAGUCAAUAAAUGCAGUAAUCAACGGACACCUGUUAGUUAAUCAAUUAUUAAUUAUUAUGCCAAGCUUUUUAUGUUACUUUCCGAAAAUACGAAAAGCUACAAAAAUGUACUAAUCUUCCAAUAAAUUUAUCUAAUAAUUUAAAACGUUUUAGAAAUAUUUAUCUGGAUUGUGGCACCUUUUCCACAACAGAACCAAAGGACCGGCCGAACAAUAUACAGCACAGUAAAUGCAACAUAAAAAAUAAGAUUUCCAUUUUUAUUUUUUAUAUUAUUUUGGAAACGAUCACCCUAUACCCAACAGCAAUUAAAAAUAAUUAAAAACCUAAUUAGUGUCAAAUGACGUUGCCUUAUCAAUUUCAAUUUUGUACGUAUACGGUGUAGAGGAUUUAUCUUUGCUGAUUUUGGUGACAUAUUACUUUUGAUCUUAUUCAGCUUAUGAGUACACCUAAGCUAGGACUUUUUUACUUAUUAUUAUUAUUAUUAUUAAUCCUCGAUACAUUGCAUACUAAUUUUCAAGAGAGGUCGUGUAACAAAAUGAAUGGUAUAUUAAUUUUUUGGUACACCAAAAUAAGUUACAUAAUGAUAAAAUGGCGAUUCACAUAUUUCUAUUUCUGUAUUUUGUAAGAAUUUUUUUAUACCAUUUAUUGUUGGGCCUUAAAUCGUUGAAUUAAAAAGGCAACAAAACCUUUCAGCAUAUAAAUUGAUAGUAUAUAAAAAUUUAACAUUAGUAUCUAAAUUAAGAUUAGAUUAUAUAUAUGUAAAAAUGUCACGUUCAUGCAAUGGUAGAAUCAUGAUUUUAGCAUGAAGAGGUCCAAAUGAAAAUUUAUGUACUUGAUUAGACUAUAACAUAAAAUUCGUAAAAUUAAGAGGCCAAACAGCGAAACUAUAAUGGAUAGACUAUAACAUUUAUUAGGUUAUAUAACAAAAUAAUGUAAAAAAUAAGGGCGCCAAGUGUAAAAUUCAAAUUAAUAUGUAAAUUUUCAAUUUAGUUUUCUAUUUUUCAGUAUUUUUUUUUAAUUGGUGGUGGCCAGGGCCAGCCUCCAAUAAUUUGCAUUUUUCCCUUAACAUUUUUGCCAAGCAUGAAUUAGAGUAAUAAAAAUUUAAAAGAGACGCAUGUGGUAAAACAAGUUAUGGAAGGAUCAAAAGUGUCAUUUUUCCAUAAUAAAAGUAAUUUUUUUCCAUUGCAAAAAAAGUCUACUUGUUAUUAAAAUUAGAACUUGACAAUACAAUAAUACACAGCAUUAAAUCGAAUUUAAAAUUUGAGGACGUCCACAUUUCAGACUUUUUUUAAUUUUUUAUUCUGUAUUGAUAAUAAAUUUGUCAUGCUCUCUUUGUUUCAUUUAUGGGAGAGAAGUAGAUGGGAAGCCGGUGAACGCAUUGCAAGCAAGUGCAUGGAUUUAGUUCUUCCUUAGCUGCGGUUUGUUGAUUAUUUAUGACUAAUAUAUUUUCGGGUCACAUCAAGCUGCAAUAGGUGUCAUUUACUUCAUUAAUCAGAUAAAUAAAUAGGAAAUGAAUUUCCAUGCGGCUAUUGUUUUGAGGAUUGAAGAUUAUUGCCACCAGUCUAGCAUUACUCACCUAUAAACAUUGAAGUAAAUUUUGAUGAUGUAAUAAUAUAAAAAUUGGCAUUAGAGGUGCACUUUAUUACUCAUCUAAUGGAGUACGACGGAACACAUGUCAAGAUUUUAUUUGUCAUAUUAUUUUAUAAGUUCUACAAUUUUAUAAAUAAAUUCUUGACACACCCCGUCUUAUAUGUUAUAAUGCAUGACAACACGCAUAAAAUCAAGACUUUGGAGCCAUACACGACUUUCUCUACAUAAAAAAUAAUGUAACGUUUUGUUACAAAAUAAUAAUGUGUUAUUUUAAUUUGAGCUAUGAUUACGAUCUCUUAAGUGUUAUAGUUCACAAUUUAAGCACUAUCAAAUAGUCAAAUUUUUAUGACUGUAUAUGUGUAUAUCUAUAACGUCUAGACUACAGAGUACGGGACCCAAAAAUAUCAUAAUUGGACCCUUUAAUGUGUAUUGGUAAAAUGCAAAUGCAAAAUUAAACUAAAGUAAAAAAUUAUCAAAACUGGCUAUAACUAUUGUUUUUCCCCACUUCGAUCGAAUUCAGUUUUGGGUUAACCGAGUUAGGGGUCAUUUGAACUCGAUUCAAACUUGUAAUCCGAUCUGAACAUGAUUAGAACGAAUCGGAUCAAAUCAAAAAUUCGGAUUGAGUUCGAAUAGAACAAAGCAAAGCAAAUCAACGUGUUUCUCCCAUAAACAAGAAGCAAAUAUACCAUGAAGCAAGCUGUGGGUCGAGGUAGAGCAAGCUGCAGCAGCGAUUGAGGUGCGCAGAUCCAAUCACGAUUCGAUUGAAUCGGAGAAAGUACCACCAAUCAAAUUGGAAAAAUAAUCGAAAAGUUUGGAUUCGGAUCAAAUUCAACCAAAUCUGUUCACAUUAUUUGCCCACCCCUAUGACUUAAAUUAUCGCCAAUUUUAAUAAGACUCACAGACUUACACUUUUACCGUUCCUUGGCAAAAGUCAAAAUAUUUAUGCCUCGUUUAUUUUUUGGAUUGGAGUGGGAAUCUUGAGAAGUGGAAAUCCUUGGAUUAGGAGUGUGGAGUGGGAGUGGGAGUAGGGUGUUUACUUAGACUAAAUGAAAGUAUGUAUUGUCAAUCAGAAUCUUAAUUAUUUGUUUACUUUGUCUUGGAUUGGGAAUAAAUUGUUUUAAAUUAUAAUUUUAUCCUUAUGUACAGAAUUAUAAUUUGUAAUUAAAAAUUAAUAAAAAAUAUAUUUGGAAAAUAAAAUAAAUAUUUUAUUAUAUUUAUAAAUUAAUAAUAAUUACUAAUAUUCUAAUUAUGUAAAUCAUAAUUUUUUAUUAAUUUAAAUUUAAAUUAUGUGAAUAAAAAUUAUUAAUAAUAGCAACACAAAUGAAAUAUUAUUAUUGAUAAUAUAGUACAAAAUUAAUAUUUUUUUAGAAUAAAAUAUUUAUUAUUAUUAAUUGAAUAAAUAAUUAAUAUUUAUUAAAAUUAAUGUUUAAUAUUAUUAAUUUAAAUAUAAUAUUUAUUUAUUUUUAUUUUAUUAAAUUUAAUAAAAUAAAUAUAAUAUAAUUAUUAUUUUUAAUAAAUAUGAUAUUAUUUAUUUUAUUAAAUAUUAUUUAUUUAUUUAUUUAUUUUUAUAAGAAUAAAAUGGAAAGAGGGGGAGUGGAUUCCCACUCCCACCUCCCCCCAUGGGAGUGGAAAUCUCACUCUCCACUCCAAAAUUGAGUGAGACCCACAGAUUUUCACUUCCACUCUUCUUUUUUAAUGUAAGUAAAUACUGGAGUAAAAAAAAUUCACAUUCCACACUCCCACUCGAUAAAAUAAACACUACCUUACCUUAAAGUCUUUUAACAUUAAAAGGAGGGGAAGACGUUUGAUUUGACAAAGCAACCUUUCAUAUCAAAUGGCAAAUCCUGAACAGAAAAUUAGACGGCUAAUCAAUGAUGGGUACCGAAAUUAAGUUGCAGUAGGUAAAAUAACCUAUCUACUCGUUCUUUCUCAGGGCCAAACAAACAAGAAAUAAAACAACAAAACCUAAACCGUGUCUCUCCAAAAACUUGCCGUCACUUUGCACAACACUCGAAACAAAAAUUAAAUCUUAAUUAAUAAAGUAUUAUAUGUAUUUCUAAAUUUUAUAUACUUACCAUAGAUGAACAACUUCACCCUGUACCGCAAUUGUACGAUGCACAAAUGGAGUUCAAACUGAUUGUGGGAGCUUGCUAUGUUACAGACUCUGUAUGUAACACAGCAAAUGGAGUGCUUCCACGCGUUGCAGGAGAGAGGAAAAGCAACCCAAAUUACUUUGAAAUUUGAAAUCAAGUGACGAUUAAAGAUAAAUGUUAGUGCUCGAGAACCUUUCUAAAUUAAAAAAAAAAAAAAAAUGAACAGAGUUGAAGUUAUAAAUUAAUUGAACGACAUUUUAUAUAUGACAAAUUGGUAAUAUCAUUCAAAAUAAGAUGAACAAUUGUUGUUCACUAAAAUAUUCCAAGGUCAAACCGCACUAAUCUUUUAUUCUUGCAGCUAUUUUUGGAAAACGAUUGCCCUCCGCCAGAAUAUCUUAGCCAUUAAUGCUGAAAUUAAGUCUCCACAGACCAUAAAUUCAAUUCAAAAAAUGAAGACAAUAUUAUCUAAAUAAUAAUUUAGUUUUACUGGAAUAAGCUCAAUUUUUUUAAUAAACAAUGUUUUGAAAAAAAAAAAUCAGAAAUUCUAUUUUCCAAAAAGUUGUGUAUGAUGUUUGUUCUGCUUCUGGUCUAACUGGUGUGAAAAGUCAGCUGAACUAACCAGUUUCAAAAUGUAUAUGGAGCAACGACCCAAACAUAGGUCACAGUACGACGCUGUUGAGUGAAAAUAGAGAGGGGGAAAAAUAUAUAUAUGCAGAUUUAUAUCAAAUUUUGACCAUCGGUUUUAAUUAUUCCGAUUCAAUUUCCAAACAUGGGUCAAUAUUGUUGCUGAAAUUUUAUGGGUUCUGACAUGGCUCUUCCAGUUAGAAAUAGACCACGUUCUUAUUUGCAAUUUUUUUUUAAUUACUUAUUUUGAUAAAUUCACAAUAUUUAAGUUUGGUAUAAAAAAAUUCAAAAUUUUGAUUUUGAUUACUCAAACUUACCAAUAAUAUUUCCAUUAUUUAAAAACUUUGUUUCUCUUAAUUCAUCAAUCUUUUACAUUUCCACAUCAUCAGUUAACGGAUUUUAAAAUCCGCGACUAAUAUUCUUAGCAUAUGCGAAAAAAAAUAUUUUCAAUUUUCCUUUUAUUGUACUAGCACAGCAUAGGGAACAAGCACAUGAUUCUUUUAUCUUUAAUUGGAUGAAAAUUCAUGUUUGUGCUUCAACCACAUGCCCUAACCUGAAAUUGUUGGCAUCUCACUACCUAAGACAUUAUGAAUUGAUUUUAUGUAGUGUUUACUUUCUGGAGUAGAAGUGAAAAGUGUGGAUCUCUCUCACUGUGUUUACUUAUAAUUUUUAAAGGGGAGUGAGAAUCUCACUCUGUGAGUCUCAUCUAAUUUUAGAGUGGGGAGUGGGAUUCCCACUCCCAUGGGGGGAGUUGAGAGCGGGAAUCCACUCCCUCCUCUUUUCUUUUUAGCCUUAUAUUUAAAAUAAAAUAAAUAAUAUUUAAUAAAAUAAAAAAAUCAUAUUUAUUUGAAUAAUAAUAUUAUUUUAUUUUAUAAAUUAAAUCUAUUAAAAAUAAUAAUAAUAAUAAAAUAGAAUAAAUAAUAUUGUAUUUAUUUAAAUAAUAAUAUUAUAUUAUUUUAUAAAUUAAAUUUAUUAAAAAUAAUAAUAAUAAGCAUAUUUAAAUAUAAUAUUAUUAUAUUUAAUUAAAAAUAAUAAUUUACAUUGAUUCUAAGUUGAAAUUACUUAAAAAUAAUAUUAUUAUACUCAUAGAGAAUUAAUAAUAUUAAUGUAUUCUAUCUUUAUUUGAAAAUAUAAUAUUAUUAUAUUUAUUUAAAAAUAAUAGUAUUAUAUGUAUUUAAUUAAUAAAAAAAAUUAUUCUAAGAAAAUAUUAAUUUUGUAUUAUAUUAUCAAUAAUAAUGUUUCAUUUGUGUUGCUAUUAUUAAUAAUUUUUUAUUUACAUAAUUCAAAUUCAAAUCAAUAAAAAAAUAUGAUUUACAUAAUUAAGAAUAUUAAUAAUUAUUAAGAAAAUUAUCUACCGUCCACCCGUUUUUUCAUCUUUUUCAAAAAUAUACAAAUCUUUUUUUUUUUUUUGCAGUGCUUCAUCUGAAGUUACUUUUUUUCAUUGGUCUACUCUUGUUAUAACACCGUUAGAAUUUUGCUGACAUCAUAAGGGUAAAUUUGUCAUUUCACAACGACACAAUGAUGGAAAUGUGCAAAACAAUAUAAUAUCAAGUAGAGUUCAGCAAAAAAAAUUUAGAAUUGUGUAUUUUUAAAAAAAUACAAAAAAAAGGUGGUCAGUGAAUAAUUUAUCUUUUAUAUUUGAGGGUAAAAAAGUCAUUUACACAAUAUUUCGUUAGUUUUCUUAACGGUCUCCAAACAGAAGUGGAAAAGUGAAAAGAAAUGUAACUUCAGGUGGAUUCCAGCCAAAAAAAAAAAUUGUGUAUUUUUGAAAAAGUUAGAAAAAACGGGUGGACGGUGGAUAAUUUUACUAAUUAUUAUUAAUUUACAAAUAUAAUAAAAUAAAUAUUUUAUUUUUCAAAUAUAUUUUUUAUUAAUUUUGUAAUUAAAAACAUAAUUCUUUAAAUAAUGGUAAAAUUAUAAUUUAAAAUUAUUUUCUCCUAAUUCAAGACAAUUUAAACACAUAAAUUGAAUUAUAGUUUCAAUUCUAUAUUCAUAUUCCAGUGGAAGAACAAUCUACUUUCACUCCCACUCCUCACUCCUAAUCCCUGGAUUCCCAUUCUAAUCCAAAAUGUAAACGCUCCCUUAAUCUAAUUCUCACAUUCUUGAGCACUUCAAAAAUUUAGCUAUAAGGGAAAUUUUUUUCUCUCAACUACAAAUGGAAACAUUAGAGAGAAUAGAAAAGAAUGGUUUGUUAAAAUUUUAUUAAAAGUAUAUUUUUAAUCAUUCUUUGGUUGAAUAGUAGAUUUCUACUUAUUUCAUAAUUGAAAUUAAAGAUUUUAAAAUCUUUGUGUAUUAUAAGAGUACGUUUUCUCUUUCUAUUAAGAAUUGAUUUAAAAAUGACAUUUUGAACUAGCCUUUAACUAUAUUACAUCAAGGUAAAAUUCUCGAAUUGAUCUCGGACUAGACUAUAGUUUAUCGAGACAUCUCUUAACAAAUUUCUCAUUCAUCUAUAAAUUGAGUUUUGUAAUCGAUAAUUAAUUAAUUAAUUAAAACAUCACACAAUAAAAAGAAGACUAUUGAUCUCAACCAAAGGCACUAUCAAAACAAAAUAUAGAAGUGCAUGCAUAUCUUUUCACCCAAUAUUUGUUUCAUCACCAUAUUACCUCAAAAAAAUAUGUAAAAAAUAAAAAUAUUAAUAAAAAUCAUUAGAUUAGAUUAGAUGGCCCGUCUAAAAUUGUGGAUGAAUUAGGAGGCUUAACAAAACAGAAUCUCUAAAAUAAAUAAGCACAUAUCACACUCCAUUAGUACCGCCACCACUAAUGAGAAAAAAUGAAGAGUCAAAGAUUAGCAACGGCAGACCUAGGGAUGGCAAUUUUUCCCAAUGGGAUGGGAUCCUGCGGGAUCCCAUCCUAUUUGAGACGGAAUUGAGACAUAUUUUUGUCCCAUAAAAAAAUUUAGGACGGAAUUGAGACAUUUUUUUAUCUCAAUUACAUAUGCGGGACGAGAGUUUGAUUGACAAAUUCCGUCACAUCCCGUCUCAUUACCGAUUAAAAAUGAAAAAUUUUUCAAUUGGGAUGGGAUCCCGCAUGAUUCCAUCUCUUUUGGGACGGGAUUGAGACAUAUUUUUGUCCCAAAAAAAAUAUAAAGACGGGAUUGGAAAGUUUUUUCAUCCCAUUUGCAUAUACAGGAUGGGACUGGGAUUGGUAAAUCUCAUCCCAUCCCGUCCCAUUACCAACCCUAGGCAGACCCAAUUUCCUAAAGUGACUAAAAUACCCCCAGGUAAAAAUCGUUUGACUUCAACACCCUCCCCCUUUCUCCGCUCUCUACUCCGACACUCGUAUAUAAAUUUGAGAGCCACAGCUCCUUUUUGGUUUUACGAGGAACGCCCCCAAAUCUUGUUCUCUCAUUCCCCCACUUCUCUUUCUCCUCGGCCAACCAAAAGCGCGCAAAACACAGUCGUUUCAUUCAAUCACUCACCGUGACCACCCACCAAACAAAAAAAGAAAUUUGUAAGUUUUUCGAUAACUUAAGCAUCUUGUUUAUUUAUCUCCAAUUUAGCUAGCAAUGUCUUCACAAAUCAUCAUCAAGAUCUCACUACUCAGCUGCUUCAUCUUUCCAAUUCAAAUCUCCUGUUCCAAGUGCAGCCUCUUUUAAUUUUCUUUAUCUAAAAAGAAAACUUUUGAAUCCUUCGACGAAGAUCUAAAAAAGUUCAAAUCUUUUCAUUUGUUUAUAAUACAUGAACUUCUCUUCUCUGUAAAGUCUCACGAAGAAUGAACCUGGCGUCUUCUUUAUAAUAUUCAAAUUUAAACGUAUUACUUCUUCGCUGUCUCCAUUUCCCCUGCAACUAGUUGUUUUAUAAUACUCUUUGUGCACGCCAUUUUAACGUCCGUUUUGUUUUUUUUGUCGAGGACUUUCAAUUAUUAUUAAAUCAUUAAAAUAUACAAAUAUCCUCACAAAUUGAACUAAACUAUAUAUUCCGUUAAGAGAUUCUAAUUGGCUCUGCCGUCUUUUAAUUGCCUUGAUUCGCAGUGAUCUUCGCUCUGGAAGAUCGAUAGCAAAUAUGGUACGUUAAUGUUAUUAACUCUUGCCCGGCAUCUCGGCUGUUUAUCGGUUUCUUGUAUUUCAAAGUAUCAAGUCCCAUUUUUUUUUUUUUUUUUUUUUGGUUUUUUCAGUCUUCGUGGCCAAAAGUAGUGGCGAGAAAAUGGCUCAAUAUACAAAGCGGAGCAGACGAGUUCGACUCCGAUUACGCAGUUAAAGGUAAAAAAUUUAAUUUCUUACGUAUAUCUCGGGUUUUAAUUGUGCCAUUAUAUCGUUUGCGAUAUCGGAUAAUUACUGGGAGAUCUUGUUUUUAAUUUCUCUCUCUCUGACACUCAACAGGUAAAACUUGUGAGAGAAGAAACAGUUGCUCAGACGACGAUUACUACGUCCUCGUACGGGAAGGUUUCUCAGGUAUUUCUAUUUAUUUAUUUAUAUAUCGAUCCGAAACGACACUGUUUUGAUUUCACUGUUUAUAAUUGCGGUUCUCUCCGGUUACUGGGGGCCGGGGGACAUCUCACAGCCGUGUGAUUAGACGGCUUUGAGUUAACGAUGGGACUUGUAAGAGUAAAACGUGAAUGACCCAGCAGUGAAUUCCUGGUUGGGUCCCGUUAGGAUAGAUUAUUUGAUUGCCACGUGGACGCCGGGAGACACGGGUACAUCAAAACUAGGUUGAUGUUUUCCGUAGCAUAUAGGCAUGUAGCCUUUUCAUUGGCUUGCGAGUUUUUUAUUAUAUUUUAUAUUUACUUUUUUUUUUUACCUAAUUGGGAGUUUUAUUUCUUUUUCACUAAAGGCUGGUUGAAGGAAGCUGAUGCGAUUAGACAGUCAGCCAUCGUCCCGGAGUCACCACCUGUCACCGAUACCGUCAACCUCAAGUAAGUAUUGGCGACUCCGUUUGUUGCACCCUUGAAUUAUUAUUUAUUAUUAUCUUUCUUGCUUAAAAGACACUUAUACCCUUGUUAAUUACAAAUUACAUUUUGUUUAUUAUUAUUUUUUUAAAAUUUUCUAUUAUCAUAAUCAUUUUUUAAUCGCUCUUUUAUUUAGUUUUAAUGGAAAAUUAAGUGUAACUAUACUUAAUAAAUGCCUAAAAGUAUUCUCAAAAGUAACGUCUUUUUCUCAAUUUUUGAUCUCAAAUAAUGCAUACUGCAUUCCCUAUAAAGAUUGGGUUGGUUUAAUUUGGAUACUUGUAAAUUAAUUUUGUAGAUAAAGAAAGAAAAAAAAAAGAGAUUUGUUAAAACUAAUUAAAGCAAUUGGUUUCUUAUGAUUUGGGGUAAGGAGAAAUAAAAAAAUAACAAUAAUUGGGUUCUGUUUUGGACUUUACAGAACGUUCGUGGGGACAUGGAAUGUCGGAGGCAAGUCACCCCAGGAGGAUUUGAACUUAAGAGAUUGGCUAAAGUCAACUGCUCCGGCUGACAUUUAUGUUCUUGGGUAGGCGUUGCUUACAUUACAAAUUAGACCAAUUUGCUUGAUCUUCUUGUUUUGUAUUGACAAUUGAUGGAAUUUUCAAAGUAAUGAGUGGUUUGGAGCCCUACUCUAUCAAUUUGUCAAACAUCUGCUGUUCAAAAAUUGGAAUGAAAAUGAUCGGACGCACCGUUUUUUGUGCCACCUUAUCAUGCUUCCACAGCUCAACAAUAAUUUCCCCACCAGCACUCCACUUGCCCACCAUUUGUUUUUCUUCAUUUUUACCCCAUCUUCAUUCAAUUCUUUUGGAAGUUUCAUUAUAUAUUAUAAUACUGUAAUCCCUUCUAUGCUGAUUGAUUUUGAUAGUUUUACUUAAUGUGUUAUUUUUCGCAUUAGGUUCCAAGAAAUUGUCCCUCUAAAUGCUGGCAACGUACUAGGGGCAGAGGACAAUGGGCCGGCUGCCAAGUGGCUCUCUCUUAUUCGUCAAGCUUUGAACGGCAAUAAGACUGACCAAGAACUUUCUCAAUAUUACAACAAUGCCACUUCACCACAGACUGACCAGGACCAGCAAGGUAGCUUGAAGCCCAGAAUUAGCUUCUCUGACUUGCUAUCAUUGGAAGAUGAACUUGGCCAAGAAGAUUUUGAAAGAUUGUUAAGUUUGCAAUCAAGUUCAAACUCUUCUGAAGAAGACUCGCCUAGCUCAACAUGCAAAUCCGGCAGCCCUAUGCGGCGUCGUUACUGCCUAGCAGCAAGCAAGCAAAUGGUGGGGAUUUUCUUGUGUAUAUGGGUUAGAGCAGAUCUUUAUAAACAUAUUAGCAACUUGAAGGUCUCAUCUGUUGGCCGUGGCAUUAUGGGUUAUCUUGGAAACAAGGUGAGUCCGUUGUUCUUCUGCUUGGUCAUAUAAAAAUAUCAGUAAUAAAAAAAUCAUUCUUACAGAUAUUUUUGUUAACAGGGUUCAAUAUCAAUUAGCAUGACAUUGCACAACACAACUUUCUGCUUCGUCGGUACGCACUUGGCCUCCGGAGAGAAAGAAGGUGAUGAGAUCAGAAGGAAUUCAGACGUUGCACAAAUAUUAAAGAGAACAAGGUUUUCUCAUUCAUAUAUAGAUCCCGCACAGCCACUCCCCCCUGAAACCAUAUUGGAACAUGAGUGAGUAUACUUUUUUUCUUUUUAUUUGUUUCUCUAUUAAAUAAUAUUUUCAUUUCCUUCUUUCGGCUAAAGACUAUUUUCUUUUAUCCUUUUUCCUUUUCAAUUUAGUGUAAUUUUUUGGCUCGGGGAUUUGAAUUAUCGGCUUGCAAAUGGCUAUGGUGACACACAUGAACAGCUAAAGAGAAAUGACUGGCAGGCACUUCUAGAGAAAGAUCAGGUAAGAGACUAAAUAUGUGAAUUAGCAAGUUAUCACAUUUUAAUUGAUUUUUGUUAUGUUGUUGUAUGAUAUUGCCCCAAGCAGUGUUGUGGAUUAAUAAUAAUAAUAGUUACACUUGAAAGGUCUAAUGUUUAUGUGUAUUUUGUUUCUUGACAGUUACGGUUAGAGCAAAGAGCUGGUCGAGUAUUUGAAGGCUGGGAGGAAGGGGAUAUAUAUUUUCCCCCAACAUACAAAUACAUCACCAAUUCUGACCAUUACGUUGUUCAAACGUCUAAAUCUAAAGAAAAACGACGCACUCCUGCCUGGUAAGAUUUCAAAUUUAUCUGCUUCAUCCUAUCCAGCAUCAAUUUCAAUUAAUUAAAUGGAGAAUCGGAACUAAUUUAAUUCCAAGUUGGCGGAAUCUAGAGGUUUAUUAAGUCAGAAGCAAGAUUUAAGCUGCCUUCAUCAUCUAUUCUCUUUAAAUAAAUGUUUUACUUAUUGUCUCUGCAACUUGUUAGUUGUCGGAAACUAACAAUAAACUAAUCUGUGUAAUUUGUUCAUUACUUGAACAUGAACCUCUGAUUGAUAAGAAAAUGUAAAUUAAGGAAACCGUCAUUAAUAUAGUUUUAUCAUCUUCUAAGUCGUUGUGCUGGGGACACUGGGUAUCAAAUCAAAACAGUGGGAGCUGACUUGUGAAUGGGAUCACAUAGUGUUUGCAAGACUUUCAAAUGUUUUUUUAAUGCCUCUUGUUUUCCAUUUUUCAAUGCCAAAUUGAUCAGCCACAAUUAUUGUCAUAAAAGUAAUCAAUAAUCAUGUGAAUACUUUGUCUUAGUGACCAUUUCCGACGGAGACCAUGUGAAAAAUAUUAUUAGGCAAACAUCAUCCAUCAAGGUUUCAUAUUAAUAUAAUUUCCUUAGUUGAUUUAUUUAAGUCGGCAAGUAAAUGGAUUUCCUUUCCUCCCACUAAAAUAUUAUCUAUUGCAACAUGCACAAACCGACCAUGUUUAUUGUAUGACAACACUUUGAAUAUGUGAUUGCUUACAAAGAUUUACAAGCUAAUCUGCAACAACUUUUUGGACACAAUUGCAGGUGUGAUCGGAUACUGUGGAAAGGCGAAGGACUUAAACAAUUGUGUUAUGUAAGAGGAGAAUCAAGAUUCUCAGACCACAGACCAGUUUAUUCUUUCUUUUCCCUACAAGUAAACUCAGCAAACAAGCCUAAGCCUCGCACCAUUAACCCCAAGUCCUGCCCGUUGAAAGUUUCAACAAACAGUGCCUUAUCAUCCUCAUGCGUGGCCAAAGUCCAAGCAGAGGAACUCCUGAUAUUUCCCAGGCCACAAAGCUACAUGGACAAAACACACAGUUUCUGACGAGAGAAUCCUCACAGUGCAAUAGUGAAAUUACAGCUGUGAGAUAGUCUGGUAACUCGGCACAAGCACCGAGAUAAGCAUUGUCCCUGCCUCUUUUUAGCUGUUUGGGACGGCAUGUCUGGUGGGUAAUGAUUUUCAUAUGGAAACAUGUAUAGGCUAUUAGCUCAAGGCAAUACCGUGAUAGAUCAGAAGGAGAGAUAUAAUUAAACUUAAAUGUGGGACUGGGGUGCAUGCUUGCUCGUGGCACGCAUGAUGAAGAUUGGGGUUGCUGUAAAUAUAUGGGAAGUUAAGAGCAUGAUGAUUGGAUGAGUUGGUAAUGGAGCAGGGGAGUGAUUUAUAAGCCAAAAAAGGACAUUAAAGAAAGGAAUGAAUAUAGAAGCGGCUGGAUCACUGGGCACAGGUGUCACACGCAUUUGCAUUUUGGAACUAAUCAAGUGUUGCUCAGUUCUGGUUAAGUGUAAGAGAAUGUGAUCCAGCUUUUUGCAGAGUUAUUUUACUUUUUUUUCUUCCUUUUUUAACUUAUUUUGUUUUUGGGUAGAGAAUUAGACAGAGACUUGAUUGAAGGGGGGGAAGUGUAAAAAUCAAAAAGGAGGAUGGCUUUUAUGUAAGAAAAGUUCUGUUGCAGAAAGAACUGGGAUACAAAAGAGGGUGUCUAGAGGGAGCAUAGAUGUGAGUUGAUGGAGCAUUUGUUCCCUAAAGACUUGCCUCGUUUGUUAGUUUUGUUUGCUAUUACUGUAUCUCAUCCAUCAUUGAAAAAUUUUGCAAUUUUCAAGUUUUCUCAGCGUGUUUGUCAAUAUACAUCAUUCAAUUUGUCUUAUUUUAAAAGCAUAAUAAAUGAGUUAUCAUGCAUUAGACUUAAUCAAUAAUGAUACGUUCAUAACAAGUAACACAAAAAAUAGCAUAUACUCACUCGAAUAUAAAAAAUAAGUUCAUAACAAUUUGUCUUAUGUAUUUUUGUAUUAAAUUUUAUGUUUUUUUUUUUUGUAAAUAUAGCAUUAUUCGGACUUAAUUUUAUGUACACAAACUAUAAUAGCUAACCACUAAAUGUACACUAUUCCCAGAAUGAAUCCCUCGAAUUCCUUCUGAUUAGAAUUCUCGCAUGAUCUGAAUUUUUUCUGAAUAAAAUUCAAUCAAGUAAUAAAUAGUUAAUAAAUUAAAAAGAAAAAGAUAGUUAAAUUUUAGGAAAAUUAUCAGCCACAUAUCUUUAAAUGACACUCGUAUCAAACGUGUGUGAACACUUUUCAAGUGUAUCACUCGUAUAUCCUAAGUUUACAAAACACUUCGGCCGUCCACCAAUCCAUUAACUUCUGUUAGAAAGUUAACAGAAUUAUGGCAAAUUGACUAUUUCGCCCUUGAAACUCAAAAUGAGGUAAAAAUAUAAAUUUACCCAAAAAAUUAACGUAAAUUUUCAAUACACAAUUUUUUUAUUUUUUUAUUAAUAAUACAUUUUUUAUUAAAAAAUGAAUUAUUAAUGGUACAUAAUAUUAACAAUUAUCUAUAAAAAAUAUCCAUAUUAUACUAUAAAAAAUUAUUAACAACAUAUUAUUUACAAUUAUACAUAUUGUACCAUAAAAAAAUUCCAGUUGGAGCUUGGAGAAGUAGAUUUUCAAAAAUUUAGGUUAAAUUUUGGAAGAGUAGAUUCGGUUGUAAAGUAGUUUUUUUUAGCAAUUAUUAACAAUUAUCUGAUAAAUGGGAUGACAUGUCAUUUUUAUUAAUAUCUAUCAUAUGACAUGUCAUUUUUUAAUAGAUAAAUGGGAUGACAUGUCGUUUUUGUUAAUCAAAGUUUCGUUCAUCUUAAAAGACUAGAUUACCCUUAUGAUGUCAGCGUUUGCAAACGGAAGUUAACAUAUUAGUGGACAACAAAAGUGUUUUGUCAACUUAGGAUAUACGAGUGAUACACUUGAAAAGUGUUCACACGCGUUUGAUAUGGGUGUCAUUUAAGAGUAUAUGACUGAUAAUUUUCCUAAAUUUUAAUUAUACACGCGCACUAAAGAACAAAUAGCACAAGAUAUUUAAAAGCUCAAAAGUUAUCUUAAUCCAAUUCGUAAGCUCUAGUGGCUCGUUUACUUCUCCAUAGGGCAGGAAUUGGAAUAAGGUGAAAUUAGAAUAAAUUGGAAUCGGAAUGAGAAAUGAAAAUCAAAAUAAAUUAUUUAAUUGAGUUAUUGAAAUUAGAAUCGGAAUGUGUUGUAUUCUCAUAAUGUGCUUACUUUAUCUUAAAAUCAAAAUUGACCAUUGCAAAUCAUUAGAAUAUCCUUAAUUGCAAUUAUGUAUUUGUUCAUUCACAAAAUAAAUAAUAACUAUUUUUAAUAUAGUUAUUACCAUUGUUAUUACUGUUACAAAUUAUUAUAUUAGUAAAAUAAAUUAUUACUGUUACAAAUUACUAUUACUAUAAUUAUAAUUAUAAAGUAAUAGUAGUAAUAAUAAUAAUUGUUAUUAUUGUUGUUGUUGCUAUCAUCAUCAUCGUUGUUAUUAUUAUUAUUAUUUAUUUAAAUGAGGUAAAAAAAUUUAAUUUUAUUUAAUGGUAAAAAUGUCGAUUCAUUCUCCCUUCUUAUUCUUCUAUUUUUAUUCUCACAUCAUAAAAAAAUGAGUCUCAUUCCUCAUUUCAUUUUUUUGGGCCCCACCCAAAAUUUAUUCCCAUUCUUUCAUGUUUUUUGGUAAGUUAACGAUAUUUAUGAGUAUGGAAAUCAUUUACAUUCACUAAUCCAAAAGCAAAAGGUGAACACAUCAUAAAUUUCAUGUGAGGAGAUAUUCAGUUAUUGCACCUUAACCAAGGGGUAUUUUUGGAGGGAUCAUCAGGUGCUAUUAGCGUCACACCUUAAUUUGAAGCCCAUGGUUAAUAUCUCUCGAAAGCCCAUCAUUUGUUUAACAUCCAUGUACAGCUGCUGGUUAUCUUUCCACCCCACUUACCUUCUAAUCAAACCCACUAAUUAAUACGUAAUUUACAGUUAAGUCCGUAUUGUUUGUCUAAAUCAAAUAUGAUAUUCGUAGUUUGCAAAAUCAAUCGAAAAAAUCCCCUCUAAUUUCUCUUUUACAACUAAGGUCCAUUGACUGUCAAGGCUGCCUUGAAGAAAACAUUCAAAUUAUUUUGAUAUGAAAUUAAGUUGACUAUUUUAUUCUUCUAAUAUACAAAGACAUAUAAAAAAAUAAAGGUUAAAUAUUUUUUCUAGAGUCUUGUUUAAUGUUGAGGUGUGGUAAAUUUUAAACUAUUGUUACCAUAGAAAAAAACUGAACUAUAAAAUAAAAUUAAGGUAUUUGUGCAAAUAUAAUUCUUAAACAGUAAUUUUGAUAAAAUUAGUAAAGAUAUAAUAAAUUUUCAUCAUACAAAUAUAAAAUCAAAUCAACUUAAUUACUAAACUACAACAGUUAAUGUUUACCAUAUACUUUCUUACUGUAACUUCUAAAUUAUAGUUGUCUAAUUUCAUAAAAACACUAUAGAAAAUGGCCACAGCACGAAGCUUUUGAUAAGUUUUGAAUCAUAGUUUCAAAUAAGCCUUGGCAUUGUUUUGAAAUUAUGAAAAUUAUUCAUUUGAGUUUUAAAAUAGCUAGAAUACCUCAGUUAAUUUAAAAAGUUUUAAUUUGCCCCUAAUUUAAAAAUUCAAUUAUCUACAAUUUAUUAAUCGUUUUGAUUUCAUAAAAGAGGAUUAGUAAUACCAAAUGAAUAACAUAAAUAAACAAUAUAUAUUUUUGGCUAUAAAUACAAUAAAAUAGGGGGAAAUGACUAAAAUUACAAAUGAUCUUCAAUGUUUGGUUUUUCAUAAAAAACAUUUGGGCAAUUAUCCACCAAUCAUUCUUUUUUUCGCACAUUUUAAAAAAUAUACAUUUUUUUUUAUAGAACUCCAUGUGAAGUUGUCAUUAUUUUUACUCCUCCAUUGCCGUCUAAACUUUGUUAGAAAUUUACUAAUGUUAGAAGGUUAAAAUUGUCAUUUAAUUUUAACAAAUAAAAAAGACCCUACAUCAAAUAAAAAAAUUCAACACCACAAAUUAUCAAAAUGAAAAUCCUUUAAUUCAAUUGAAAGAAAAAUGCUCGACCUUAACCCUAACUCAAGAGCCACACACUACCAAAAUCAAAAUUAAAUUUUAUUUAAUUUAUAAUCAAAUAAUAAUAAAAAGGUGCAUGAUUGGUGAACAAUAAACAGUGGCAGUAACUUGGUGUGGUGAGGCACGAUGGAGUGAACUGAUGAUGUGGUUUAAUUCUAAUUUUAUUUUUUUAUAAAUAGUAAUGAAUAAAUAAUAAAAUCUAAAUUAUAAAAAAUUAAAUAUUAGUAUAAAUAACAAAUAUUAAAAUAUUUAAACAAAUAUACUAUGAAAUUUUCAAGCUCAACUAACAAAUUGGAGUCCUAAAUUACUAUUUAAUUAGGUCUUAUUCAAAAGGGCUUGGCCCAAAAUUUUUUAUAUUUAUCUAAUAAAACAAAAAUUAAAGCAAAAGCUAAAGUUAUAACAUCCAAACUUUACUAGGAUAUAUUAUCAAAUUUUACUUUUAUUUAAAUUUUUUAUUUUAAUAGAUUAAAUCAAAUUUAGAAACUAAAAAUGUAUUAGUUAUUUAGAAAUUUUUCGAGGAUUGGGGACCUCAGGGAUUCAUUUUUAUUAUUUGGAGAGAGAACGAAGAUUCCUUUAAGAAAUUCUUAUGAGGACGGGGAUAUCAAUCCCCUCCCCUACCCUCCCCAUUGCCAUCCCUAGUGGCGGGGUGCAAUGUUGGCAUAUUGUGAUUGAAAAAUCUUAAGAAGAGAAGAGGUUGCAAUUUUUAUUUGAUUGAAAAGAGAAAAUUUUUUCGAAAAGAAGAGAUGAGACUACAAUUUCUGUUGGAGAAAAAGAAGAGGCUAACCAUCAAAAAGGAAAAAAAGAAGAAGAGGCUGAAUUCGGUUUUGAAUGAGAUUGAAGAUUAUUAGCUUUGUGUCUUGUUGCUAAUGAUGCUUUUACUCUUUUUUUCCCUAGUGCUUUGCUUGAAUUCUUUUAAUUCUUUGGUUUAGUGUUUGGUUUUAUUUUGGUUAGGGGUGGGCAAAAAAACCGUGGUUUUAAAAAUACUAAACCGAACCGGCGGUUUUUUCUAAUUCGGAUCGGUUUUUAUUUAAAAAAAACCAAAAUAUAUGAUUUGUAAAAAAAAUCGAAAUGUCGGUUCGGUAUUCGGUUCACUUAGCUGAACCAAAAACCAAAUUAAUUUUAGAUUUUAUUCAAAUCGACAUGUGUUAAAUUUUUUUUUAUAGAUCCAAAUAUUGAGUUGGAAAAUACCUAAAGUUGAUGUUGAUAUUGAUGAAGAUGGGAGAAUGUUGUUGGCGUUUGUUUCUAAAUUUUCUUUUUAUUUUGUGUUGUAAGAUGUAAUUAUUGUUAUUUUUAUUUGUCUUUACAACAUUAUGAUUAUGUUUUUGUAGAUGAAGUAUUGGAGUUUGGUUAUGUAUUUUGAAAUUUUAAUAUUUCAUAUUUUGUGAGUACCUUAUUAGUAGUUAGUAAGAUAUUAGUGAUAAAAUGUGUUUUGAAUACUUUGUAUUUAUUGUUAAUAUUUGUAAUGAAAUUAGGAAGAACUAAUUAUUGAAAAAAAUUAUUACAUUCAUGAGGCCCAAUGGGCUAAAAAUUUGAAAUUUCAAAAUAGGUUCAAUAGGCCCAGAACUGAAAAACCGAACCGAUCCGAAAAGAUCCGUUUGAGUUCGGCUCUUAUUGAGUUCGGUUCUUAUUCGGUUCUUUUGAUAAAAUAACCGAUUUAAAUCGGUUCUACUUAAUUUCGAUCCGAACCAAACCGUGCCCACCCCUAAUUUUGGUUAUUAGAUUGAGUUUGGGAUUAGGUUUGGGUUUUAAUUCUUUUAAUUAUUUUUUGUUUUAAUUUUGGUUAUUUUGUUUCAUUUUUUAUUUAAUAGCUAAAUUGCAAAGAAUAACCAAAGUCAUCUAAUUUUUUGGCCAUUCAGUUAGGGUGAAAUAGUAAUUUUAUAUUAAAAUGGUAAAAUAAUCAUUCUAUUGAUACUCUGAUAAAUUCUCUCACGUAGUUUAGAUGAUAGUGAAAUAAUGAUAUAUUUAUAAGAUUUGGAUGAAAUUUUGCAAAGAAAAAAAACUGUUUAUUUUUUAAGAAGCCGGAAAAAAAAGAGAGGUGCUUAGUGGAUAAUUGAAUUUAAUUCAAUUUGGUGGCUUUCCCUUUUUGCCUUGUAACAAUUGGAAUAAAAAAUCUUAGUGGAUAAUUGCUUUUUCUUUUUUCAAAUUUCAUCACUAAAUUAAUUAUAUAAGACUCACUUUGGGUGACACAUAUUUUGAAAAAUUUAAAAAAAAUGACAUAUUUUUUAAAAAUACUCGAGCAAGUGACAAUCCAUUAACGUUGCCUUUAACUUUUACAGGAAUAGUAAAUUAAUUAUAAAAUGAUACUUUUGCCCCUAAAUUAAUUAUAAAAUAACGCUUAUGCUCCUGUAAUAGUUACAAAAUUACAUUUCUAUCCCUACAAUUAGUUAUAAAAUAUGUUUUUACCCCUAGUCAUUUUUUUUAAUUUUCUAAAUAGAAAAAAAUAAAAAAAUUACACCUAAGUAUGAGUAACAUUUUUUUUUGGUUAAAUCAAACAAAUCUUUAAAAAAAAAUUCUUGUUAUAUCAAACUUUGCCGUUAAAAUUAAUAAGAAAAUUUUAUUUGAUUCAACAAGAAUUUUUUUUUAAAAAUUGUAUGAUUUAACAAAAAAAACCUGUCAAUUAGACUUAGAUGCAAUUUUUUUAUAAUUUCUUCUAUUCAAAAAAUAAAUAUAAUUUAAUAAGGACAAAAAUAUAUUUUAAAACUAAUUAUAGGGAUAAAAAUAUUAUUUUGUAACUAUUACAGGACAAAAGUAUCAUUUUAUAAUUAAUUCUAGGGAUAAAAGUGUUAUCUUAUAAUUAAUUUAUUAUUUCCAUAAAAGUUAAUAUUAAAGUUAACAAAAUAUCACCUAUUUGAGCAUUUUUAAAUAGUUUUAGGGUUUGGAUAUCUUAAAUCAGCUCUAAGGUAAACCAUCCAUCACAACCAUUGGAUGCACUCUGUCACAAUUUUUUUAAGUUUAAGUAUAUGCAUCCAAUAGCUGUGAUGGAUGGUCUAUCUUAGAACUAAUCUAAGGUAGCCACUGCCUUUUUUAAAUAAUAUAUCACUUUUUUUUAAAUUUAUCAAAAACACGUGUCACCCGUUAUAUAAUCAUGCCCGGACGACACCGCAUAGAAGUGCAAUUUCCACCCAGUCAUUAAGUACAAACGCAUCCUUGACUCGACGAUGGGAACUCAUUGGCUCGCCCACGGGGGCCAUGACGCAUCCACAUCACUUUCAAGUUUCAAACUGGCGUAAAGCUAGACAGUGAACGGACAAGAUCGCACUGUCCAAUUUCCACGUGUACGGCAGAGAUCAUGCUCUACGGGUCCUGAAUCGCGAUCGUGCAGGGCACCACCGUCUAUAUCAUCAGCUCACUCCUCUUCAAACACACCAAAAACCUUAAAUAUCUCAAUCCGAUAAUAAAUUAAUAAAAGCAUUUUCUUCUUCUUCUUCUUCUUCUUCUUCUCUUUGUCCCACUUCUUAGAUCUCGCCGGAGAUCCUCGUCCGUACGAUCCCCGGCUGUCUUUCCGUCGGAAACUUCCUCAUUUCCGAUCAUAGAUCAUACGGCCAUUGAGUGUAUCUAUUUACAGGUACUUCGAAUGAGUAUCUCUCUCCAUCUCCGUUUUCAUUUUCAAAAGCCUUAGGGUUUAGGGUAUUAUAAUCUUUGUAGAUAAAUAAAGGAUUGUCUUUUUCGAUUUAAAUGUUCAUCUCCACUGAGUGUCACACUUGUACGGUGUUUAGCAUAUAAACAUUUUGAUUUUAAACAUUUUUUGACAUAUAUAUAUAAUUUACAGUUACUUACUACUCACUGAACAGUGUGUGUUGAUUUUUUCAAUACAGUUUUUGUUGAUAAUAUUACUGCAUUUGGCAGAUAAUUUCAGUCUAUCUAGUGGCGUUCUAAAUUUUCGAAGAUUGAUUGUGUUUUUUGCAGUCAGUUAUUUGGUAUUUGACGUCGAACAAUCAAUGGCCUCAAUGGCAUGGUAUACAUUUUGAAGGGUGUGAAUAUAUAUAGCUGUUGAAUCUAACAGUGAAACGAGGAGGAGCUUAAAAGUAACUUGAAAGGAAGUUUGACAGAAAAGUGGCAAAAUGGUAUGUUACGCUUCUUUCUGAUGACAUUUUGAUUUGAAGUUAAAGUUUGAGUGCAUAUUUCAGUAAUCUGAGAAUUGUGAUGUUACUAUUUAUGGAUAUUUUUCAGUCUUUACACUGAUUGCAUUUCCUACUUGCAUGGUUGACAUGGUUAGAUUACCAACACUUACUUGAUUUGUAUAAUCACUUGCUCUGGGAGGACAAGGUAGUGGGAGUUAACAUUUUUAUGGUCUAGGUUGUUUUCACCCUGCUUAUCAAUUCAUGUAGAGGGUAAGUAUGUCUCUAACAAUCUUGAAGGACCAUGGGUGUUGAAUUUAUUAUUGAUAGUUAUCUUUGAAGUUAAUUCCGGUAUCUCUUACUCUUUGCAUGGUGGUAAAAGAUUUUGAUGUAACCAUUUUUUUUUUCUUUUUUUUUUUUGAGCGAGCACUUUUAAGUGACUCCUAGUUAUUGGUUUUGACUUUGGCUGGCAACAGAAGUAGUUUAGAACUAAAGCCAUGAGUGGGAAGAUGGAGAAACAGUAUGGUAUAACACUGCAGGUUAACUUUCUAACCAUGAAUUUUUCUUUGUUUUCUUUGGUCAGCUUUUAUCAGUAAGUAUUAGAACUAAAACAGUUGUACCGAUUGGAUAAGGAGCGAGAGAGCUUUGAUGGUAUGUUUGUCAUAGUUUAGUUCAUAUUAUAUUUUAAUGAUGUGUGUUGAGUGCUUCCAUUGUUUUCUUUCAUAAUAAUCAUAUCAUGGAACCUUCUUCUUUAAGUAAUUAUAGGGUUACUUUCCUCACAGAAUCAAGGCUUUUGGAUGGCAAAGGGUGCUGAGUGUUUGAAUGAUGGUGAGAUGGCCUAUGAUAAUUCCUCUAAACUUGAUCCAAAGCGUUCUCAUCAGUGGUUCAUGGAAGGUCCUGAGGCCGAGCUUUUCCCCAACAAGAAACAGGCAAUAGGAGUUCCAAGCAGCAACCUUUUUUCAGGAUUGUUAAACUCGAAUGUUCCAGCAUGGGGUCAUACUUCCAGUUUCCACUCCAUCUCUGGCCCUUUUGGUGAACGUUUAUUUGAUUCUCCAACAACCAGAGCUGUCAAUCUUGAUGAUCGAAAUGUUACUUCAGUUACUGCAGAAAAACUUGAUCCUGGAAGAAAGGAUUUAUUUGGUAAUGAUUCUUCCUUUGGUCUAUCUAUGUCACAAGCACAGGAAGAUCAUAGGGGAGGUCUUAGUUAUGGGAUUAGAAAAGUAAAGGUCAGCCAGGUUAAAGACUCGGAAAAUGUUAUGGCAGUAUCAAUGGGACAUGGCUAUGAUACAGUAGAUAACAAUACCAUAUCAAUGGCCCAUGCUUACAACAAGGCUGACGACAGUUCUAUAUCAAUGGGUCUUGCUUAUAACAAAGGUGAUGCUAAUAUUAUGUCUAUGGGUGAUACCUUUGCUAGGGAGAAUAACAUUUUCAUAUCAAUGGCCCAACCCUAUAACAAGGCGAAUGAUAACCUAUCGAUUGGUCAGACAUACAAAGAGAAUAAUGAUAGCCUGCCAAUGUCUCAUUCUUUCGGCAAGGAGGACAAUGGUAUGAUCUCUAUGGGUCAAACCUACAACAAGGUAGAGGAGAAUGCUAUAUCAGCAGGUCACAUUUAUAACAAAGGAGAUGACAGUACCAUAUCAAUGGUUAACACUUAUAAUAAGGAUACAAGUAGUUUAUCAGUUGGACAGUCAUAUAAUAAGGGAGAGAGUACUAUCAUUUCCUUUGGGGGGUAUGAUGAUGAUGAUGCAAAUCCCUCGGGGACGCUGUUAUCUACUUAUGGGGUGAUGAUUGGCCAAUCUUCUGUCAAUACAUCAGAAGCAUUAAAUCAGAAAGCAUUUGUUAAAUCAAAUGCUGAUACACUCAUGUCUAGUCAACAUGUAACCAUCUCUGGUGCUGAAAAUAACUCAAGAAAGAAAGAAGACCUAAAACCAUCUAAGAAGGUCACUUCAAACAACUUUCCUUCAAAUGUCAGAAGUUUGCUAUCGACUGGUAUGCUGGAUGGAGUUCCUGUUAAGUAUAUCGCCUGGUCACGUGAGGUACGUAUUUAGUGCUUAAUGUUCAUCUUCUAGAUUAGCUUAUUGCGAUAAGUAUUUAGUGCUUAUUGGUCAUCUUCUAGAUUAGCUUAUUGUUUGGUGACAUGCUGCUUUUCUUAUGCUUGGUAGAAGGAGCUCCGUGGUGUUAUUAAAGGUUCUGGGUAUCAGUGUAGCUGUCAGUCCUGUAAUUACUCAAAGGUAGUUUAUUCAUUAGCUUUUCUAUGAAGGGCAGUUUGGAGCUUGAAUCUUGGCUGACCAACUUUUUCUUAUAGGUUAUUAAUGCUUAUGAAUUUGAGCGUCAUGCUGGUUGCAAAACGAAACACCCAAACAAUCACAUUUAUUUUGAAAAUGGGAAGACUAUAUAUGGGAUUGUCCAAGAGCUAAGGAGCACACCUCAGAAUAUGUUGUUUGAAGUUAUUCAGACAAUUACUGGCUCCCCAAUCAACCAGAAGUCCUUCCGUCUAUGGAAAGGUAAUGCGAGCUAUCUAAUACAAUUGUAUUUCUUUUGCCAUUUUGAUAUUACAAAUUUCCACUGUUUUCUGAUGGAAACAGAAGAAGAAGAAAAGAAAAGCCUUAUUUUUAUUUCAAAGAUAUUUCUGUUGAUUCACCAUAUUACCUUACAUUUGCUAUUCCUGCUCUUUUUCAGAGUCCUUUCUAGCUGCAACCCGUGAGCUUCAGCGUAUAUAUGGGAAGGAAGAAGGGAAGCAAUUGUCAUAAAGCAGCUUUCCCCAAAUUGUAAGUUAGGAUGUUUUGUUUUGUGCAUAGGAGUGGCUUUUUUGGCAACACGUUGUACUUGUUAAUGGUGAUUGCACCACUAAUUAAAGGGCUUGAAUUUUUUUUCUUACUCCUAACUUGAGGGUUAGGGAUCAUUGUGAAAGUAGGAUAUCAACCUUUGAGAAAGAAUGUGACCUUCUUAUGGGUUUAUUAGAUCAUAGCAGCUAAUUUUCUGUAACUGAAUCUAAGGUUAAGAAUGAAAUUGCAAUGUUUUCACUUCUCAUCAGAAAGGAAGUUUAUGAAUGUAUUCUGCGAUCUCUUAUCCAACGUAUAUCCUUAAUAGUUUCUUUUUCCAUUCCAACCAUGGAAAUCAUGUUAGAAAUUGUAGGUUGUUAUGACAGAGAAUAACCUGAGCUCUUUAGAGUUGGUUCUGCAGAAGUCAGCAUCACCAAGUCUUUUCACGGUUAAUUAGUUUGACACAAGUCCUUCAAUCUAGUUGGCCAAAUUAGCGGCGACAUUACUAAUCCUUUAUAGUAAAACUUUGGAAAGUAUUUUAAUGGUAGAAAAUCAUUUUGUUUUCACUUUUGUUGUCUCUGUGUUUUCCCUAGAGCAACAACAUUCAAAUUCACUGUGGUAAGUAUGCUUUUGGUUAUAUUUGCUAGAUUGUUCAAAGCUACGUGUAUUAACUUCCAGAUUAUAAUUACAUAGUACCAUGUUACCAGGAGUAGAAGGGCAGAGGUAUUUAUUUGCAAGUGUCCACAAUUUGCUAACAAAGUGUAAGAAAUGAAAUGUUGAAUUUUUAUGCAUCUGCGAGUAUAUAUAUCUGAAGUAUAGAUUAUCAUUCAAAAUUUUCUUCUAGGUAGAAUUUCUGUGCAUAAAGAAAUAUUAGCUUGUGAUUAUAGUCUAUUUGCAUACAAAAUACCUAUUUUCUUUGACAGAAUAUAUACGUUUUGCAAUUGUAAAAGGUUUCAGUAGCAUGCUUAGAUAAUUAGUGCUAUAAUUAGUACUUUUAUAAGCAUGUCAUAAGCUGUAUAAAAUCUAAGGAUGCAUCGAUAUUGGGGAAAAAAAAGGACUUAAAUUAAGUGGUUAUCAAUGGGCAAAAAUUCAUCAUGGGUUGAAAUAGUGAAAAUUCACUGGUUCUAAGAUGCUUGUACUAGAGGGCACAAAUUUAUUGCAACCCAAACUAUUUUAGUAAUGAAAAUUUUCUUGGUUGGACUUGGAUGGCCAUGUGAAAAGACAAUAUACAGUCAAAGGAAGAUCUGGCGCAUGAUUGAUAAAAGGUCAAUUAUUAGACGAUUCACUUGCAUUCUAAUUAAACCAAAUUUUGCUGUUGCUGAAUUCUGAGAUACAUGCAAUUUGAAGCCUUGAUUAAGGGGAGUUAAACUCUUGACAGUUAUAGGGUCCCUUUUGCAUUGUUAUUGUCAUUUACUUGCAGCAAUUCCUCUUAUCACACAUCAAUUUUUGUGACCUCAUGACCAAAAUUUUCCUUUCCAUUGCUACCUGUAUUGUUUGUUUGCUCAGCUGGUGGUAGAUGCUCAUCAGUUGAUGGUGAUGGUGACUUGUGAUCCUUGCUUUUACCCCAGACAACAAGAUAUAAGCCUCCGAUUAUGAUAAUGGCACCAAUGAUCCUUCAAAACAUAAUCUCAGUUAGUUUCUUCGUUCUUUAGGAUUGUGAUUAUAUUGGUAGUGAAAGCUUUAUAUAUGUACUUACCUUCCAAGGUACAUUUGCUCUGCCAAAAUGAUGGUGCUCAUAAUAGCCACAAUGACCAUGCAUAGAGGACUAAAAGCUGCUACAAAAACAGGGCCUCUGUCUUUCAUUACUAUUCCUUGAAUGUAGUAAGUUAGUCCUGAGCAUAUUAUCCCCUGCAGGUACACGUCUCUUAAUGUCAGAGUCGCAAUUCUUACCUUCAGUAACCAGGAAUUUUUUUUAAUCUAUUGAGACCAUCUCCAUUUUGGAUGAAAGAGAUCAAAGAGGUAAGAUUUGAGAUUGAAAUAAGAAGAUGGUCCUGAGAGCUCUGGUUUUAGGAUUAGCUCUCUCAUGUUACCAGUUAGAUGUUGAAAUCGCCUUGUUUGCCAUAAGGAGUAGUUACACCGAGUCUUAUAUAACUACUGUUGGACGACAGAUCUUUCUAUUAUAUCUAAAUUGCUUUAAGAUUCUUACACUGUAGACAGAAGCCACUAAUUUAGUGUCCCAGUGUAUGGCCCAGAUGCUAGCUUUUCCUCUUUCCAUUAUUAGCGCGGCUAAAGUGCCCUCAACUGUGCCAAAGAAGCAUAUCCAAGCUGUAAGAGAGAGCUCAGCGGGGUAUGCUUUCAAUGUAAUUGCCUAAAGAAACAAAGUGGCAAGUGUUAGUAAUAUUCUAAAACUCAUGGGAAAUUUUGAAUAUGUGGGAUUCACUCACCUGCAGAAUUAUGAAAAAGGACCAGCUGAAGCAGCCAGCUGUGAUCAUUAGAGCACCCUUGAUUGAAUUGUGGGUGGUUGUCCCACUGCUCCCGUGCCCAUGAUUUUCUGCUCCCUUUGUCCAGAAUAAUUCAAGAAUUGGACCUUUUAUCAGGGUCAUAACCAUGGCUCCUGCAACGGUUGCCAAUGUCCCAAUCACUUUAGCUAGGCUGCGGAUGCUCUUAAGAUUCACGUUCUCAAGCCUGUAUAUAAAAAUAGAUUAGUUUCAAAUUUGCAGUUUAUAAAAGCUGUUAUUUCUUACUCAUGCUUCUGCAAAAAGUUUGUGGAGACCUGAUGAUCCAAGCCAUUAGAAAGGUGAUGGCAGGAAGAAUAUUGUACAUAGCAGCUGCAAAUGUCGCCGUUGUAUACUUCAUCCCGAUAAAGUACAAGUUCUGGUCUAUAACUGGCCUACAAGUACGCAUGAUGUAGGUUAGAAAAUGAGUUGAGUUAAGUGAUGGUACAAACAUGUUUCAGUUUAGAAAAUUACUCUAGCAAUCCCAGCAACAGUAGCUUUGUUAAGAUUGCCAGUGUCAUCUUUGGUCGUAUCUUCCUGUUAAAUAAGAAAACAGAACAUUGGCAAUCAGAAAACAUUCAUUUUAUUUCAAAUUUUUAUUCAGUGUUUGCAAAGAACAAGCGUGAGAAGGAAGUGUGCUACUUGUCCAGAAUGACUGCAAAAGGAGCCAUGGCGAUUGUUGCAGCAGCGUGUCGGUACACAACAAGGACGUAAGGGCUCAUGCCCUUGUUCAAUGCAGCUUUGCACAGAACAUCCAUUCCAGCAAAACCUACUUGCAUGAAAAUGACACCAAUGAAUGGCCUCGUCCUAUUGAACAAACUAAGCAUUUGGUUCUUCAUUUGUGUCUCUUGAGCCCGCACUGAACCCAAACCAUUUUUGGGAAGGCAAUUUAUAAUGAUUCCGUGUGAGGGGCAGCUUUGACAUUAGCACAAGUUGCUAGCGUAUUCAUGAUUCCGAAUAUGAUAACGCUUUCAUACCCAGACUCCACUCAUCUCUCAAAGUUCCUCCAUUAUGUACUAAAUAAUUAAAAACACUUUCAUCAAACCGGAAAUUAUUGCUCGUUGUUGUGAUGAAUCUUUUUCACACUUGGUGGAGUUACUUUUGUGUUAUUUCUUUCAUUGUAUAUUACAACAUCAAAGCCCCGCCACAAAGGGAUUCCUCCGUAAGUGCUCAAUCCAAUCCGAUACUACUUGGUACGUGGAAUAGAAAACUGGAUUAGGCCUCGUACGUUGCAAUUCCAUGCACAUAUGCGGAGUUAGGCUUGAAGAGAUAGGCCGUUUUGGCAAAUGAAUUAAUAAUACUACACUUUCUACGUAAUCCCGUCUUUCUUUCUUUCUUUCUGACCAAACGGCCAAUUCUAUCCAUAAUAAAGUAGCAGUGCUGUUAUCUUAUUUCGAGUGAGGCGAUAUUCGUUGCUUUCGUUAAAUUUCCGUUAGAAUUCGAUUCAAAGUAAUUGAGAGGUCCUUAUUGGAGCCAAUUCAAGUCCGAUUCAAAAAAAUAAAUCUAUAUUUGAUGAGAACUUGUGUUAAGUUUAGAUUUAUGUGUGUUUUUCCUCAUAUUUGGAGCAAAUGGACUAUCUGAGGUACACCAGAUGAUGACUAAAAUAAUAUGCAUAGUAAAUUAAGGUGGUUAUAUGGGAAAUAAUAGAAAGAGUUCAAUAGAGCCCCGAAUGGGUUAAUAUGAGGCUAAUGUGUGCUUAGGAGUAGCUUAAUUGUACAUUAAGUUAGCUCAAACAAGCUCAUACGUGAAUGAUCUCAUCUCAAAUUAAAAAUAUAAUAAAACAAAUAUAAAUAAAAAGAGCACAAAAUACUUAUGUGGUUCGACUUUUAGCCUAUGUUUUCGAGAACAAGUCAUCACCAAUCAUAUAUAUAAAUCAGAGGUGAAUUGAAUAAGACAUUUAUAUAAUGGAGGCUGGUGGUGAGAAAAGUGCAUAAAAAUAUGGUUAGAUAUUAUCUUUAGGUUAAAAGAAGUGAAUAUUUUUAAGGAUACGUGUCAUAUUUAAAGGAAAAGAACAACAUUAUUCCUUUUGUAUUAGAUUUUUUUUUCCUAUAAAUAUCUUGAAGUGUCUAAUCUUAAUCAUUGAUUUCCAAACCCAUACAAUCUAGUAAAUUCUUCCAAAUGACAUCUUUAUACUGCUCUAAAUAUUUUAUUUAUUUCCCCCACCCUUAUAAUCACUCAUGUGUUAUUCAUUUAUUGGUCCUAAAAUAUCGUUAUAAAUUUAUCCCGAACGGUGCGUUCAAAUUUACCACUUUUGAAGUCGAUCAUGGAUCACGUACUUGUGAUGAAAAAAUCGAGAAUUAAAUCAUGUAGAGUCAAUAUCGUAUGGCAACUCGGCCCACUGAUGCAUGAAUUAUUUGAUUACGUUUCCAUUAUUGGAGGCUGAGCUACAACUUUACUGGACAAAAUAAUCAAUAAUGGUUCGAUUAUUAAAAGUAACCUUCGACUUUUCGCAGAUUGUCAAACAAACCCCUAAUGGGCGAAAAAGCAGAAAAUAGAAAGUAAAGGAAACGUGAAGCGUUUCCUUAUAAAAUCAACUCAUAAAGGUCGGUCCAUGGUCAAAGUGACAUUGGGCACUAAAGUCCCACAACUUAAUUGGCCUUACGGUUAUAUCAUCAUUUUUGUUUUCUCAUGCUUUAUGUUGUUAGCACGUAGACCCACCACACCCGACUCUCCAUAAACUUAAAACUCCAUUCACGUGCACCCACCGUGUGAGAUAAAUUGUGGGUGAUUAUUAACGGGGAUAACGACACCAGGGUCCCUGAAGUUUUUCAAUAUCUCAUGAAGUUAACCUCGUUUCCUAUCUGUAUCAAGUUUCUGCGUAUCCCCUAAUGAAAUGACUGUAAUACCCUUUGGAGUUUAGUUAAACACAAGGUCAACCUCAACGUUGUAAGGGCCUAAGGGGCACUAGUUAUUUUAUUAGGGUCAUUGAACAAUUACGUCCUUAGCUGUGAAUACGAAAGACUCAAGAGUCAGGGACCCAAUGAUAUUACUCCUUAAAAAAGGAUGAUGACAUUACAGUCAGACCCAAGAAAGUAGUGCUUUUAUUAAUGGAAGUAACUACAAACAUGGCAAAUGAAGGGGCUGCAGCUCAUUUUGGAGACACCAUAUCUUGUGUUACAAUAACCGCAUUUUCUCAAAAGCUCAAAAUGGAAUAUCAUUUUUCUGCUCCUGAUGAGAUAUUGGGAUUCAUAGAUGAGACGGUGGGAUUCCUCGCCGUAGAAGAAAGGUGCUUGAAUCAUUUCAAAUUUGAGAAUACAAUAUGCUUAUCAAAUAUCAAUACCAUCUGAUAUAACAAAUUUUGUAUCACAACUAAUAUAUGAUUAUAUAGGUAAUUUGAUAAUAGACAUAACAAUAACCAUAUGACAGGAAAAUCAAUCAACUUAAUACUUGAUACGCGAUAACAUGAUACAAACUUUAUACACCAAGUUUGUUUGUAGAUCUGUUGAUGGUCAUGCCCACUACAAUAUCCAUUUCCAAAAUUUCUAUCCAGUUCAACUUCCAGUAUUCAUCAGCAUCAAUUUUGGAACAUUUCAACCCAGUAGAGGGAUGAGCUUGAUGUAAAGAGUUUCGUACUAGAUGGACAUAGCAGCAAACAUAGCUUGUAUGUUGUAUCAGAGAAAAGAAGGCUGCUUCUAUUUAAUUCUCAGUAUCGAAAAAGCAAAAUAACAGGCAUUACAUGGUUUUUCAGCACAAGGAACAAAAGAAAUGAAAGGAACUAAUAUAAUAUAAUUAAUGCCAAACACAGAUGAUCUAUCAUUCACAAGCAAGCGUGUGGUAGUUGUAAAAUAAUGAUAGAACAAUACAAGCACCAAUGAUAUAGUUGACAAAAUUAGUUGUCCCAACCAAAAUGAUUGCCUUGACAUAUACCCAUGUGAUCUCACCCGCAUAGAUUGCUUAAGAACCGCAGCAAGCUGAUCUUUGGGCAGCUUGAGCAGCCCCACCUGCCUGGUCAGGUUGGUUAAUUUUGAUAGUCUGAGGCUGAAAAGAUCCAGCAAAUGAAUGAUUCAGUAUAUAAGCAAAAUACUCCAUUAUAAACUUGUCUUGGAGAAGAUACAAAUGGAACCAAGGACAACCUCAAAACAUUGGAAAAAUAUAAAUAUCAAACUAAAAGAAACAAUUCUCACUUGUGAUCUCAGGAAUCUAAAUAACUCAAGACUAUUAAGUUGGAUAUUCUAUGACUGACAAAGACAAAAGAAAAACCAUCUUACCUCAGCCCUAGAGUCUGUAUCUGCAAGCCUUUGCUUGAUGUCCCUUGCAAUUGAAAAGAAAACCUCCUCCACAUUUAGGUUUGUCUUUGCACUCUGUAAUAGACAGCCUCUUCAGGAUACCCAAACAAUAUAUUGCACCAACUUAAAUGUGAAAAUGAGAAAGUACAUACAGUCUCAAAGAACUUGAUGCCAUAUUCAUCAGCAAGAGCUUGGCCCUUUGAAGUGGGGACAGCCUGAAAAAGAUGUUUCUUAUCAACUUAACGACAAAAAUUACACUAAAAAAAUUAUAAAGCACACAAAUAUAAAUGCAGAAACAGAGAGGAAGAGUGAAGGAAAACAGACCCUUUUGCUUUCAUCCAUGUCGGCCUUGUUACCCACCAGAAUCUUGUUUACAUUGUCAGAUGCAUGCUGUUCGAUAUUACGGAUCCAAUUCCUAAUGUCUGAACACAGGAAGUUAACAGCUAAAUUUCAAACAAGCUUGGAACAAAAGAGAAUAAACACCAUUUAAAGGAGUGGCAAAAUGACAAUGCUGGUAGCAGUAACAUUUGCAGCAUCAUGGAAAAUAAGGUCCAGUGCCAUGUAUAAAUUUUGUGGAAAAUAAAACAUUCAGAUCCAGAUAUCCAAUCAAAAUAGAGGAAUGAUCAACCUAAGCUUAGAAAUCUAAACUUCUGAUGAUAAAAUGAAGGGAGCAAUUACUGUUGAAAGAUGACUCGUCGGUGACAUCAUAUACGAGCAAUAUUCCCAUGGCUCCUCGGUAGUAUGCUGCAGAGAACGAAAAUUAUGAUGUAACAUUAGGACACAAAAAUGAAAACUUGGGAAACCACAAGUAGAUUAACGACAGAGGGGGAGGAGAAGAAAAGGGGAAAAAAAAAGGUUCAACAGUUUCAAUGACUAUAGCCUACAAGCCCAUACCUAUGGCCCCUUAUUUUUCACAGAAAUUAUGACAGAAACUGAGGGCCACUAAAUCAUAACAUUUUGAAUGAGAUUCCAUAACAUGCGUCAUUCCAAAGUGCAUUAGUUGUCUGUGUCAAAUAUAAUGUUGUUGAUGAAAAUUGAAAAAGAAAGUGUUAAUUGCACCAAAAAAGAAAAUGAUUGUAAAUGACCAACAGACAAUGAGGCGGCGCAAAACCUGGGAAGACAACAAUCAAACAGAAUUUCACAGCAUAGACUUAAACAGUUGAUGAUGGAAGCAAUCUUAAAUACCCUAGCUAUGUAGCAUACACAUUUUCAUUUGCAGACCUCACAAGUUACAAAAUUGUAUUAAAAACAAGUAGAAAACCUGAAAUGGUAUCUAUUAAAUCAUAAAACAGCUGACACCUCCACAGAUCUAGAAAACUGUAUUCAAAGAAACUGGUAAGCCAAUACCCUAGAACGCUGCUAGUAAAAGAAAAGAAUUACACUUGUCCAACCAGGUCUUAUCAGCAUGUUGGUCCAACUCCAAGUAAGAACAGUUGAUAAUACUUUUGACAAAAAAUUUCAUAAGAAAUUGUGAAUCCAACACAUUAUCUGACAGCUAGAGCUAGAGACUUUAGAAAUCGUUAAAUUAUCUUGUGAGUCAUUGAAAGUAAAAGACCCAAGUACUUUACGAGACAUCUAGAUAACAUCGAUAUCCUUUCUGAUUCAAUUAUUGACAGGAAACACAAUACAGAGUAAGAACAAAAUGAUUGUCCCAAAAGUCUUUGAGAAGAUUCAAAGAAUAAACUUCCUGUCAGAUCUACCCAAAAUGCAACAUCUAAUUUCUUUCAAAAAGGCUAUGUCAUUUAAUCAAAUAAAUUCUUGACCUUGUUGCUAAAUAUGGUACAUGUGCAUAGGUGAAGACAUGGUCCGUGUGAAUGCAACAUUAGAUUACCAAUAGAUUUUAUUUUAUUUUUAUAAAUUAAGGUGUGAAUUAAAGGAGAUAAACAAUGCAGAUCCCAUUUAUACUGUAAUUCUAUUCAGUAUCAGUGUUUAUGCCCACACUAACCGGUUGUAAUUGUUCGAAACCUCUCUUGACCUGCAGUAUCCCAUAUUUGAAGUUUAAUUCGUUUUCCAUCAAGCUCUAUGGUCCUAAUCUUGAAGUCAAUACUGUCAAAAGAAAAUACAACCUAGUCAGAACACUAGCAUUUGAUAUUGUAAAAUAUAAGUAAAUCCCCUAUUAAUUUUAACUAAGAUAACAAACUUACCCAAUGGUUGUAAUAAAACUGGUAGUAAAGGAACCAUCAGAGAAUCGCAGAAGGAGACAACUCUUACCAACACCUGCCCAAGUCCCAAAGCUCACGAAAGUAAACACAUAACUCAAUAUCCAAACCACUCAAAGCUGCUUCAUAAAACUCCAAAUAAACAACAAAAAUCAAAAUCGCAAAAUUUAAAGCCAAAUGUUACAAGCAAAAAGGUCCACAACUGGAAUAAUUAGUAGAGAAUGUAAUUACAAAGCAUAUGACAAAAUCCAUAUAAAAACAUUUGAAGAUAGUUGGCACGGCACAGUUAAAUUCAUCCGUCAACCUGGUGAGAUGAAGUGUACUACAAAAAAAUGCUUUCAUAUAAUGCACAGAACAUUAACAUAAUAAAUUGUCAAAUUUGAAUUCACAACUCACAAGACAGUGCCUUCGGUUAGAUCUACAUCUAAUCCAACAGCAUUUUACAAAUCUUCAAUCUUAAACACAUUGAUAAAAUAUCACAUUCACAAAUCUCAAAUUUCAAAAUUUCUUAAAAACAGAUAUUAAUUGGACAUCACGCCUCACAUCCAGGAUCCAAAGUAGUAAUUGAGCAUGUCGAAUCGAAUCAAAAUCAAACAUGAAACGACGAAUCUGAAAAGAAAUUGAGAGGGACAAAAAUGUAAAAUCAUACCGCUGUCGCCGAUCAGGAGCAGCUUUAUGAGGUAAUCGUAAUCAGCCCGGGCUCUUGCAGGUGGAGCAGCCAUAGCAAUUAACCAAAAUUUAUAUCUCACAAGCUAGAAAAAUUAAAUAAAUAAACUAAGUAAUUAAUUAAUUAAACGCUAGAAAAAAAAGUUUCUAAUCAAAUAAAUGAAUUAAAAAAUGAAAAAUAAUUUAAAUCUGCUUUUAGAAAAUUAAAAAGAAAAAGAAAAAGGAGAGAAAAAAUUACCAGAUCAAGAGAGAGAGCGCAAAUUCUGAAUAAAGGAGAUGAUGAGAGAAAUGAGGAGGGAGUGAACGAAGCGUCUCUGAUACGUCAGCACUCGUCGGCCGUUGAAAAAAGAUUAAUUUAAAUAGAGAGAGAGAGAGAGCAGCUGAUUCGACAAAUAAAAGUUAUAGAGGGGCUCAUAUCCCAGCCGUUGGAUUAAAUAUGAGUGGCGCUCUGCGUGGAUCGGACGACUGUUGUUGUUUAUUUAAUUCGUCAAUCCCCUGACCGGGUUAGAUGAAUAAAUGGAACAACAGACUGAGAGAGCGACAGAGCGCGUUGAUAUUUCUAACAGGUUAGGGAAGCGACGCCGUUUGGUUUAUUACUCAUCUUUAUUGGUAAAUCAUCACCUUCAUCAAAAAUAUAUGGUAAUCGUACAAAGUUCUUGCGCUGGGCUCGGGCAUCAAACAGCGAGGACACAGCAACCUAUGACCUAGCGACCAGCUAGGUUAGAGACCAAAGAGCCAACAGCAAAAUGUGCACGACACAUGUCACUAUCAUGAAAACAACAUUCUUUUUGUUUUUUUUUCCCUCAAUAAUUUCAGAUAUAAUAUUUUAACUGAGUUUGUAACACUGUUGAUUGAAAUUAUCAAGUGCGAAUUGUGUAUAUUUUAACAUGUGAACUCAUAAUUACUAUUGUGCAACUUUGAUUCCUGUUGGAUAUUGAGGUGCUAAAAUUUUUAUGGUGAAAAAAAAAGUAUAAAUAAAAAUUAAUAAUAUAUAAUAAAUAUAAUUUUUAAUAAUAAUUUGAUAAAAAUUAAUAAAGAUAUAAUAUAUUUUUUAUCAUAUAAGUGUAAAAUCAAGUCAACUUAACUUUUAAACUACAAUAGGUACAACACUUUAACUGUUCAAUUUUAAUCUCGAACAGACCCUUAAUUUAUAAUUAGAUUGUCACUAAAAAAAAUUAAGGACUUUAAGUAGGUAUUUUAGAAUUUAACUAAUACACUUUUAAACUACCUUUGUCGGAUGAAGUGUUGGGAAAUUUUUAUUAAGCUCCAAAAGUGUUUGAAAUAAAUUUAUGUUUUUAUGAUGCAAAAAAAAAAAAAAAAAAAUUUAUGAACAUUUUUGUGAAGCUUAGGCGAAAAUUUUUGUUGGGCUCUACUGGGCUAGAUGAGCAGCUCGGGCAUUAAUUGUCACCCAAGAAGCCCAACCCAGAUUACAACAAGCGGGAUUUGGUUAGCUCGUUGACGAUUGAAAAUCCUGUUUGAUUUCUUUUUCUGAUACCGAAUGAGUACGAGAAAAGAGUUAACUUCUGCUGUUGUUAGUUCCAAAAUUUUAGUUAGCAAACAAAAUGACGUGUUUUUGUGUUUAAUAAUGAAAGAUAAAAAGUAAAUAAUAGAUUUUCCAUAGGAUUAUGAAAAAAAAAACAGGUGUCAAAAACCUCAUUGAGAUUAAAUUAUGAUAGAAUCCGAAUCCAUUUUGAACCAUUAGCUAGUACGACACAAUUAAAAAAAAAUGAUAUACACCAAAAGUUUGCAUUAAUAUAGUUAAAUCCAUAUUGUUUUAGGCAUUGUUUGAUAUUAAGAUGUUGUAAAAAAAAACUUUAAUUAUAAAAUACAAAGUUAAUAGUAUGUAGUAAAUACAAUUCUUAAAUAAUAAUUUUGUCAAAAUUAUUAAAAAUAUAAUAGACAUUUCAUCAUACAAAUGUAAAAUCAAAUUAAUUUAGGUUUCAAGUUACAAUAGUUAGUGUGCGUUUGAGAUUGAGGUGUUGUAUCUUUUAAGCUGUAGUUGCUGUGGAAAAAAAAAUUGUAAUUAUGAAACAAAAGUUAAAAUAUGUAGUAAAUACAAAUUUUAAAUAAACAUUUCGAUAAAAUUAUUAAAAAUAUAAUAAAUUCUCUAUUAUAUAAGUAAAAAAUCAUAUCAACAUGGCUUUCAAAUUACAACAGCUAGCAUUUACCAAAUACUGUACUACUGUAGGUUAAAAGAUACAACUGUCCAACUUCAAUCCCAAAUGCACCCUUAGUGUGUAUUAAAUAUUUUAGUAUUGUAACUUUUAAACUACAACUGUCCAACCUCAAUCUUGGAAUAAGUUAACUUUGAAUUAAUUUUCUCGUUGAAUGACAAUUUUCAAAAUAUCUUCCAAAUUAUAAUAAACUUUUUUUUUUCCAAAAGAUAAGGAAAAAAUGGGAGUGCAUUGAUGAUUUCUUUUUUCACUUAACAAAAACGGGAGAAAGUAAAUAUUUACAAUAAUUUAACGAUAUCAUGAAAAUUAUCAAACGAGUAAUACAAAAUUAAUGUUUUUAGAAAUUGGUAGCUAAACUUUAUCUCAUUAUAAUGGCAUUCAAAUUCCAAACUCUACGACCUUAAUAAAUUAUGUCUAUUUAGAUAAAGAGUAAUAAUACAGCUAUAAAUUCGUGUACAAACUUAUCUUGUACAAAUUGAUUUAACAUUAAUUCAUUGGUUGAAUAAAAAUAUAAAAUAAUAAAAAUAAGUCAUGUGGACCAAAAGAUAUUUAAUUCAACCAAUUUUAUCAUAGCAUAUCAAUUUGUAUAAAUAAAUUUAUACAAGAAUUUAUGGAUAUAUUUCACUCUUAGACAAAGAGUUAUAAGCAUUAAUAAUGUAUAUUAAUGCUCACCAAGAUCGAUAUACUAAAGUAUUUUUAUUUUCAUUCAAAUAAACAAGAUUUAUGAACAAAAAGUGUUUGAAUGUCUAUUUUUGAAAUAAUUAGGUCUAAUUGUCCAAUUCUAAAAUUGAAGUUUUGUCAAAUAAACUACUUUUGUCAGAUUUUGAUUGCCAAGCACAAGUUAUGAAGUUUGGAUUGAAGGAAUCUUUUGACAUGGACUUAUUCGGGUUAAAUAUCCUACGGUCCAAAAUCCCAAGUUUGCAGAGCAGGACGGCCGGCCUUGACAAAAAUCAACUGGGGUUUGAAAUUUCGCAAUGACAAUGCCACGCGGCGUAAUAAGACACGCAUCUUUACCAUAGUUGACUUUGACAGGCACUCUGUUAAUUAAAGUUCGUUAAGAAAACGACGAUAUCUGACCUGGACCAACGUUCGAUAACGACUCCGUCCACAUGUAAAAUUGCAAAUUGUUUACGAAAAUGCUAAAUAUUAAGAAAAACAAGAGAAAGACGAGAGAAUGAAGCAUGUGUUGAGAGAAGAAAGAGAGAGAAAAAGCUGACAGAAGAGAGAGAAUAGGCAAUUCUCUCAUCAUUCUCUCGUUGUUUUUGAUAUUUAACAGCACUCAAUUGUUUAACAAUUGAAGAUCCUGGCGAUGCCUGACGUGCCGGGCCGGGUCGGUUAUUAAAGGAAAGCCAUGCGUCUGUCUGCUCGUAUCGUGUUGUAUCUAUUAUGUAUUUUGUGUCAUGUCAUACUGUAUAUAUUUUUUUUCUUGUUUAUGUACUUUUAGCUAAAUUUAAUAGAAUUUAAAAUUUAAAAUUCAAGUCCAUAUUUAAUAAUAAUAAAUGACUAAUAAGAAAAGAAUGUAAUAUUAGUUAUUAGGUUAGACCCUACAAUAUUAAAAUUCUUUUUUAAUACUUAACAAUAAUAACAAUAAUAAUAAAAAAUUUGAGGGUUAACUUAGUUGUUAUGUUGGACUUAUAUAGACUCAUAAAUUAUAGUUUAUAAUAACAUUAAUACGUAUUUAUAAAAUCAUGGUAUUCAUAAUUUUAUUUAUUACAAUUAUGAUAUCAAUUAUUCAUUUAAUGAUUUAUAAACAUAAAUCAAUUAGAGUAUUUUUUUUAAAAACUAAGGAUUAAAUGAAUUUAAAAAAACUUCACUAAUAAAAUAUGUUAAAAGAUUCAAUUUAAAGUUAUUUGUAAAGUCAUAAAAUUUUAAGUUUAUUUUUAUUAAAAAGUGAAACGUGCUUAUUGUGGGUCUUUUUCACAUGUUGUACUUUAACUCAUCUCUAAUCAUGUCAUAUUUUUAAGGCCUAUAUAUUUAAAAUUCUAAGUUUGACCCGCCGCACAUGUGUGCCUUGUCAUGCCACAUGCCCCAUUGAAACAUGCUAGUAUGGUGCCACGUGCUACCCAUCCCGUUGGCCAUCUCUAGAAUAUCCAAUCAAGUUCUAGUUAGCAAUUCAAAAAGAGUUUACAUGGAAAGGCUUUUGCUUUCGUUGUUAAUGAAUAUAGACUUUAUUUUGGUUUUUGAAAAAUCAACUUUAACAUUAUUAUGAGUCGUAUUGUCAAAUCAAAAGGACUCGCUUUAAGUCUUGUUUAGAGGUUAGUAAACAGUAUUUUGAAAGUUACAAUACUAUAUUAUUUAAAAAAUAAUAAAGGCCAAUUUGAUAAUGAUGUUGCUUUAAAAAUAAUUAUUUUUAGUUAUAUCGUAUCAAUAAUUAAUUGUGAAGAACAUCAGUUAAAUAUUUAGUAAAAUUUAUUUUUAAAAGUACUAUGAGUUUUAAAAAUAAUUGUACGUAUUUAAUAAAUCUUAUUACUAUACUGUUGUAAGAAUAUAAAUGACUACAUUAGACAUAAUGCUGAGUAAAAUUUAUUUAUGCAUUUGUAAACAUUAAUAUAAGAUACCAUAUUACUAUAUUGUGUUUAUAUAAUAAUUGAUAACCUAAAUAAAUAUUUUAUAUUAUUAAUUUUAUUUUUUAUUUUGUUAUCUCAAUAUAGUUGGUACUAAUAAUAAUAAUAAUCCUUUUAAAGUUAAUGAUUUAUUUUUUAAUUAAUAAGGAUAAUUUUAGAUUUUUAUAAUAUAUUUGAUGAUAUAUACUUAUUUUCAAAACCAAAUUUUAAAAAGAUAUUCCUUUCCCACUUCUCAAAAUAUAGUGUAGGAUGGGUGCUUACGCCAAAACUAAUUUCCAAAAAAAUUUAUUAAACACCAAAAUUAAUUUUUAAUUUUCAAAAUCACUUUUAACCCUCUUAAAAGCAAUCUCAUACGGACCCUAACUAUUGUGGCUUGGAAACUAGUUGUUUUGAUCAAUCACUAAUAUGAUGAGAAACCUAUAAUUACUUUUAUAUUUUUUUGUCAAAAUUAUUAUUUAAAGGUCAUAUUUAUUAUACACUACGACACUAUUAACUUCUAUUAUAUAAUUUUUUUUUCACAAUAUCUCAAUAUUAAGCAAGAUCUUAGUUACGUAUGAAAUGAAAUUUGUAUACAUGCAAACACUUUUACUUUUUGAAGAUCAUGCUUUAAAUGUGAUGUUUGAUCAAUUACGCAAUUACCAGCAGAAGUUUCAUAAAUAAUAGAAAAUCUAAAGUUGAACACUUUAAUCAAGUUUAGUGAGUUGUCAUUUUCAAAUCACUAAUGUUAAUAUUCUAAAAUGUGAAAAAAUGAUACAUUAACCAUGUGUUUAUUAACCGAGAGCGAGAGUGAGAAUGCAAAUCAAAAUUAUUCUAAUGUUUACUUGAAAUUUUGGAAAAGAGAUUAGGAAUCAAAGUGGUAGGCUCUACUUAAAUUUGAAAAUCAUUGGUGAUUGGGAAUUAGAAUUCUAAUAUUAGGAUCGAUUAAAAUAUCCUAUUCAAUUUUUUAUAUUGCCAAAUUACCCUCCAUUAAGUAAAAAAAAUAAACAAAUAAAAAUUGCAAAUCCAUAACUCUCACCUGCAUGAAUCCAGCACGUCAAAUCGAACCCAAAGAUCGAACUGGACAGAACUUGUCGUUGAUGGGUAGCACCGUCGCUUACGUCGUCGAUUGGAUAGCAUCGUAGUCGCUUAGCUCGUUGUCGAAGGGAGAAACACUUCCACUUAGGCACUUAGCUCAUUGUUAUACCGGGUUGCUCACUAAGCUCAUCGUCGCUGUUGACGAUGAAGAAGAAGAAUAAAAUGAUUGUGAUGAUGAUGAUGAUGUUGAGAAGAGAGAAACUGAAAAAUUUUAUUUAGAGAGUGUUUUGGAUAUUUUAAUUUAGUAUUACAUUAUUUUUAAUAUCAUUAUUCUUGUUGAAGAGAAAGAAAUGCUAUAAUUACUAUUAUUUUGAUAAAAAAAAGUUUGAUUAAAAUAAUAUAUAAACUUAUUUUUAUUAGAAGAAUCUUUUAGGAGAUGGCUUAUUUUUUCACUUUUUAAAGAGUUAAAUUAGAAGAGUCUUUUGUUGAUGUUAGCCAAAGAAGCAAAAAAUAUUUGUUAAAAUUUCCAUAAAUUAUCAUUUUAAAAUAAAAUUUAAGAUUAGACGACAUAUCAUUUUAAAAUAAAAUUUAAAAUUUACUCUUCUUAUGGCAUAGCUAGUUUCCAAAAUCAGUGGAAAAAUAUUUAAUUUAUUUAAGAGAAUUUAAUUUUUCUCAAAUAUUUUAAAAUAAUUUUAGAUUUAACAUACUCUUUAAGUGAUUCUAAAGACGAAACUAUAAUUUUGAACUUAAUUUUUUUGUAAAUUAUUCAAAACGAGUGGGGAUGAAUAAAAAAUUUUAUUGGAGGCAAAUAUAAUUUUUAGAUGUAAUUUAAAAAGGAUUUUUUUGAAAAUCUUAAUACAAGGAGGUUCUUGUUAACUCUAGCUACAAAAGAGCUAGUUAGCAUAUCCUAUUAGAGCACAAGUCAUUCUUGUACUCUACUAAGCCAACAUUAAUUAAGUGUUAAAAGAACAAAAUUCAAUGAGUAAAUUAAUGGAUGAAAAUGGGGGACGUCUCCUUCUAAGGUUCUCUCUCUCUCUCAGAGAAAACCUUAGAAUGGUAGCAGAACAGGAUUGUCAUAAUCCUUAUAGGGUCACUCACAAGUUGGGUGGGUCGGUUUAAUCAGGAAUUGAGAUCUAAGAAGGAAAGCAGGAAGAGCGGAGACGUGUGCUGGGUGUUUACUUGAAAGGUAAGAGUUUAGAAAAGGCAUUAAAGAGGGAGCAACAUCUAAGGUGCAGCUUUUAUCAGAAUAGUGGCAGUACAAAAAAGCGGGUGGGAUCAAAUGGAUACAGAGGAAUUAAUUAAGAAGUGCAGCUCCAUCACUUUGGAAGAGGAAGAAGAGGACAAGGUUGUUGAGUGUUAGAAAAUAUAUAUUUAUAAAGGAGAAAGUCGUUAUUUUACACUUCAAGUUUUACUAACACACUUAUUUUUAUAUAUUUAACCUUCAUUUGAUUUAAUUCUGUGUGUUUUAUUUUAAUUAAGUAUUUUAUAUAUUUUAGGAGCAUCAUAGUCAAUAAGAAGUUCAGCUCCAUCACUUUGGAAGAGGAAGAAGAGGACAAGGUUGUUGAGUGUUAGAAAAUAUAUAUUUAUAAAGGAGAAAGUCGUUAUUUUACACUUCAAGUUUUACUAACACACUUAUUUUUAUGUAUUUAACCUUCAUUUGAUUUAAUUCUGUGUGUUUUAUUUUAAUUAAGUAUUUUAUAUAUUUUAGGAGCAUCAUAGUCAUUUCAUAAUAAACGAGAGAUCAGACGGCAAAACGAACAUCACUUUUGAACUUAGGACAGUUGAAAACCUUAGGAGGAGCAUAAAAGGAAAAAUGGCACUGUUCACAUGUACGGUACUAUUCACGUGUAUGGUACUGUCUACGUGACUGUUCACGACACUGUUCACAUAGACGGAUCGAUGACGUGGCAUUGACCGAUGAUGUGGCAUUGACUGAUGAGGUGUCACGAUUCUGUUGGACUAAAAUUCUUAUGUACUGUUGAUGGUGACGUGGCAGCAUAUCAGUGGACCAAAAAUCUCGUGUACGGUACAUGCAUCACAUAGGAUUAUUUUCAACCAACCGCAUUACUGUUUAAUUCGGGUCAAACCGUGUUACUGUUCAUCCACGUGGUCAAACCUCGUAUUGUUGAUUGAUGACGUGGCGCAAUCCUAAGCGUCCAAACUGUUUUUAAUCCGAUGGCUAUGAUUUACUCCAUGUAUCUAUAAAAAGGGGGCCCCCCUAAUUUGAUAGCUCUGAAUCCAUUUUUUGGAUCCAUUUUCUGUAAUUCCUUCUCCAUCUUGUAUUUUUUACGUAUUUUAAUAAAUUUCCAUUUUGCCCCUAGUUCAAUUAUGAGUGGCUAAUUUUCUUUCAAGCUUAGGUUGAAGGUGAAGUCUCAACAUGUGUCAUGGACUUUAUUUGGUAAAUUUACUUUCUCUUCCCCUCUAAUUUUUGUGGAUGUUUUGACUUCUCGUCGACAAAUAAUAUUAAUCUUGUCUAGUACCGCUUUGGUUUCACCGGCCCCCUAGUGCAAUGUUAUUAUUAUUUAAAACGAUAAGCCUUUAGCACUAUAUUGAUUAGAGUGUGGUUCAUGGGGUGUGGAUUCCCCCCUCAUGAUUUAAUUGGUAUUAAUAAGGAAUAUUUAGUCCAUGAUGCAUGUUGAUACGGAUCCAGAUACCCAAGUACGUCAAUUUAAUAGAUUUUCACUUCAAUUUAUUCUUGCCAUCUUAAUUCGAAUUUUAGGAUAAUCCGAAUCAUUUUCACCAUAAAUCCAACCACCCUCAUAGAAAAUUAAUUCUGCAUACAAUUAAAAUCCACCUCCUCAUGGGAUCGACACUCGUCUCCAUUAAUAUAUUCUACAAUAGAUUCGUGCACUUGCGAGUUCAAUAAAAUUUGCACAAUAAGUUUUUGGCGCCGUUGCCGGGGAGGUAAGUAAUUUUAAUUCAUAUAAUUAAUUUUUGUGAAUAAUUUCAUUUAAUUGUUUUCUUGUAUUUUUUUCUUUAAAAAAAAAGAAAAAAAAGUGAAUAUACAUUUAAAGGUUAGUAUUUCUUUUCUUUUUCUCUUCUUUAAAAUUCUGAAAUUUAAUUUUCAAUUUAUUUUUCUUUGUAAUUUUUUUUGUUUAUCUUAUUAAUUUAUUUUUAGUUAAUUUAUUUCAUGUAUUUAUUUUUGUGUAUUUUUAUAGAAAUGUUUUAACAGCGUGAUAAGGUUAGUAACGUAAUUUCUCCUUCUUCUUUAUUUUUAUUUGUUUUGUUCCCAUUUAUCUUUGUGUUUCUUGCAUGCAUGGUCGUAGGUCAUUAUUACCUAAUCUUGAACCUAUAGACCUUGAACUAGAAAAAAACACUUCGCACACACAAGCACGUGAAAAAUAAAUUUGGAAUGGAUUUACAAGCACCAUAGGAGAGGCCAUUUAAGAACUAUUUUAGUCCUUUAGCUAAUUUGAGCACAUUAUGUAUAAGAUACCCAAAUAUAACUGCUAAGAGCUUUGAACUAAAACCUAGUGUGCUAAAUUGUCUCCCCACAUUCUAUGACUUAGAAAAUGAGGACCCAUAUAAUCAUCUGAAUGAUUUUCAUGCUAUUUGUCAAACAUUUAAAUAUGAGAAUUUUUCAGACGAUGAUGUUAAACUCAGAUUAUUCUCAUUUUCUUUAAAGGAUAGAACUCAUUCAUGGUUAAAUACUUUGCCUGCUAAUAGCAUUACAUCAUGGGAACAAAUGGUAACUAAAUUUUUGAAUAAAUAUUUCCCAGUGCAUAAAACCAAUGUUAUUCGCAGAGAAAUUUCAGAGUUUACACAGAGAGAAGAUGAACAGUUUUUCGAAACAUGGGAGCCAUUCAAUGGGCUACUCUUGAAGUGUCCACAUCAUGGGUACGAGAAAUGACACCAAUGCCAAUACUUUUUGGAGGGAUUAUUGCCGAAUGUGCAAGAAUGACUAAUGGCAACAAGUGGAGGAGAGCUAAUGUCUAAAAGUGCAUCAGAAAUUUGGAAAUUCUUCCAGCGACAAGCAGAUAAUUCCCAACAACGAAGUCGAUCACUCAGGAAUACUAGAAGAAUUAAGGGAGUAAAUAAUGUUCACAUUGGCGAGUCAAGUUCAUAAAUUAAAGAAGUCAAAGUGAUAAUUGAAGGUCUCUCUUGACAAAUAGCAUCGUUAUCGACUGCUAAAUCAACAGAGCCACAUGACCAUGACUCGUACUCAAAUCAAGCCAAUGCCAUAGGUGUAAUGAGAAAACCAUCGAAUUACAACCCAUACUCCAACACAUAUAACCCUGGAUGGAGAGACCACCCCAAUUUUUCAUGGUCUCAAGGAUUACAGCAGAAUGGACCAGCAGCUCCAGCUCCAUUAAUUCCUCAAAAUCCUUAAGCCUCUCAGCCACCAUUUAGACCAUACAAUCAAAACUAGAACUACUCUCAACUCAGACCAUGGGAGGAUGCAUUCCAGAAUUUCAAGAAUGUUACUCACUCCACGAUUGAGCAACAGAACCGCACCAUUGAUGGACUACGAAAUGAGUUGCGAGCAGACUUUAACUCACAAGCCCAAUCAGUUUCAAGCUUCGAGAAGAUGGUGGGACAACCAGUGCCUAAUCCUAAAGGAGUACAUGAAGCAAGUACCAGUUCAUCACAACAGCAUGGAGAGCUCAAAGCAGUCAUGACCUUGCGAAAAGGAAAAGAAGUCGACAACAAAGUGGAGAUGCCGGUGACAAAAGAAAAUCAAAUUGUACUUGUGAAUGUUGAUGACUCACCAUCAGAGGAGAAAGAAGAAACCAACCCGCGAGAAUAUGUUCCUAAAGCUCCAUUUCCUCAGAGGUUAGCUAAAGGAAAGAAGGAAAAAUCCACAAGUGAGAUUCUCGAAAUCUUCAAACAGGUAAGUGUUAAUAUCCAUUUACUUGAUAUUAUUAAAAAAGUUCCAUCUUAUGCCAAGUUUCUUAAAGACUUUUGUACUAAAAAGAGAAACAUUCAUGUUCAAAAGAAGGCAUUUUAACAGAAAACGUUAGUUAUAUCCUUCAACACAAAAUUUCGCUAAAAUACAAAGACCCAGGAUCCCCCACUAUCUCAUGUAGUAUAGGGAACCACACAAUUGAGAAUGCUUUGUUGAAUUUAGGAGCUAGUGUAAAUUUGUUGCAUUAUUCAGUAUUUGUGAAACUUGGACUGAGAGAAUUACACCCAACUCCAGUAGUGUUACAGCUUGCAGAUCGGUCCAUGAAAAUACCUCGUGGUAUUCUGGAGGACGUGCUUAUCUAGGUAGACAAGUUUUAGUUUCCUGUUGAUUUCAUUGUAAUUGACACUCAACCAAUACAGGAUUCAAGGAAGCACAUCCCCAUUAUUCUAGGCCGACCUUUCUUGGCAACUGCGAAUGCUCACAUUCAAUGUAGGACUGGAAAUAUGCAGUUGUCCUUCGGCAACAUGACUAUGGAGCUGAACAUCUUCAACAUUGCCAAACAACCUCACAAUGCAGAUGAUAGAAUUGUUGAUGUGGAUUUAAUAGAAACAAUAGUUGAUAACACUUUUCUUUCAAACCUUAAUGAUGAUCCUUUACAAAAAUGUUUAACUCACUUUAGUUUUGAUUUUGAUAUUGACAGAUCGGUUGAUGAGGUCAACGCCUUGCUUGACUCAGCACCAUUUAUGGACACUAAUAAAUGGAAGUCAAGAGUUGAACAACUAGCACCAUCAGAGAAGAAACUCAUCCCAUCAUCAGAAUCACCAUCGAAACUCGAGCUCAAACAUUACCCAACACUCUGGAAUAUGCAUUUUGGGAGAAGAAAGUACUCUGUCGGUAAUCAUCUCAUCAUCCCUAAAUGACGAACAAAAAAGUAAGUUGUUGGAUGUUUUAAAAGAGCACAAAGGAGCAUUAGGAUGGACCAUGGCAGACAUAAAAGGUAUAAAUCCAGUAGACUGCAUGCAUUACAUUCACCUUGAUGAAAAUGCUAAAUCUACUAGGGAAAUGCAACGUCGGUUAAAUCUUAAUAUGAAAGAAGUUGUUAGAACAGAAGUCCUUAAGCUAUUCGACGUAGGUAUCAUUUACCCAAUUUCUGAUAGUUCAUGGGUCAGUCCUGUACAAGUUGUCCCCAAAAAGUCAGGAGUCACAGUAGUUAUGAAUGCUGAUAAUGAAUUGAUACCCACUAGAGUGACUACAUGAUGGCGUGUAUGUAUUGAUUAUAGAAAGUUGAAUUCUGUCACACGUAAAGACCAUUUUCCUUUACCAUUUAUUGAUCAAAUGCUUGAUAGAUUAGCAGGCCAUGAAUUUUAUUGCUUUUUAGAUGGCUACUCAGGAUACAAUCGGAUCCCCAUAGCACCAAAAGAUCAAGAGAAGACCACUUUCACUUGCCCUUUUGGCACAUUUGCAUAUAGGAGAAUGCCAUUUGGAUUAUGUAAUGCACCUGUUACAUUUCAACGAUGCAUGUUAAGCAUUUUUUCUGAUAUGGUUGAACGAUUCCUAGAAGUCUUUAUGGAUAACUUUUCUAUCUUUGGUGAUUUGUUUGAUCAAUGUUUACAUCAUCUAACAUUAGUUCUGCAGAGAUGUAUCGAGAAGAACUUGGUCUUAAAUUGAGAGAAUGUCAUUUUAUGGUAAAACAAGGUAUUGUUCUCGGUCACAUCAUUUCGAGCAAAGGUAUUGAGGUUGAUAAAGCCAAGGUGGAUCUUAUUUCUAAUCUUCCUCCACCCAAAACAGUCAGAGAAGUAAGAUCUUUCCUUGGGCAUGCUGGUUUUUAUAGACGUUUUAUUAAAGAUUUUAGCAAAGUUUUUAGACCCUUAUGCAAUUUACUUGCUAAGGAUGUAAUUUUUGUCAUUGAUGAUUCAUGUCUUGUGGCAUUUGAAAAGUUAAAGCAAUUGUUGACAUUAUCACCCAUCAUUCAGCCCCCAAACUGGAGCGUACCAUUCGAGCUCAUGUGUGAUGCAUCUAAUUAUGCAGUAGGAGCAGUUUUAGGACAAAGAGUUGAUUGAAUUUCCCACGUUAUUUACUAUGCUAGUAUGACAUUGAAUGAUGCACAGUUAAACUAUUCAACUACUGAAAAAGAAAUGCUAGCAGUAGUGUUUGCAUUAGAGAAAUUUCGAUCUUAUCUCAUUGGUUGUAAAAUAAUUAUAUUCACAGAUCAUGCUGCUCUUAAAUAUCUUCUCACAAAGAAAGAUGCAAAAGCUAGACUAAUUCGUUGGAUGUUACUUUUGCAGGAAUUUGACUUGGAAUUCAAAGAUAAGAAAGGGACAGAAAAUGUUGUGGCUUACCACCUCUCUCGUCUCUAUUUUGACACAAUUACAGAGCCAUUAAUAUUGAAUGAGUCAUUUCUAGAUGAACAAUUAAUGAGUGUGGAAGUAUUACCUUGGUAUGCUGAUAUAGUUAAUUAUCUUGUUACAGGUAAACUUCCAGAGCAUUGGACCAAGCAAGAUAAGGCUAAAUUCUUUGCAGAGAUAAAGAAUUUCUUUUGGGAUGACCCUUAUUUGUUCAAGUAUUGUGUAGAUCAAAUUGUUAGACGAUGUUUCCUAGAAAAUGAAAUUCAGAAUAUCAUUUCAUUCUGCCAUGAACAAGCUUGUGGAGGCCAUUUUAGUGCUAAGAAAACAGCGACUAAAGUUUUACAAUGUGGUUUCUAUUGGCCAACUAUAUUUCGAGACGCUUACACUUUCUGUUCUUCAUGUGAUAGGUGUCAACGAAUGGGGAGUAUUACGCGAAGGAACAUGAUGCCACUAAAUCCAAUUUUAGUGGUUGAGAUUUUUUAUGUAUGGGGUAUCGACUUCAUGGGACCCUUUCCCCCUUCUUUUGGCCAUCAAUACAUAUUAGUUGCUGUUGACUAUAUAUCGAAAUGGGUAAAAGCAAUUCUAUGCAGAACUAAUGAUCACAAGGUGGUGAUAGGAUUUUUGAAAAGCAAUAUUGUCUCACGCUUUGGAUUCCCUCGAGCAAUAAUCAGUGAUGGUGGUGCCCACUUUUGUAACAAAGCAUUCAAAGCUCUUUUGAUAAAGUAUUUAAUCACUCAUAAAGUGGCGACUCCAUAUCAUCCGCAAACUAGUGGCCAAGUUGAGAUCUCCAAUCGAGAAAUAAAGCACAUAUUAGAAAAGAUAGUGAGGCCGGACAGAAAAGAUUGGUCAUUAAGACUUGAUGAUGCAUUAUGGGCAUAUAGAACGGCUUUCAAGACUCCGAUUGGGAUGUCACCCUACAUGCUAGUGUAUGGAAAAGCUUGCCACCUACCUGUGGAACUCGAGCAUCGUGCAUAUUGGGCUAUCAAGAAAUUCAAAUUUGACAUGCAGCAAGCCAGCUCAGAAAGAAGAUUACAGCUGGGAGAACUUGAAGAAAUUUGUAAUGAUGCAUACGAAAAUGCCAAGAUUUACAAGCAACGAAUGAAAGUCUUCAAUGACAAGCAAAUUAUGAGAAAAUCGUUCACUCCAGGUCAGAAAGUGCUUUUAUUCAAUUCUCGCUUGCACCUAUUCCCAUGUAAGUUACGCUCUCGAUGGUCUGGUCCCUUUAUUGUUUAUACUGUUUUUCCACAUGGGGCAAUUGAAAUUAAAGACCCAAAUAACGGUGUCACAUUUAAAGUUAAUGGUCAAAAAUUAAAACCAUAUCUAGAGUACCACACAUGGAGAAGACACCGAAAUAAAUUUGAGUGACCCACCAGAUUUGAAUUGAAUGUUUUUUCUUUUCGGUGGUUUGAUUUUUCUUUCUUUCUUUUUAUUAUUCUUUUGCUAAUUGAAAUUAUUUUUGCAUAAGUGUGUUUGUUUUACCAUUAAGUUUUCUCUUAUCACUGUUAAUCAUGAACACCAUACUUAGACCAUUCCUUCUGAACAUUCUUAAACCACUUCAACGUGUUAAAACUCAUCUCAAAAGGCAGAUUCAAUUUUGUAAAACACAUCGUAUUUGGGCUCUGCAACUACCAGAGUUAGUAUCAUGUGUAGAGGGUUGUGAAAGCCAACUCAGGGAUAUUGAGAGAAAUGUUUACGACAUCCAGUUGGAGCUUGAGGUAAAGUGGCGGAUAACGGUACUCCGUGACAAUUAAGUUGGUUACUUCAGUUUCCCAUAAUAACCGAUAUUCUGAGGCGAAGGUAUGGAUAGAAACGAGAUUCUAGCAAAGGUUCACAAGCGAUUCCCUUCACUUCCUCAGAAUGCCCUCCUUACAAUCUAUAAAGCCCGGCCCGAACGCAUGCGAUUGCUCGUGAGGAAUAACAUACCUGCUGACAUUCGUUGGUUAAUCGAGGCUAAAGUACGAUUUACAGGUGAGUUACCUCCAAAAUUUAUUGCAUACAUGCCUGGUUGUGGUAAAGGAAAUUAUGCAAGAAAACGACAAGCUCGAAGAAUUUUUGUUACUUGUCAUAAGUGUGCCAGAAUGAGUUGCAAUAAAAAACCAUGUUCUUUAAGACUGAUGUCUGAUAACAGAGAAGAUAAGAUUCAAUUCAUUAGGGAUGGCUUGAAUAAGGAGUCUUUGGAUGAUAUCCUUUUGUCUCUUGAAACGCAUCCCAGUGGAUAUGUGCAAAGAGCGAUUCUCCAGUUAUGACCAUUAUUCUAGAAAGAGCAUGUACGAUAUAGUCUCGGGAAUCUAACUAUAAACGACCCUGUUUGCCAGUUUAUAAGAAAAUUGGAUGGGAAGCCUAUCCUCGACCCAUAGAGGGCGUUCAAGCCGUUUCUGGACGUAAAACUAGAGGAAGAUGUGAGUCACAAUCGCAAGUACCUGUAAAUAUCAUUUUACUUCACUGUUAUUUUAUUUUACUAUUGUUUUAUCAUUUGCAUUAUUGUCUUUAAUAAUUUUAUUUUAUCAUUAUUUUUUUUCUUUUUACUGUUUCCUUUUUGACUCACGAGCCAUGUGCUUUACGCGUUAUUUGACACUGACAUGCCACCUCAUACACAUGUGUGAUCCACUGUCACCAAGAUUCUUAAAUAUGACUUUUUGUUAAGCACUCAUAAAUUAUUUUUGAGAAAUAUUCCGAUGGCAGCUACUCCCAAUAGAUAAUUAAAGAACAUUUGUGUGCUUUAUGGAUUUACCUAUAGCAAACAUAAAGAGUUCGUUGAUGCAGCCAUAGAUCUUGGUCGAAGUAUAGCAGAGAGAAAAUUACAUUUGGUGUAUGGAGGAGGUAACCGAGGGUUAUCAAAAUUGUUCUCAGAAGCUGCUUUUGUCAGAGGAAACCAAGUGUUAGGCAUCAUCCCAAGAGUCCUAAAACCUUUGGGCAGUUUGUCUGACUCACCGACUGGAGAAGAGUUAGUCAUCUCAGGUAUGCAAGAAAUAAUAACUGAAAUGCUUAAUCAUGCUGAUGCUUUUAUUUUCAUUCCAGGAGAUCUUGCAACACUAGAGGCACUUAUCACACUAGCAUCUUGGGCCCAUCUGCACAUUCACCAGAAACCCAUCGGUUUACUAAAUGUCAAUAAUUUUUAUGAUGACUUUAUUGCAUUUCUUAACCAUGCAAUAAAAAACUAUUUCGUUCCUUCCAAUGCCAAAAAGCUUUUUAUUUGUGCUCACACUGCUAAUGAGAUACUUGAUCUGUUACAAGCUUAUAAACCGGAGCCAGACCCCUAGACCUUUGUGUUGGAGCGUCCAAAUAAUGAUGGUAACAGUAGCUGCAGUAAGAAGUACAAAUUAGAUUUAACUCUCCGCUUGUAAAUAUUUUCUUCUGUGUUGCAUCACCCAGGUGAUGUCUUCUAAACUCUACUUCUUUCCUUUUAAACAUUGAGGACAAUAUUUCGUUCUGGUUGGGGGGAGGGAAUAGUUGACAAUUGUGGAAUCUUAGUUAAGUUUUUACUAAUUUUUUGUUGUAGAAACUAACUGUUGCUAACUUUUUGUGUUGAAGAUGGCUGAAUAUGGAGUGUAGUGACUCUAGAAACGCAUCUUCAUCGUUUGAAAAAAAAACAAAAAAAAAUUCAAAAAAAUUCAGACAUUUUCUUUUUCUUUAUUAAGUUUUGAUGUUCAUUUUUCUUCUUCUUUUUAAUUUCUCCUUUAUAAAUGUACAUUUUCAAAUAUUUGAGGCGAAGAUGGCUGAAUAUGGAGAGUAGUGCCUCUAGAAAUGCAUCUUCUUAGUUAAAAAUUUUUUUUUCUUUUUCUAAUAAAUUUUUCUGCAUCAUCUUCACAUUUCUGCAUGCAUAUUUUCCUUUCAUGUUUAGAAUAGGUUGGGGGGUAGAAUGUUGUUUAAAAAAAAAAUUUUUGUGUGAUUUGUUUUAACAUUGGAUGACAUGAUUAAUUUUAAAUUUUAGUAUUUGUAUUAUCUUUGGUCUUAAGCGAUGUUACAUUAUGUUUGUUACUCUACAUGUUGAUGUCAGAGACAAAUAUGAGUUGCUUGAAGGAAUGAACAUGUCAUAAAUAAAUGCCAAGUGAGUUUUUGAGCGUAUCAUUUUUCUUGGAGAGUAACAUUUUUGCUCAUUCUUUAUACAACUUAGUGGUUUAUUAUUGUAUACACGAUCUCUAGAUUUCUUUUGAGUUAACCCUUAAAAAAAUUAUAAAAGUAAAAAAAAAAUGUGUGUUGCUACAUUGGGAGGCCCAUCUAACUAGUAGAUAUGGAAGGUUAUUUAGAGCCCUAAAAGACAAUGGAAAUGUCAUUUUUGAUCCGUUUGAGCAUUUCUAGCCAUCCCUUUUGUGAAAUAUCCAUAGUUAACCAUUUUAAGCCUUUUAAAAAAAAGAAAAAUAAAGCUUUUUAUUUGUUAAACUUAUCAUCUUGACCCACUCCGAUUUAGAGUAUUACUCGAUGUCUUAUAAGUUCCAUCACCUAUUUAUGUUUAAGAAAAAUGUAAAUAAUUAUUUUUCUCAGUGACGUUGUGCCAAGCAAAAGUAAAAAAAAAUUGUUUUAAAAAAAAGAAGAAAAAAAUAACAAUAAUAGGUGAAAUCCACCUUGUAACUUCAAAAAAAAAAAAUUCCUCUGCAUUUUUCUCAAACAUACACUUUGUUUUUCUUAUUUCCCUUCUUUGUUAAUCAUGUCCCUAGCCUACGUUACGUCUUAAUAAAAGUCCUUGAUUUUAAGGAACUAUAGUCUGAAGUAGAAGCUAGUUAUAUGGGCUAAAAAGAUGUAGUGAUGCAUAAUAAAAAAAAAGAGAAAAAAGAAGAUAAAUAAAGUGGGUCGACUAGCAUUUUUGUUUGACUUGAGAUCGUAUUAUUUCUAAGCUGAUGGCAUAUUUCUUUCAUCUUGGUGAGAGCAUGUGAUAUCACUUCUUUAUUAUGUUCUCUCAAUUACCAUUCAUUGGAGUGACUAUUUUUAUUGGUUUUAAUUUCUUUGUGAGAGUGUCACUACUUCCAGUGAGAUUUUGGGGUUUGACAUGUCAUUCUUGAAGGUAACUAUGACAAAGUUUACUAGGCUGAUUCAUGUGGAUGAUUGAUGUGGGUGUGAUGUUGCUUUAGACUGGAGAUAAUGCUUAUACUUUUAUUUAAUUGCUAUCAUUAGUCUGAUUGAAUAAACAAGAUUGUUUAAAAAAAAAUUGUGUUUGAAUUUUGUUUUCGCUUUAUUUGCUAGGGACUAGCAAUAAGCUGGUUGGGGGGUGUGUUGAGUAUUAGAAAAUGUAUAUUUAUAAAGGAGAAAAUCGUCAUUUUACACUUCAAGUUUUACUAAUACCCUUACUUUUAUGUAUUUAACCUUCUUUUGAUUUAAUUCCGUGUAUUUUAUUUUAAUUAAGUAUUUUAUGUAUUUUAGGGGCAUCAUAGUCAUUUCACAAUAAACGAGAGAUCAAACGGUAAAACGGACAUCACUUUUGAACUCAGGACGGUCGAAAACCUUAGAAGGAGCAUAAAAAGAAAAAUGGCACUGUUCAUGUGUACGAUACUAUUCACGUGUACGGUAGUGUCUACGUUACUGUUCAUGAUACUGUUCACAUAUACGGAUCGAUGACGUGGCAUUAACCGAUGAUGUGGCAUUGACUGAUGAGGUGUCACGAUCCUGUUGGACUAAAAUUCUUAUGUAUUGUUGAUGGUGACGUGGCAGCAUAUCACUGGACCAAAAAUCUCGCGUAUGGGACAUGUAUCACACAGGAUUAUUUUCAACCAAACCACGUCACUGUUCAACCCGGGUCAAACUGUGUUACUGUUCAUCCGCGUGGUCAAACCACGUACUGUUGACUGAUGACGUGGCGCAAUCUUGAGCGUCCAAACUGUUUUUAAUCCGAUGGCCAUGAUUUACUCCAUGUAUCUAUAAAAAAGGGGCCUCCCCUCCUUAAUUUGAUAGCUCUGAAUCCAUUUUUUGUAAUUCCUUCUCCAUCUUGUAUUUUCUACGUAUUUUAAUAAAUUUCCAUUUUGCCCUUAGUUCAAUUAUGUGUGGCUAAUUUUCUUUCAAGCUUGAGUUGAAGGUGAAGUCUCAACAUGUGUCAUGGGUUUUAUUUGGUAAAUUUACUUUCUCUUCCCUCUAAUUUUUGUGGAUGUUUUGACUUCUCGUCGACAAAUAAUACUAAUCUUAUCUAAUACCACCUUGGUUUCAUCGGCCCCCUAGUACAAGGUUAUUAUUAUUUGGCACGAUAAGCCCUUAGCACCAUAUUGAUUAGAGUGUGGUUCAUGAAGUGUGGAUUCCCCCCUCAUGAUUUAAUUGGUAUUAAUAAGGAAUAUUCGGCCCAUGAUGCAUGUUGAUACGAAUCCAGAUACCCAAGUACGUCAAUUUAAUAGAUUUUCACUUCAAUUUAUUCUUGCCAUCUUAAUUCGAAUUUUAGGAUAAUCCAAAUCAUUUUCACCAUAAAUCCAACCACCCUCAUAGAAAAUUAAUUCUACAAACAAUUAAAAUCCACCUCCUUGUGGGAUCGACACUCAUCUCUAUUAAUCAAUUCUACAAUAGAUUUGUGCACUUGCGAGUUCAAUAAAAUUUGCACAACAAAAGUUAUUUAUGAAGGAAUGAUAAAAGAAAAAUGGGACAUGCUUGCAGCUCAUUGUUUAAUAGGAAAAAUCCUUCUUAAUUGAGGGAUACACAUCGAAGGCCUGAGAAUCACUAUGAGACAAGUUUGGAAAAGCUUAGAGAAGUGAAGAUCGAGAGCAUGGGGGAGAAUUUCUUCAUGUUUAAAUUCGGCUUAGAAGAGGAUAAAAAAAGGGUGUUUGUAGGUGGCCCUUGGCAUUUUGAUAAUGCUCUAAUAGUUUUUACAGAGCCAACGGGAGUUGGGGACAUAAAAAAGCAAUCAUUCUCACACACUUCAUUUUGGAUACAAUUUCAUAAUGUGCCUCUUAUGUGCGUGGACAAAUAUGCAGUUUAAAAACUAGGGUCUUUGAUAGGAAAAGUGGAAGAUGUGGACACCGACGAAGCAGGGGAAUGCGUGGGGCCUAUUGUUCGAACAAGAAUUUCAGUGGAUGUCACCAGACCACUGAAAAAGAUCCUUUUUAUUGCAGCAAGAAGAUGGAGUUAAAACCCCAAUAGGAGUCCAAUAUGAAAGGCUCCCCGAAUUUUGUUUCUUUUGUGGGCUAGUAGGACACCAGUAUAGGGAAUGCUUAAAGUAUAAGGGGCAACUAAAGGAAAAAUUAGCCUACGGAUCAUGGCUAAAAGCAUUGCCAGUGGCUGAAUGGAACAGGAAAAAUAAAGGGAGAGGAAAAUGGAACAAAGAGCACCAUCAACAAAAUCUGAAAAUGGUGAGCACAGUAAGCUAGAAUCAGGAUCAAACCAGGCAAACCUAAAGCAACCCAAAAAAAGACAAUUGGUCGGGUCAAAGCGAAAGUGGUCAGCCCAUAAACCCAAUGGAGAUGGGAAAGGUGAGAGAAGUAGCUGAAGAGCAUUUAAUACAAGUAGCUGUGAAGGCUAUAAAUAUCAGAGACAACAGACUACACGAUAUUGGGGAAGCAAAACUGAGCAAUGCAGCUGGAAAAUGCUCUCCUAGGAAACUGGAAUGCAGGGCGGGAACCAGUGGAAGGCGGGAAAGUGAAAGGCAAAAUGAAAUCAAACUUGGGGCUAUUCCAAAUCCACAAGGCAUAAGCAGCCAUAAUAUUUUGGAAGUUAAGGAGUCAGUUAAUGGGCCGAUUAAAGCCAAUUCAAAGCCCAAAAGCCGGAAAUAGAAAGCAAAAGUAAGAGCUCAAACAGAAAAAGGAAGCAUUAUGGGGAGACAAACAAAGACUAAAAGACCAAACAGUACACUUAGCGGCCAGAGCCCAAAGUCAAAGCGGGCAAAAUUAAAUAGCCCGAAUAAAGCUCUCAACAACAAGCUUCAGAUUAACGCCCCUGCAAUGAAAAUUCAGCUGGCAUGGGAACAACACAAUGCUAUGGCCUUGGAGGAUAUAGAAAACAUUCCAGAAGAUAUAGAGGCGGGAGCUGGUGAACAGCCCUGCCGACAACAAUGAAAAUCAUAAGUUGGAACGUUUUGGGUUUGGGGAAUCCCCAAACACGCCUAGCUAUGAGGAAAAUUCUCCAACAAGACAGACCUCAGCUUAUUUUUGUGUGCGAAACGAAGUUGGAGGCUGUACAAAUCCAUGAAGAAUGUAAAAAGCUUGGUUUUGAUGAGUGCUUUGCAGUAAGUAGAAAUGGGAAAAGUGGAGGCAUAGUUAUGAUGUGGAAGUCUGACAUUAAUGUACACAUUCUCUCCUACAGUAGGCAUUACAUUGAUGUUAAAGUGCAGAGUGGCAAUGGCAAAAAAUGGCGAUGUACUGGAGUCUACGGGCACGCGGAAGCUCAACAAAAGCAGCAUACGUGGACUCUAUUACGAAGGUUAUCAGGUUUGUCCUCAAAACCAUGGUUGUGCUUUGGUGAUUUUAAUGAAAUAUUGAGGUUGGAUGAGAAAAGUGGAGGGAAUGAUAAAAACAUUAGGAUGGUUUCUGAGUUCAAAGAAGCUGUUCAAGAUAGUAAGUUGGCUGAUUUGGGUUAUAAAGGGUAUCAAUUCACGUGGUGUAACGGCAGGGAUGGGCAACACUUUGUUGAGGAAAGGUUGGAUAGAUUCUUAUGCAAUGAAGAGUGGGGGAACCAUUUCCAGGAGCAACCGUGCCAAAACUUAGUUAGUGUAGGUUCUGAUCAUUAUCCAAUAAUGAUGGAGAUAAAAAAGAAAGGUCCCGGUUUGCAGUAUGUGAAAAAAACCUUUCCCAGGGUGCAUUACGAGGACAUGUGGAGCUCGUAUGAUACUUGUAAAAGCUAAAUGGGAGAAUUAUGGUGUUGUAAAAGGUGGAAGCCCUGUAAUGCAAUUUAAGGCUGUGGCAAAGUCAUCGUUGGCUCAUUUAAAAUAGUGGAGUGAGGAGGAGUUUGGAGGUCAGGAAAGGAAGUUAAAAACGCUGAUGAAAGAGCUUCAAAAGGCAAAGCAAAGCAAGAUGCACUAUGAAGAGGCAAAUGGCAUAAGGCAGAUUGAAAAGCAAAUCCACAAUAUUCUGCUGGAGGAGGAAAUUUAUUGGAGGCAUAGAGUUAGAGCGAACUGGUUGCAAGCAGGUGACAAAAACACUAAAUUUUUUCACUCAAAAGCCACAGCUAGAAAGAGGAAAAAUAGAAUUUGGGGUGUGGAGAAAAAAGAAGGCAGCUGGACAGAAGAUGGAGAAGCUGUAGAAAGAGAGUUUGAUGAUUAUUUUCAGCAACUCUUCACAUCCUCCAAGCUGAGCCAAGAUCAGAUGAAUGCAGCACUGGAGGGCUUAACACCAAAGGUUACAGCAACCAUGAAUGACCAGCUGGAUGCCCCUUUUACAGCAGAGGAAAUAUCAGAAGCUUUGUUCCAAAUGUGUCCCACUAAAGCACCUGGCCCGGACGGAUUGCAUGCAAUGUUUUUUCAAAAGCAUUGGCAGCAUGUUGGCAAAGGAGUGAUCCAAACCUGUCUGCACAUAUUGAAUAAUCAAGGUAACCUCAGCCCCUUAAAUCAUACAUUCAUUGCCUUGAUUCCGAAAGUUGCCAAACUUAGGAAAGUCACCGAAUACAGACCUAUUAGUCUAUGUAAUGUGGUGUAUAGAAUUGUUGCAAAAGUUAUAGCUAAUAGGUUGAAGCAAGUUCUCCACCAAAUCAUUUCCCCUUAUCAAAGUGCAUUCGUGCCCAAUAGAAUUAUUACGGAUAAUAUUGAUUUUGGGUACGAAUGCCUUCACAAAAUAAGGCACAGUAAAGGGAGGAAAAAUGGGCUGGUAUCUCUCAAGUUAGAUAUUAGCAAAGUUUAUGAUAGGGUAGAAUGGGGCUUUUUAGAGCACAUUAUGAGGAGAUUAGGCUUCACAGAAAAAUGGGUAUAGUUAGUCAUGAAAUAGGGCUGCCAUAAAUUUAAUUCAACCUCAAAUGGGGUUGCGGCAGGGGUGCCCUCUAUCACCUUACUUGUUUAUUUUAUGUGCAGAAGGUUUCUCUAAUUUACUCAUGCAGGUUGAAAGGGAGAAACUGAUUCCUGGACUCAAAUUUGAUAAAUAAGUAACGGUCUCACAUCUUUUGUUCGCUGAUGACAGCUUUGUUUUCACCAAAGCAUCUAUUGAAGAUUGUCGAAACUUAAAAGCAAUUUUCGAUUGCUAUGCAGCCGCCUCAGGACAGAUUUUCAAGUAUGAAAAAUCUUCAAUGUUUUGUAGUGGGAAGCUUCCAGCAAAGCAAAUCACAGCCAUCAAAAACAUUUUCCAAUUGAAAAUGGUGUCUAAAUACGAAAAAUAUUUAGGCUUACCAUCCAUGAUUGGAAGAAAAAAGAUGAGCUUCUUUAAUGAGGUGAAGCUAAAAGUUUUGAGUAAGAUUUCAAAUUGGCAAAACAAUUUUUUUUCAAGCGGAGGCAAAGAAGUGUUGAUAAAGGCGAUAGCUCAGGCUGUCCCGGCUUACGCCAUGAGCGUAUUUAAACUUCCAUUGACAUUAUGUGAAGGCAUUCAGAAAGCAAUUGCCAAAUUCUGGUAGGGAACUAACAAAGAGAAGCACGACAUUCAUUGGGCUAGAUGGGAGAGAAUGAGCCAUGCUAAGCAUAGAGGUGGUUUGGGUUUCAGAGACAUUUCAUGCUUCAAUCAGGCCUUAGUAGCAAAGCAAAGCUGAAGAAUUAUUCAAAAUUCAGAAUCUCUAAUGGCAAGAGUUCUCAAAGCAAGAUAUUUCAAGCAUGAUGACUUCCUCAACGCCAAGAUAGGUUCCAACCCAUCCUUUAUAUAGAGAAGCAUAAUGUGGGGCAGACAAAUAAUUCUAAAAGGCUCAAGAUGGCGAAUCGGUUCUGGGGAAAAGGUCAAAGUUUACAGAAGCAAUUGGCUGCCGCGGCCAACAACUUUUAGGCCAAUAUCGCCAAGAACCCUUGCUGUAGAUGCUAAAGUGGCAGAGCUGAUAAGCCCUGAAGGAGAGUGGAAGAGGGAUAUGAUCCAACAGAAUUUUAUUAAAGAAGAUGCAGAAAUCAUUUCAAGGAUUCCCCAGCCAAGGUACACAGCAUUGGAUGAGUUGUGUUGGCAUUAUGAUAAGCUCGGGAAAUAUUCGGUCAAAAGUGGCUACCAAAUAGCUUUAAAGGAAAAAUUUCCAAGUGCCCCAAGCAGCUCAAACCCAGACCCCAAAUAAUGGAAUGCCAUAUGGAAGCUAGACCUCCAAGAAAAGAUAAAGAUGUUUAUAUAGAGGGCUGUUAAAAACCUACUACCAACAGCCGAAAACUUGUGGAGAAGGAAGGUGGUGCCAGACCCAAUUUGUCAAAUAUGCAAACGGGGAGUGGAAACUAGUUUUCAUGCAAUGGUUGAAUGCAAAGCAGCAAGGAAGAUUAGGCAACUUUCUCACCAUGCAGUUGUGGAGAUCACAGCCUCUCAAUGGAGGAAUAUGUUUGAUGUAUUUCUUGAUACAACAAGGCUCCUGAACAAAAAGGAGACUGAGCUGCAGGUUGCAUAUUGGUGGGCUACGUGGAACGCGAGAAACCAUUUCCUCUUCAAAAAGGAAAAACUGGAUGCCUUAAUUUCAAUUGCCAAAGCUGAAGGUGUAGUAGAAGCCUAUAGAAAAUUCAAAAGGACCGAGCAACAGCAGUUGGAAAGCUCAAACAUGGAGAAGCCUAAGCAAUGGAAACCCCCGCCCGAAAACUGGUGCAAAGUAAAUGUGGAUGCUGCAAUUGACCAUCAAAGUCAAAGAGCUGGGUUGGGAGUGGUGAUAAGGAAUGAUAAAGGAGAUGUGGUUGCUGCAGCCAUUAAGCCCUCAAGUUUCAACGGAGAUGUGCCUUUUGCAGAAGCUGAAGCAAUUGAAUGGGAAAUGCAAAUGGCAAAAAGGGCAGGAAUCACUGCAGUCAUUUUGGAAUCAGAUUGUCAAGCAGCCAUUGAUUUGGCAAACAACAGAAAGGGUAGCAAAUCUGAGAUUUUUUGGGUGAUAUCAGAAAUCAACGAUAGGCGAAAAGAGUUCCAGGAAGUCUGAUUUCAAUACACCCUUAGGUCUUGUAAUGCAAAUGCCCAUACCUUAGCUAAGCUAGCUGUAAAAGGUUCAAAAUCCGUUGAAUGGCUAGGAAAUAUACCAGCACAAGUCAUGUGUUUAUUCUCUUUUCAGUAAUGAAGUUUCUUUCCCUUCUCAAAAAAAAGAAGAAGAAUAAAUUAAUGUUUUCAUUUCUGGUAAAUUGAAGUUUACCCAAAUUUAUAUUUUGCUUAACAAAACCAUGAAUGUAAAAUUUACUUGAAUUCUCAAAAUAUAAGUUGCACUACUUUAUUUCUUUUCAUAGAGGUACGUCGCUUGUUAGGCUCAAAUUUAUACAAUCUCGAUUAACUAUGUUAUGGCUCAAUUUCAAUCAUAUGAAAAAUGUUUACUUCCAAAAUGCGUGUAUUUGAAGGGAGGCUAGUAUAUACUGUGAAUAUCUAGACUUAUGAACAACAAUUUUUCACUCUCAAAUUCAUUCAAUUCAGGGGAGGGAGACCUAAGAAAUUAAUUUUACUCUAUUCCCUCACUUAGAGAAAUGUCAUAUUUGGGAUUGAGGCGCUGUAACUUUUAAGUUACAGCUGUUGUGGAAAAUAAAUUGUUACUAUAAAAUAAAAAUUAAUAAUAUGUAGUAAAUAUAAAUUUUAAAUAAUAAUUUUGACAAAAUUAUUAAAGAUAUAAUAGAUUUUUUAUUAUAUAAUAUAAAAAAUCAUAUAACAUAACUUUUAAACUACAGCAGUUAGUGUUUACCUAACACUAAAAGUUACAGUUACCCAAUGUCAAUUCCAAACGCACCCCAAGACUAGAGAGUGGAUUUAAAGUCUUACGCAAUUUUACCCAACUUAGCAUUUAUGAACCCAUUUUAGAGUAUAAUUUUUCCAAAUCAAAAUUUGAAAAUUUAGAUAUAAUUUUCAAUGAUAGUAAAGAAGGAGCAAUGCACCCAAGAUUCCCCCUACUAAGACAUAUCUAUAUCAAAAUUUAAAUAAAAUCUACUCUUAUUGAAGACUGAUGUAGCCGUAUGAGCUUGAACACUUUUGAGUCUUGACUAAGCACCCAUGAGCCAAGUCCUAGUGAUUUUUUUUCCUCUUUUGGAAUACUAGUGAUUUAAAAUUAUAUGAAGAAAAUGUACAUAGUAUCAUAGAUUCGUAAUUUGAUGAUAUCUAUUAUUUAAGCAGCGUCUAGUUGGCGGUAGUAGUGCUAAUUAAUAAACUCUAAGCUCAGGCUAAAUGAAAAGUUUGUUUCAUAACAAAUUAAUAAUACUGUUCUCGGGUACAUGUCUCGUUCCAACACUGCAAUCUACAGGGGGUCGUUAAUUUAUAAGAAGAACAAGAAGAACUGAAACAAAGAAGGCAAAAACCAAUUCUUUUUUUUUUUUUUUUUGAUGAUUGAGUGGACGGAAAAGGGAGAAAAAAAAAUUGAGAUCCCUAUCAUUAAUUGAAUGAAAAUUACACUACUCCAUCCGUAUCAAUUAAUGUCUCGUAAAAAUUUUUGAAUUACAGUAUUUAAUAGGGAUGGCAAUGAACUAGGUAUUAUGCAGGGAUGCUAAUACUCAAACUUGUACCCAUUUGUUAGAGAAUAUCUUCAUACUCAUUGUGGAUUUGAACGGGUACGGAUCAUGUAUUAUUUGAUAAAAAUUAGAAAUACUCGUCUCCUUCUCAUAUCCCCUAUAUCCCCUUAUAUUUUUUUUAACACCUUGAAUAUUUAAAAUACAAAAAUGAUAUCUUAACUAUUUAGCUCAAUUUGAAUAUGCAAUAUUUAUUCUAAAAUUUUUAAAAGAAUAAUUUUCAAUUUUAGGUAAAUAUUAAUUAUAAUUUGAUGAUUGUUAAGUUCAAUUUUAACCAACGUAUUACCAAAUAUUUGGAUCCAAAACAAAAGUCUCCACUUUGGUAUUUUCUUAUCGCUCCUUUUAACUAACCGUGAUUUAAACGUUGUUUUAUUGUCAUUUGUUUUUUUUAUUAGGGCAAGAUUUUAGAUGAUUAGGUAAAUGUCUAGUCUGCUAAAUGACUAAAAUCUCCAAAUAAAUGUCUAGCAUAACAUUAUAUUAGACGGUUGCUCCGAUUACUAAGCUGUUAAGUGAUAAUGUAUAUGUUUUGGGAAUCUUUAUUUGAUUUGGCUGUAAAUUCUAACUUCUAAAACAUUAAAAAUAAGUAAAUAGUCAAUAGUCAAAUGGGUUUAGUGAGCAGUGUAGGUGCUAGUGUUUUAUACCUGUACCCAUCCUGCCCAAUUAAAGGAUAAAUAUCUUUACCCGAUCUUUUUUAUAAGACGAGGGUAAAAUUAAGCUCAAUAAUCAAUAUCCAACCUUAACAAAAUGGGGCCCCAUAUGCCCCGUGCCGGUGGAGAUUUUCUGCUAUUCGUACUAUUGAGGAUAUUUUAUACUCAAAACUUAAGAUUUUUUAAAAACUAAUUUCAUUUGUCUCGUGUGCAUAAAAUCAUGAAAUUAUAAGUCUCUUAUACCAUUGGGUGAAUAAUACAUAGCUAUAUGAGUGAGAUUAUUUAGCACUUUUUAUUUGGUGUGACUUUAUGAGGGAGAAUUGGUUUCUUACUUUCACCACAAGAAAAAAAAAUUAAUUAGGCCAAUAAAAUAUAAAAUAGUAAACAUUUGUAUAGAUAGGAUAAGAAUUUUGUCUCUAGUUGAGUUUGUUUUUAGGUAGAGUUAACGGUCAAGAUUAUUCAAUAUUAGGGGCUAUUUGAGAUUACAUUUUUAGUAUUUGAUAAAUUUUUUUAAAAUUAAUUUUGGCAGAAUAACCCCAUAUUACAACUGAUUUUUUUAAGAAAAGGAAAGAGUAGUUUUUCGUAAUUUGAUUUUUAGAAUUAAUUUUAUACUCAAUACAAUUCCAUAUAUAUCCUCAUAUUAUUAUAAAAACACAAAAUUAUCCUUAUUAAUUAAGAAAUAAGAUCAUUAAAUUUAAAGAGAUUAAAAUUAUUACCAAUUAUAUUAAGAUAAUAAAGGAUAAAAUUAAUAAUAUAAAAAUAUUUAUUUUAGUUAUCAAUUAUUAUAUAUACACAAUUUUUUUUUAUAUACAUGGUGAUAAAUGUGUAACUAAAUUUUAUUUAAUAUUAUGUCUAAUUCAAUUGUUUACAUUCUUAUACUAGUUUAAUAGUAAGACUUAUUAAACACAUAUGUUUGCUUUUAAAAUUCACAGUAUUUUUUAAAAUAAAAUUUAUCAAACUUUUAUUGAUUUUUUAAGCAUAAUUAACAAUAACUAUAUUAAUUUCAAUAUUAUCAAUCUGACCUCGAGACUCAUUUAACUUUGACAUUCAUUAAUACUCAGUACAAACUUAGCCAAUCACUCAUGUUAUUUGGUUAUAGUAGUUUCUUUUCUAAAAAAAAAAAUAGCAAUUAUACAUACAUAUUUUAGGAAAAACCUGUGGUACAACUGUGGUACCGUAUCACAGUUGCAUCCAACCAUUGAAUGUUAGUGAAUUCCACCAAUUUAAGUGCAUCCAACGACUGGAUAUAACUGUGGUACGUUACCACAACUGUACCGUAGCCUGAUCCCAUAUUAUAUUAUGAUUUUAUAUUAUAAUUGUGAUUUAGGAGUAAAACUUUUGAUGUGGUGGUGUUGUGUUGUUCUUUCAAUAUCAAAAAUAUCUUAGUGGGCCUUUUUGAAAUAUCUUCUACGAGUUUGAUAAGGUAUAUUUUACCAUCAAGUAUAUACAAAACAAAAUGGGAAAAAAUAAGACGCGCUUUUCUGGUGCCAAAUUGCCAAUCUCGGUUAAUAAAUUAUUCUAUAUCAUAAACCCGUCGGUGGAAGCUGCAAUUUUUCUCUAUAGCUCAUCCUCCGCUAAGGUGCUAAAAUCGCAACGAAUAAUGCUUUGCGUUUGUUGCUUUUUUAACUUUUUUUUUUCGAGAAGGUUUUUUUAACUUUUUUUUCUUAUAUUAUUACAUUAAAUUUUAUGAAAUAAAUAUCCAGAUAAAUAAUUUUUAUAAAUAAAAAAUAUCUCUAUUUCACUCGUAUUUCGCAAGAGAUAAUAACUUUAAAAUAUUUUAGUCUUCACAAUAUUUUUGUGAGAAUUUAAAAUUUGUGACGCCAGCUGUUCAACCACUCUCGGCCUUUGGCUGAGUGAGUAGGGUUUUUAAACUUUAAAAUAGGACAAAAGCACUGGAAGAAAAAACAGCGCAUAGACAAAACGGAAGCUUAAAAAAUUAAGGAUGAAAAAAAAAAAUGGACGAAUCAAUAAAGUAGCCGGCCAUGUUCAUGAAUUAAGAGACUCCAGUGAUUGACUUGGUCAGGUUCUUUUCUAAAAUCAAAUUGUGGUUCGACUUCGACUAUGGGAACGAGAAGACUGGUAGUUGAAUAAAGAAAUUAAUACGUACCCUACAUUUUGAUCGGAUUUCUUCGGUGGGAUCCACUAAUUUAAUGUAAUAGACUCAUAAAAAUAAAAACGUAUAAAUUUUAUCAAAAAAAAAAAAAAAUUGGACUUGUCAAAUUAAAAGUCAUCAUUAGACUGGUGCACCGAUUAAGCAUAUAGAGAAGAUUACGUUUCCACGCAAGGCUUUUUUUUUUCUCGUUAGAUCAAGCAAAGGUCAGAAAGUCAAGUCGUUAGUGCGUAACGUUGAGUAACAGUUUGGCAUCCCAACGGAGCAGUGACGGAGAUGUGAUGAUGAUAAGAUGAGAAGAAUAUUUCUUGGAUACGUUUUCGCUGGUUGAGGAAUGAGGAUGCUUCAAGGCCACCUCUUCUUUUAAUUCAUUGCUGGGGAGUCUUCUUAUUAAAAAAAAAAAAAAAAAAAAAAAGAGAAAAAUCUGGAGAUUCUUUAUUCCCUGUGGUUUGCUGUCACUUGCAUCCUUCUUUCACUAAAGACCCCUAGAUGUUCGCCGCCCUAGAAAAUGACAUGAUUUUCCUCAUGAGUCAUGAUCGCGUUAAACGAACCCUUGUGUUUCGGAAAAGUAUCCAAAAGUGGUAGAUAAAUAUAUUUAUGUCAUAUUUAAAAAAGGGUAAUGAUAGAUCUAAAAGUAGUAUGUGAUGUAUUGCUUGUUAAGUGAUUUAAUAUCUUACAAAUGAAUGUUAUUUUAUUUAAAAUAAAAUUUUAGAAUCCAUAGUAAUAUUCUUUAUAUAUAUAUAUAUAGAGAAUAUUAAUCAUAUUAAUCAUAUUCUUUAUAUAUUCUUUACAAAUUUAGAUCGUAUGUAGUAUUGAGGUGCUGUAACUUUUAAGUUAUAGUCAUUGUAGAAAAAAAAUAUAUUUAUAAAUAAAAGUUAAUAUUUCUAAUAAAUAUUACUUUUAGAUAAUAAUUUUGACCAAAAAAUAAAAAUAAAAAUAAAAAUAAAAAUAUCAUUUACUAAAUACUUUACAAGCUCCGAACUUGGACUUUAGGAGCAAAUGGGAUCUUGUUGUGCUUAACGUGGGAGGUGAAGUGUGUAUCUCAACAUGGGUUAGCUAAAAUGGUUCUAGAUUUGGUUGUUUUGCCGGGACAUCCAAUAGAUUUUUUGAGUGAUGUGUAAUCUUAUUCCUUUUUCCUUUGAAUAAAAAAUUUUUUCCUUAACAAAAAAAAAAAAAAAAUUAAAAGCCAUCGUAGAUCAUUCCUAUGACUUUGUCAAACUAUAUUGCAAUUAGGACAUUUUUUUUUUUUUUCAUUUAGAAUGUGCUACUAGAAGUCUAAAAUUUCACCUCUUAGGUCAUUGGACGGAUAAUACUACACUAUUCCUUCAUAAAUCAUAAUGAGGAGAAUGAAUCCAAGAAAUUAUAGACUAAAAUUCUCAAUAGACUGAAAUAAAAUGUGGAGUAAAUCUCGGUUUUAUUGGCGCUAAUUUUUAAACCAUACAUGGUAAAUGUAAAUUUGUAAUGAACUUAAAAUACAGUCUAAUUUUUUUCCUGAACAACUUUUUGCUGCUGAAUAAACCAUGCUAGGUCGUAAAAUCGCCUAUGAUUAUAUCUUACUCAUUGCCGUGUUUUCCUUUCAUGAUCAAAUGAAAGGAGGAUCCAUCACCAUCAGUGAUUAAUCCGACAAAGAUUUUGCCGCAUCAGAAAGCGGUGUACACGUGCUCCCGCUCCCACCUUAUCAUUCCCCAGAAUCCCCCUCGCUUUUAAAGCACUCACGAUCUACGAGCGCUCACGACCGUUAGGAAUCCCGUCUCUGUCCGAGGUAGGCCCCACCUGACUCCCUUCUACCCAAUCAAUUCACGAAACGUAUCACCUCGUUACAGCUGUGUCCAUGAAACUUUCGUUUCACAGAAUAUACGGUGAUUCUAUUCCUAAACCUUUUUUAUUCCUCUGUAGCGACAGUUCAAAACGUAACAAUUUUCCCUUUUUAUUCUUUAUAUAUAU